Molecule: long non-coding RNA, 97305 nt
Filed under: Capsicum annuum
Lineage: Eukaryota; Viridiplantae; Streptophyta; Magnoliopsida; Solanales; Solanaceae
Description: long non-coding RNA (CANN_LNC015546)
Rfam family: Plant small nucleolar RNA R71 (bases 7252-7358)
Source: RNAcentral
UUUUUUUUUUACAACAUAAUUCAAUUCUCAACUUUUUUUCACACCCCAAUUCUUGUUACGCACCCCUAUAGUAGCCACCCCCAACCUAGUGAUUUGCCUUGGUUAAGGUGCACACUAUUUCAAACGGACCAGGGCUAAACAGGUUCAUUGUAACAAGAACCAGGCAAUAAUAACUAAAACUUUCCUCACACAUUUUUUUUCUAAUUCCUAACCAUCAUAAUUAACGCACAAUGAACACUUCUCUAGAGCUUCACUUUCACCUUUUUCCUUUAUAAUAUUGCAUUCCACUCUUAUUCCAUUGUCUGUAUUAAAGCUCUUUGGAACUAUGGAUCGAAUUAAGGUGUAUCAAAGAAAGGAUUUGGCUAUGGAUGAGGCUACCAAAGGAAUCAGGCUAUAGGCUCAAUGAGGCUAACUAAGGACAUGCACAAGGGUAGGUAAAUAAAGUCUUUAAAAUUCGGUUAACAAAGAAAUGUCUAAAUAACUUCCUACACCCAACACCCUUUAUUUUGCUUUGUAAACACACCGGGCAAGUUCUAGUCAUUCCUAUACAUGUAGAAUAUAAAAAAUACUCACUCACUCGGUGUAUGCUAAGAAUCAAGUCGGAUCCUUACGGUUUCUCGUAUUGCUCUUUAUCAAAUUCAAUAUUAAGCAAAUAAAAUCAAACUACACUUGUUGGGAUUUAACAUCUAAAAAUAUCUCAUUCUUUUUUUCAUCACAAUUGCAUUUAUACUCACAAAAUAAAACAUCUUACCCAACACACAACAUGUCUCAAAGAUCACAAUUAGGGUCCUAUAAUUUUCUUAGCUUCUAAAGACUCACUCUCCUUAAGAUGAUCGUCAUCUAUCUAUCAUAGGGGAACUAACUAAGACGAUUACAAAACGAGAAUUUCCAAAAAGGGCACACAUAAUUACUGUUAUCUAAAAAAUUACCACGAGGGGUGAAAAUAAAACAAACACUUUAAACUAAAUUUUCCAAAGAGGGCAAUAAUCUUGCCGAAAAGGGUAAUAAUGUCAACUUAUAAACCCAACAAAACAUAAAAACAUAAUAGAAAUAGAAAUUGUUCAACCAAAACAACCAAACCCCAACAUAGUUCAGAAAUUAAAGAUGAAGGAGAUAAAGAUGAAGAUCAAAGGCCAAACACCCCACACUUAAACAUAGCAUUAUUCCAGUGCUAGUAAUAAGCAUAAAGCAAGGUGAUGUCGUACUCUCUUCUCAAUCAAAUUUCACUAAAGCCAUAGCAUCAUCAUCAGCACCAUCAUCAUAGCUAAAGUCAUCACCUGAAUCAACAUCAUAUAACUGCUCCUCAUCCAUGAACUCAUCAUCAGAAUAACUCAUAUGCCUCUCCUCAUCUGUAGGGAUGUCAUUAUCUACUGGCUCAUCAAAAUCUGAGCCAAUUCACAGCAUAUUCUGAGUGUGAAGUCCUAGUGGGUAGUCCAACUCAACCGCAUGACUCUCCUGUUGGGUGGCUGGAUGCCCCCUGUUUUCUGUUGUAACAUAGUUAGCCCAUAUAUAUGGCCUAUGAUCUUAUUAUUCUGAGCUUGACACUCGGGCAUAGUCAAAUUUACACCAUGGGGAGAAGGUCCCUUAGCGCGGGAAAAAUACAAUGGCCUGUGACCAAUAAGUGGUCUAUAAUCCACCUCCUCCUUGGUCACACCCUACUGCUUGUUGCUUGUUGAAGAUGAUUUUCAUAUCAUGAAACUUAUGACAUCAUGUAAAACACUUGGAUCAUAUGACUUAAAAUAUCAAAACUUACCUAGAUUUUAGUGGAAAAGAAUGAAGAUGAAGUUGAAGCUUGUUGUUAUUGCCAAUAAGUCACAAAACUCUAAAGGGAACAAUUGUAGGGCUUUGAAAAAAUGGUGUUGUGCGGCUAGGGUUAGGAAGAAGGAGAAAAAAUAAGCAAGGUAUGGUAUUUAUAGAGAGGUAAAUUAGGUAUAACAUUUUUAUCGAUAGGUGAAGUCGAAGCGAUGCAUCAUUAAUCACAUUAAAGAAUUGAUGUGAUGCAUCGAGUCCACGUCAACAGACUGGAAGUUGUAUCAAAUAAUUAUUUUAAGUAUUACCUGGAUGACCACCGAAGCAUAGCGAUGAGUAACUCAUUGCAAGACUGACUCAAUGUGUUGACAUCGUGUCAGUUCACUGGAAAUAGCCUUGGAAAAUCUUUCUAAGUGUGGACAUGAUGCAUAUCGACACGACGCAUCGACUUAGCAUUAUUCCAUAGGAAAUUUCGUCCCAAAAACUUUCUAACACUAAAUUUCCCCUAUUUUAAUGCAUCAUUUCUUACCCUUUACCUCUUUCUCACCAUGUAUCACCUAUUUACUUACUCAAAGGCCGAUGUUCACCAUCCUCUCUAUCUUCACCAUAUUUCUCAUUUCUGCACAUCAACCAAAAACAACAAAAUCAUGUAAGAAAAAGUGGGUUGCCGCCCAACAAGCACCUUAUUUUUGGUCGUGGAUUGACUUAUCUUUUUUUAUUUUCUUUUUGUCCUUAACAACUAAAAAUUAAAAUACCUCUUAUAUUACAUUUUUGGGUUGCUUCCCACGUAUUGCCUUAUUUUAUGUCGUGGCACGACUUAGUUCAGUCUACCUCCUCAGAAAAAGUGAUGGACACGUUGUUCUUGUCUCCAUGAUCAUCCUAGUAACGCUUCACACAUUGUCAUGAGGUGUCAUUUGUACUACUUCAAAAUGUCCAGACCACUUAGACCUUUUUUUUCUCAGAAAUAACUUUAAUCUUGAAUUAAAUAGGAAAACAAGUUGCCCGGGGUUCAAACACUCUAUCUUGAUUAUGUCUAUCGUUCCAUAUCUUGGUUUUCUCCGUAUAAAGUAUUCCAUGCUCAUAAGCAUUGAGACUAAAUUCAUCUAAUUCAAUGAGAUGCAACAAUCUAUUUUAUUCCACGGCUUUCAUCUCAAGAUUCAACUUUUUAAUAGCCCAAUAAGCUUAAUGUUCCAACUCAAUACAUAAAUAAAAUACAUUCCUGUAGACCAAACAAUGUGGGGAAGUACCAAUAGGCAUCUUAUCAGCUGUCUAGUAAGCUUACAAUGCAUCAUCUAGCUUUUCUGCCCAAUCUUUUCAUUGCCCACUAACCAUCUUCUACAGUAUUUGCUUAAUCUCCCAGUUGGAGACCUCAACUUGUCCACUUGUUUGUGGAUGAUAUGCAGUGGCCAACUUAUACCUAAAACCAUAUUUAGCUAAAAGAUUCUUGAACCAAGUGUUAAUAAAGUGCGUACCUUUAUUACUGAUUAUAGCUCUUGGAGUGCCAAAAUUGGAAAAUAUUUGCUUCUUCACAAACUUCAACACUACUCUUACAUCAUUAGUAGGGCAAUCUGCAGCUUCCACUCAUUUAGAUACAUAAUAAACUGCCACUAUGAUGUACGAAUUACCAUUAGUGAUGGGAAUGAUCUUAUAAAAUCAAUCCCCCAAACAUCGAAUAUUUCUAGUUCUACGAUGUUGUUUAGGGGCAUCUCAUGACGCCUUAAAAUCGUUCCCAACCUUUGGCAUUGAUGAUAACUCUUUACAAAAGCUUCUGCAACUCGAAACAAUGUUGGCCAAAAGAAUCCGGAUAGAAACACUUUUCUUAUGGUUCUUUCACCUCCAUGAUGGACACCAAAAGGGGAUGAAUGACACCUUUGUAGUACUUGUCUAAAUUAAACUUUUGGAAAACAUCAUCGUAUAAUACCAUCCUGAUCCUUCUUGAAAAGAUGAGGGUCAUCCCAAAUAAAAGCAUGAGAAUCAUGAAGUAGUUUCUUCCUCUAUUGAAUUGUACUUGUUGGAGGAUAAAAGCUACUUUCCAACAAAGUUACAAUGUCCGCAUACGAAGGAACUUCACACUCCUUUAUAGACAAUAAUUUUUUAUCUAAAAACUCUUCCCGAAUGCAGAGAGAGUCAUCAACAUCAUGAUUAUAAGUUUCUAACCUUGACAAAUGGUCUGCAACUUGAUUUUCAGGUCCUUUACAAUCACAAACCUCUAAGUCAAACUUUUGCAAUACAAAAUCCACCGGAUCAAUCUAAGCUUUGCAUCCUUUUUAUUUAAGAGAUAUUUGAUAGCCGUAUGGUCAGUGUGAACAAUAACCUUUAUGCCCACCAAGUAUGCUAUAAAUUUAUCAAAUUCAUACACUACCGCUAAAUCUCCUUUUUAGCGACUGUAUAAUUUAUUUGGGCAUCAUUCAAGACUUUACUAGCAUAGUAAAUAGAGAGAAAUACCUUGUUUUAUCUUUGUCCCAAAAUAGCUCCUACACUUACGUCACUAGCAUCGCACAUCAAUUCAAAUGGAAACUCCCAAUCUGGUGAGCUCAGAAUAAAAGCUUCAAUCAGCCUCUUUUUCAGCUUCUCAAAUGUUUUUUUACACUCCACCCCAAAAUCAAACUUGGCCUCUUUUUCUAACAGUUUGCACAUUGGGCUUGCAAUCUUUGAGAAAUCCAGAAUAAAACUCCUAUAGAAACCUGCAUACCCCAAGAAACUUCGCACUUCUUUAAUUUUGACUGGAUGUGGAAACUUUUCAAUCACUUCAAUUUUCACCUGAUCUACCUUAAGUCCUCUAAAUGAAACUUUGUGGCUAAGGACAAUUCCUUUCUUUUUCAAAAAGUGGCACUUCUUCUAGUUCAGCACCAAAUUUGUUUCCUCAUAUCGAGCAAGCACUCGAUAUAAAUUUUGCAAGCAUUUAUCAAAAGAAUCACCAAAAAUAGAGAAAUCGUCCAUGAAUACCUCAAAAAAUUCUUCAACCAUGACAUAGAAGAUUGCUAGUAAACAUCCCUGAAAUGUCGUACGUGCAUGAAAGAGGCGAAAGGGCAUAUGUUUGAAGGCAUAGGUACCAUAUGGGCAAGUAAGAGUCAUCUUAUUUUGAUCCUCAGGAGAAAUAGUGAUUUAAUUAUAGCUUGAGUAACCAUACAGAAAAUAGUAAUACUCUAGCCAUGUCAACCUAUCCAACAUCUGAUCAAUGAAAAGAAUAGGAUAGUGAUCCUUCCUUGAGGUUUAAUUUAGCAUCUGGUAGUCUGUAUAAAUUCUCUAUCCAGUCACCAUAUGAGAGGUGAUUAGCUCAUUUGCUUCAAAAGUAACCACAGUUAUCUUUUCUUUCUUCGGGACAUAAUGUAUUGGGCUAGCCCACUUUCUGUCUUAAAUUAGAUAAAUAAUCCUAUUAUCAAGCCACUUAAUGACCUCUUUUUCUACCACAUCUUGUAUCACUGGACUCAACCUGCGUUGUUGCAACACUCGUGGCUUGAAACCUUCCUCCAUAUGUAUUUUGUGUAUGCAAAAAGCUAGAUUUAAUCCUGUAAUGUCAGAUAUUUUCCACGUGAUUUCCUUUUUCCUCCUUUUCAACACUAUCAUUGCUUUCUGUACCUACAUAUCAGAUAAUCCUAUAGAUAAAAUAACAUGAAAAGUAUUAUUACCACCAAGGUAAACAUAUUUCAAGUAAGGAGGAAGAACCUUAGGCUCCAAUUUUGGAGCUUCAUCAAUUGAAGCUUUGGGGGAUGGACCAAUUGGUCUAUUCAAUGGCUCAAAAAACACUUUUCUUAUUUCAAUGAAUUUUGAAUUCAUGACUUGGUCUGACACUAAUUCUUCCAUAUCUCCAUAAAUAUCACAACCUACCAAAGCUUGCUCUAAGGGUUCAUCUGACAAUAAAAGCUUCUGAUCAGACUCGAUAUCAAUAACAAAUAUAGCCGAUAACUUCUCAUAUAUAGCUUGAAAUUUUAGCACUUUGUACACAUCAAAAACCUUCAUGUUAUCGUGCGCUCUCAUUGUUAUUUUCCCUGCUUCUACAUUAAUUAAUAAUUCCUCCCAAAAUAAAUGAAACAAUAAGAUCUUCUUCUAAGUCAAGAAUUACAAAAUCCACCGAAAAGAUUAAGGAUCCCACUUGCACCAAGACAUCUUUGAUAAUACCAUCAGGCCUAGCAAAGGACCCAUCCGCCAAUCGCAAAACAAUAGUGGUGGGUUUGGGACUCCCAAGACCUAUUUUAGGGUACUAAGAUGUGUGUAUAAGAUUAAUGCUAUCCCCCAAAUCACACAAUCCAUGUGCACUAAUGGUAUGUCCAAUGGUAAUCUACAAAGUGAAACUACCUGGAUCCUUUAACUUUGUGGGCAGUUUGUUUUGAAUCUUGGAUGUGCACUCCUCAGUAAGUGCAACUAUAGCAUAUUUAGUCAACCGAUUCUUAUUUGCAACUAUAUCCUUCAAGUAUUUUUCAUAUUUUGGCACACUCUGAGAAUGUCAAUAAGAGGAAAAUUUACAUAACCUUUCUUUAUAAGAUCUAAGAACUUCUUGUAACUCUCCUCCUUUUGAUGCUUCCUUUCCCCUUGAGGAAAGGGUAAGGUAAGAGUCUUCUUCUUCACAUGAAUAUCUUCACUUGCCAUUUUUUCCUUGAUUUCUUUCUCCGCAUUAUCUUUGGAACCAUCAUCAGUGACUGUGGGACUCACCUACUCUUGAACUAUCUCCUAAGUUUGCAGCCCACUCAUUGUUGUAACCAUAUUCACCUACUUAGGUUUGUGUCUGUAUCGCUAGGUAAUGCUCCUUGAGGUCUUGUAUUCUAUGCCUCUAUAAUUUGAACUUGUUGCAACUCUAGAUUUCUCAUAAGCAAUUCUUGACUCUUAAACUCUACUGCAAAUUAUUCUUGUUGAGUCUUUAUUUCUGCUGCAAACUGUGCUUGUUAAUCCAUAAACUGCUUCAUUAAAUCCUCCAUAUUGCUAGUUUGAGCAGUAGCCUAAUUGUUCUGAGUCGACUAUUGAUUUGGUUGCACUAGUCCCUUGUAUUGAUUUGCAUUCUAUGCCUGAUUUCCACUCCAUGAGAAAUUUGGAUUGUUCCUCCAAUUAGGAUUAUAUGUGUUACCGAAAUUUUGUUAUCCCCACUGAUUCGCAUUUCCCACAUAGUUUACAGAAUCUGGAUUAAUAGAACAUGCAUAUCCUAUGUACUCACCACUUUCGCAAACCUCACACUAAGAAUUUGCCUUUUGGAUUGUAUUCGUUGUGGCUGCUAUUUAUGUGACCCCCAAAUUUAUGUUAUUGAGCUGAGUAAUCAUAUGAUUUUUCAUUGCUGUAAUCUGCGCCUGUAAUACGGUGAACUGGUCUACUUAUAAUACCCCUGCAACCUUCCUAGGAGUACUUCUUGAAUCAGCAUGCUAGUCAGAAUUCCCUUGUGAAAUUUGAUUCACUAGUGUGUACAAUUCUUCAUAAACCUUUUCAAGAGUCUGUCCACCUACUGCUGAAUCCAAGAGAAUCUUCGUAUUUGGCUCCAAUCCCCUAAUGAAAGUAUGAACAAGAACAUCAUUGGACUGAUGAUCGUGAGGGAAAUUUCUGAGCAUACCCUUAAAUCUCUUCCAAGCUUGGUAGAGAUUCUCUCCUUCCUUCUAUUUAAAACUCAAAAUCUCAUUUCUCAAACGUGUAGUCUUUCGAGAUGGAAAGAAAUAAAUGAAACAAUAAGAUCUUCUUCUAAGUCAAGAAUUACAAAAUCCACCGAAAAGAUUAAGGAUCCCACUUGCACCAAGACAUCUUUGAUAAUACCAUCAGGCCUAGCAAAGGACCCAUCCGCCAAUCGCAAAACAAUAGUGGUGGGUUUGGGACUCCCAAGACCUAUUUUAGGGUACUAAGAUGUGUGUAUAAGAUUAAUGCUAUCCCCCAAAUCACACAAUCCAUGUGCACUAAUGGUAUGUCCAAUGGUAAUCUACAAAGUGAAACUACCUGGAUCCUUUAACUUUGUGGGCAGUUUGUUUUGAAUCUUGGAUGUGCACUCCUCAGUAAGUGCAACUAUAGCAUAUUUAGUCAACCGAUUCUUAUUUGCAACUAUAUCCUUCAAGUAUUUUUCAUAUUUUGGCACACUCUGAGAAUGUCAAUAAGAGGAAAAUUUACAUAACCUUGCUUUAUAAGAUCUAAGAACUUCUUGUAACUCUCCUCCUUUUGAUGCUUCCUUUCCCCUUGAGGAAAGGGUAAGGUAAGAGUCUUCUUCUUCACAUGAAUAUCUUCACUUGCCAUUUUUUCCUUGAUUUCUUUCUCCGCAUUAUCUUUGGAACCAUCAUCAGUGACUGUGGGACUCACCUACUCUUGAACUAUCUCCUAAGUUUGCAGCCCACUCAUUGUUGUAACCAUAUUCACCUACUUAGGUUUGUGUCUGUAUCGCUAGGUAAUGCUCCUUGAGGUCUUGUAUUCUAUGCCUCUAUAAUUUGAACUUGUUGCAACUCUAGAUUUCUCAUAAGCAAUUCUUGACUCUUAAACUCUACUGCAAAUUAUUCUUGUUGAGUCUUUAUUUCUGCUGCAAACUGUGCUUGUUAAUCCAUAAACUGCUUCAUUAAAUCCUCCAUAUUGCUAGUUUGAGCAGUAGCCUAAUUGUUCUGAGUCGACUAUUGAUUUGGUUGCACUAGUCCCUUGUAUUGAUUUGCAUUCUAUGCCUGAUUUCCACUCCAUGAGAAAUUUGGAUUGUUCCUCCAAUUAGGAUUAUAUGUGUUACCGAAAUUUUGUUAUCCCCACUGAUUCGCAUUUCCCACAUAGUUUACAGAAUCUGGAUUAAUAGAACAUGCAUAUCCUAUGUACUCACCACUUUCGCAAACCUCACACUAAGAAUUUGCCUUUUGGAUUGUAUUCGUUGUGGCUGCUAUUUAUGUGACCCCCAAAUUUAUGUUAUUGAGCUGAGUAAUCAUAUGAUUUUUCAUUGCUGUAAUCUGCGCCUGUAAUACGGUGAACUGGUCUACUUAUAAUACCCCUGCAACCUUCCUAGGAGUACUUCUUGAAUCAGCAUGCUAGUCAGAAUUCCCUUGUGAAAUUUGAUUCACUAGUGUGUACAAUUCUUCAUAAACCUUUUCAAGAGUCUGUCCACCUACUGCUGAAUCCAAGAGAAUCUUCGUAUUUGGCUCCAAUCCCCUAAUGAAAGUAUGAACAAGAACAUCAUUGGACUGAUGAUCGUGAGGGAAAUUUCUGAGCAUACCCUUAAAUCUCUUCCAAGCUUGGUAGAGAUUCUCUCUUUCUUUUUGUCUAAAACUCAAUAUCUCUCUCCUCAAGCGUACAGUCUUCCCAGAUGGAAAGAAUCAAAUAAGGAACUUCCAAUCUAGAUCUUCCAAUAAAGUGAUGGAGAGUAGUGAUUCAACAUAUAACCACCUUUUUGCUUCCCCCAUUAGAGAGAAGGAAAAGAGUGUCAAUAUUCAGGAAUAUAAGUAUCAUUUAUUUCCAAGAAUGUAUGUAUGUGCUCUGUGGAUCUUUGUGUGAAAGGCCAUAAAAUUGCCCCGCUGAAUUCAACAAUUGCACCAUACUAGGCUUCAAUUCAAAUUGACCACCUGGUUUUACAUUUUGAAUAUUGUUCGUCACAUGGUUCGUGAGUGGGAUUUCCACUUUACGAAUAGGUCCAAUAGCUAGUUGAGCAGGAACAACUGGAAUAAUCAGAGGUGGGACAUUUUUGACAUUUGGAUCGACUGGAUCAUUUCAUUGUUCAGCCACUCUUCGCCUUUGUUAUUAGAUUAGUUCUAGUUCUGUAAAAGGCUCUACCAAUUCUUUCUCUCUCACCAGUCCUUUAUUCAGCUGAACCUACAAAAAUUUAGUCUGUAAGAUCAAUAUGUUAACACUUAAACUUAAUAUCAAAAACCAAAAAAUUUGCAAUUUACUAAUCAUACUAGUCCCCGGCAAUAGCUCUAAAAACUUGUUGUAACUCAAACACACAUGCAGGUGCACAUGACCAUACAAGUAAUAUAGUAAUUUAGACUAUUAGAUAUCGUUCCCACGAGGACUAAACAACUAGAAAUUUAUCCAACUCUUAGCUUUAGACAAUGAGUAUUUAGUGUUGUAAAGUAUCAAGAUGAUAUUAAAAUUUAGAAUAAAAAUGUAAAUUAAUUAAUAAGAAAAAAAAGUUUAUGACUAAAUCAAAGCAAGCAACUGUUUAAACAAUAAUGAUAAGAAUUCCAGGUGAGUCUUUUCAAAAAAUUAUACAAAUCUCUAUUCUUAUAGCAGUCUAAUUGGUUAUUGGGUUGUUGGUUCACAAGGUUUAGGCUACGAUUUUGGUCUCUCGACCUCAAAUGUUCUAUCUAUUGAAUAUUGUAGCUACAACUCCUGUAGAGAUACAACAAUUCUUCUAGAUUCAUAAAGUAAUCUUCUUGUAAUUAAACCAAACAAGGCUUCUAGGUAUGUCCUUGUCUUAAAUGCUAAUUCAAAUCCCUUAUUUUAAAAAAGGGUGAGAACCUUGCUUCUUAAUUUCUUUGUUCUACCCAACGAUUCUCCUCCCAGAUACACAUAGAAAUAUAAAUUUAUUCUAAUGGUGGCCACUCAUUAAAAUAGUAAGAUCAAGAAAUUAAGAACAACCCAGAUGAUAAUUCAAAAAGAAACUACGAUAAAGAAUAUCAAAGAGUAAUCAUGUUCUUGGCCUCAACCCCAGAACAAGGGUAUUUAGCCACUUAUGUUUCAAUUAAAUAGCAAAAACAAGUAAUUAAUCAUACCCAAAAUUAAUCUUGAAGUAAAGAAGUUCAAAAGGAAAAAUAAGAACCUUAAAAGAAAGAAUUCUAUGCUUUUCCACCGCUGUUGUGCUUGCCCAAAGUGUUUGGAAUUGUGCUCAAGUGUUUGUUUUAUAAUUGGAAAAAUUUCACCAGAUCUGAAGUCUUGUUGUAAUGUGUCACUAAUCACGUUGAUCCAGCCAAUGCGUCGUGUCAACAUCGUAUUGAUGCACUGGAAUUUGUCUUUGAAGAUCCGACUAAGUCCUAUUUCUUAAACACACAAUGCAAAGCAUCCACAUCGCGACGUAUCACUGGAAUUAUCAUCUCAGAUUUUGACUAUGUCUUAAAACUUAUGCAUCGAUGCGACGCGUUGAGUUCAAGUCGAUGCACUGGAAUUGCUCAUUAAAUAUUAGCUAAGGCAUAACUUUUACCAUUCGACACAACGCAUCGAGUUAGCAUCGCUUCACCAAAAUUUUUCUCUAUUUCUUCUCUUAAUUCUCGUACUUGCUCAGCUCUUUUCUUUUCUACUUGCUCUCAUGAAUCCAUGCAUAUUUUUUGACUUGAUCACUAUGCUCUUUCACAUCUUCAUGAUAUGUAUCUAAUUUUCAUCCGAGUCUAUGGGAAAUUUACCCUGUAUCUCUAAUGACAUCAGUGAUCCACGAAACACAAUUUAUCUCAUAAUUCAAAAUAUUAACAGAAAUUUUAUUCUCAAAACAAGUCCAAAUAUUAGUGAAUAGCGGUGUUUGGACCUAUAAAUAUGCUCAAGAUCGAUAGACUAGCAUUAUUAAGUUUGAAUUCCCAACCUCGUGGUUCUUGUUUGUAAGCUUGGGCGGCUAGCAUGGUUGGUUGGUUUCUUUUUUGUAAUAAGAAAAUUUUGGUCAUCUCUCUCCUUUAUCAGAGAGUUUAGAUUAUUUGUUGAGUAAGUUAUGGAAGUGAAGGUAGGUUAGACUUCCCUGGUUUUGUUACUGUUCUAUAGUCAGUAAUUUGGUUUUUUUGUCUGUUUUUGAGUUUGAGAUUCUAAGAAUUACCUUUUGGGUUAUGGAUAUUUUAGCAUUAGCUAUCCUUCUCCAUAGCCUAUUCCUGAGGUUAACCAGUUUGGGGAUCUUUUCUUCUGAUUUGGCUAGUUCAUUGCCCAGUAAUAGUCUUGAUAUUGUUAUCGAGAGGUCUUGGACUUGCCAUUCAGAUUUUUUUAGGUUUGUCUCCUGGUAAUAGUUUGAUCUUGGUAUUGGUAUGAAGUUGGAUACUCUAUUCUUAUUGUGAUGUGGAUCUCAAUUUAGUGAAGUUAAGGGAGGUAGAGAUAGGUAAUCUUUCUUAUGAUUGCUUUUUUAGUUAGAGAAUCAUGUAUUUAUUGUUGAAAUAGAGUUGGUAGCUUAUGCUUUUAUCUUAUGGUUUAUUACCCAUCAUAAUUUUGGUGCUCAACUACUUUUUAAUUUUGACUCCAGUAAGAUCUAGCGAGGAUAUGCCUGGUUUUAGAUUGCGAUGGUGACUUGGAUGUUUUCCCUUAGUUUAGAUUUGUUCUAUCAAAUAUCUAACUUUGAAUCUUGUGAUAUGAUACUUGAGAGUUGUGCUAGAUAUUGGAGUGUGGAUGGUUACUUGUCUGUAGGAUUAUUUCUGAUAGUGAACUUGAGAGCCUCAGCCUUAGUACCGAGAUUUUAGCCCGGAGUUGUAGUGCUUGGGUGCAACGUUUGCUUACAUGUUUUUUUUUUGAAUUUGGAUUUUGUUUAUGGGUUUCCUAAGCCUACUCUUUAUCUACCUAUUCAGUCUUUUUUAGUUUUGAUAGAUUUUAGUUUAUUGAUGUCAGGAUUAUGGCAUGCUAGCACUCGAGGAUGGUUUGGAUAAUCUACUCAGUCGGAGUAGUAUUCUUGAGUUGAAUUUAGCAUAAAUUCAUCCUAGAUUGAUGGUACAUCCUGGAGAGGAUCGUUUAGUGGUGAGUAUUUGUCCUUAAGACUCCUGAUUGCUAGUUUCGAGGUUAAUCCAGACAAGUUGUAGCAUUAGUAUAGAUUGUGGACAUUGGCCAUCACCAUUUGUGUACCAAACUAGUUCCUUAAGGGCUUAUUCUUAAGCUUAACAUUGUGGAUUUCAGCUGAUCAACUUCAGUUUUACAAGGAUAUUCUAAUUAAACUGCGCGGACUAGACUCGGGUGACCUUUUUCUUAGCUUGAAGUGGAUAGCGGAAUUGGAAAGGCAAAAGAAGGUUAUAUGUAGAUAUUGGAGUUCGUCGUAGGAUUUAUGCCUUUGGCUUAAAUUAGCCUUCACUUUGUUGUGUUUGUAGUGUUUUGGUAUCUCUGUGUUGUGGUUCAUAUUUACGUUUAUCAACCAUUCUCGAUUUUGCUGAAGAUUAGUUAGUUGUUGAGGUUGAGUUUUAUUAAUUUAGUAAUGAGGUAAUGAAGUUGGUUUAAAAAUAAAUACCUAUGGAAAAGUCCCUUUAAAGCAUUGUCUCUCUAUAGAGGUAAUACAAGGAGUCGUUCUUGAAGCAUGCGGGCCCAGUACCUCAUCCCUUCAAUCUUUCAUACUCUUUCUAACCAUUGACUUUUGUGGAUGAAAGUCAUUUUAGUAGUGAAAUUAUAAUGACCCUCUAGGUCAUUUUCUUGAUUUACGCACAUUUCUUGUGUUUCAAGCCUCCCCACAGUAGCUACAGGUUACUUGUGACUUUCUAAAACUAUUGGUUUAGAUAUUAGACAGUUGGUUUGGGUUUUAGACUCAUUUUUCGGUUUUAGUGCUUUUUCUAUUUAGUAUUUGGUGUUGGACCAAAACUCUUAGUAUAUGACCUUGGAUGGGAAUUUUAUCAAUGCCACCAGUUGCGGAAAAUUAAUUUUAGGCUUGAGGGACCCUUAGUUCAGGUCCCAAGGCAUCCAAACUCAUUUUUGGGCUAUUGGAUGGAUUGUGAAAAAAUGAAACUAUAGGUAUAGGCCCUACAUUUAGUCAAAACCAUAAAAUAUGGAAGUUUCAAUUGUUCCAUUGAGUCUAGAACGACAAAUUUGGUAUGGUAGGUUAGUUUGUGUGCUUGUGCUAGUUCCAAAUGAAUCCCGAGCACCCGAUAGAAGUCCAUUUUUGGACUUAUCAAAAUAUGAUAAUUGAUAUCUAAUGUGAACUCUUUAGCAGUGAUGGAGUCACUUUAGCGGCAAAAGCUUAAGCAACCAUGAGCCGCUUUACUUUCCUUGUCCAUUGGGUUUAGGUCCACUUUAGUCUUCAAGGGCCUCUUAAGUGGGCACCACUUUAGCUCAAACGUGACUAUUUUUCUGGUACCCACACCUCGUGCCUGACUUCUUUAGCAAAUGUGGAGCCAUUUUAGCGGCAACUGCUUUAGGGGCUAAUUUAGACCCUCUUCAUGCACUAUUUGUGUUUAACCUUUGAGCAAACAUUCCUUAUCCAUUGAUGGACCUCGUGAUGUAUUUAAUUUUGGAUUCCAUUUGUGGGUGCCAUGGGCCCAUUCUUUACUUUGAUUUUGACCCGACCCUUUAUAUUCAAACAUACAACUUAUUUUACUCCUAAUGAUUUAUAGAUUACUAUUUUUAUAGUGUGGAAGUAUUUUGGAAUUGUAGAGCAAAGGUUAAUGAUUUAUGGGUGAUUCAAGGACUUACGGUUUGGCAUCGUGGUAGGCUUCUAUGUAAUCUUCUUCACAAGAUAGUGUGUUAUAUAUAUUGCAUGUUGGUAAGAAUGUUCGGAUAUGAUUAUAGAUAAAUUAAAAUACAUUAGGCUAAUUUAGAAGUUUGUGGAUAGAAGGGUGAAACAACCCUUAAGAUGAAAUACUUGUUAUGCCUAUAAGGUUUACUACUUGACACAGUAGAUUAUUGUGGUUCCGCGUAUUAUUAUGCUAUGUUGGUUAUAUAUUAUUAGGCUCAAGGUCUUUAUUACAAUAUUAGUUGGUCUCCGAGUGAGUGAUUUCUCCUCAUAAAGGACGUAGUUGUAGUCUAUGGAUGUUUAUAUGCUUAUACUUGAAUUGUUUGAAAGCUAGUGAUGGCAUGCAUAGAUUUGGUACAUUCUUUCUCACAUAAUGGUACAAUUCAAAUAAAAACAUGGUUUUUCUACAAUUUUCCUAAAACAAAUUUAUUCUCACUUUUCACUUUUAAAAUAGAUUCUUUAAUAAUGGGAAUCGUGCCAUCUUAAUGGAUGAUUUAUGAGAUUUUGUGACUAAAAAAGAUAUUUUAUAAAUUUGGCGAAGAUAGAUUCCGGUCAAUGAUUUUAGUACUAAUAUUUAGUUUGGUCCAGAGAGUUUUUGACCUUUGCUUCUUUUUUAUACCGAUUUAGUCCCCAAGUUGAUCUCAAGCAACUGAUUCGCAGACUUACACAUUUUAGCCACGAUUCAUGUCUGUGCAUUUAUUACAUAUAUUUCUCUUCGGUAUUGGACGGAGGAGUAUGAUGAUGAUGAUUAUUAUUGGAAAUCCUGGAUCGAGACUAGGUUGAUGUAUACGGGUAGUCUAAACCCCCUAAGGGCCCCUUCGUCCGUGAGCUAUAGUUCCAAAGAAGAGAGGUCGACAUAGGUCAUGCCUUUGCAACUCGUCGCGCUUGAGGAGGUGUAUGCACGGUGAUACAUUAUGGCACAAGGAUUCAUUAUGGUAUCAUGGAUUUACUUUGGAUUCAUUCAUGCAUGGGCAUUGCCUAUAACAAGUAUUUUGUUUGGUACCUAUAUCUAUCAUCCAUAUAGAGGAUACGUGUUGAUAGAAUCGUUCGUUUUACGCGGCCCAAUUAUUGUAUUGUUUGUCGAAACCAUUCAAUUGCUUUAUUUUUAUUAGAGAAAAUAUACAAAGACACGACUGAAGUUGUCCCGAAUUUAUAGGACACUUAAAGUUUGCGGGUAUCCUGUUACCCCACAAAACUAGUUAACACUAUUCAAAAUAACCUCUUUUGACCCAUUUUGAGCCCAUAUAUUUUAUCAUACUAGAGACAUAUGUCAGGAAAAAAAAUUAUUGCACCAUAGAAUUAAAAAAUGCCACAUGUAAUGAAAAAUUUCCACUUUUGUUAUUUUUGUAUUUUACUAUUUGUUGUAUCUUUUCUAUCUUUUUCUUUUGUUUCUUCUUUCUUCUUCCAUUAAUGGUGUCUUGUUUUCCCUCUUCCUCUUCUUCUCCAUUAAUGGGAUGGUGGUGGAUUUUAUAAUGGUCAGUAUUUAUUUUGAAUAAAAAUCAAAACAGAUUAAAAAGGUAAAAAGGAGAUGGUAUAUUAGGCACCAUUUUUCCGGCAAAAUGGUAUUUUCUGACGGCAAAAAAAGUGAUGGAAUUUCGUCGGAUUUAUGAAUUAUAAUGAUGGAAGAAAUCAAUGUUAAAGUGAGCCCGAAGUUUAAUGAAAUUUUAAAAUAAAUUAUAAAAUAAAAUCAUUGAUUUUCUUGAAACAAGAUGAAAAAAUAACUAACCAUAUGAACUCAAAAAAUUAUAUCCAAUUUUAAUUUUGUAAACCUAGUACAACUAUAAUAGCACAACAGGGAUAGAAUGGUUAUUAUUUCAAAAUUUAAAGGUUGAUUAUGGAAACUCUGGAUAGUGGAAUGAAGGAGAAGGAAAUUAUUUGAAUAAAAGAAGAGGAAUUAAGUACACGGAGGGAGGGGGUGGGUAAAUGUCAAGACCUAACCCUACGCAUAGUCGUGACGAGUAUCUCAAUCCCAACCGAGAGCCGGAGACUACCCCCUUAGCCUAGCCAACUAGAACACAAUAUGUUAUAACAAUGAAAGCAACCCAAACAAUCAUAUGGAAGAUAGAUAGACUCAAAAGGAACUAAUAAUCAACAAAAAAAUAACCACUCACACUUUGUCCACAAAAGCCUCUAAACUGAAAUACCAAGUUAGGAUGGAACAUGCCCCCAAUAAUAGCCAGAAAGGUAAUUCAAAAUAUAAAAACAAUCGAUGGAAUUUCGAUAAUCAUAAAGAAGGUGGUGCAAUGUUCGGCCUUCCAAAAUAUGGAGGCUCACCACUUCAAAACAGACUAAUCAACAAACCAAAAUCACCUAAAUCUGCACAAACUAACCAAAACACCUCUAGGAUCCUCCAUCAUGAUACAAUGUACCAUUCAGGAGUGCUUAGCGGGGUGAGAUCUUGCAUGUAACUCAGGGAAGGGAUAAAAUAAUGUCAUAAUCAAAUCAGUCCAAAAUCCUUAAGAAACCAUAUUCACACAUUCAUAUAUGCAUAUAUAUAAGAUGUAGGUAUAGGGAACAAGGUUUAGCAUGAGAUUUAAAAACCAUUAACCUGGAUGGUAUAGCUCUAACCAUCCUAAGGGAACCCAGGGGCUUUAUGGGUUCAACUUUCCCUUCUAAAAAUCAACUAGCACAUGCUAGCCGCAUGAACUAGGAAAAUAUGAGGAAGGGCCAAAACCACUGAGGCUCAAACUAUUCCAAAAAUAUAAAUAAUGUGUGAACUAUGCACAUAAUCACCAAGACCCCAUGCCGGAAAACGUGGUUUCUAGUAUCGGUCCUACCGGGACCUCUACCUUCCAUGGUGAGCUACACAACCCUCUUCAAGCCUAAAUUAAAACCAUUUACACAUUUUUAUCCAAUAACCAUGGAGUCUUUUGAUUGGGCAUUUACCAUUGGUGUCGUCACACAAAAUAAAGUUAAGCUUGCAAGCCAAUUCUAUUAUGCCAUUCCAAACUAAUUAGCAAAACAAACUCAAAAAUUCCAAUUUAGAAACCAAGGAGUCUUUUGAUUAGGAAUUUACCAUUGGUAACGUCAUACAAAAUAAAGUUAAGCUUGCAAGCCAAUUCCAUUAUGCCAUUCCAAACUAAUUAGCCAAAUACACUCAAAAAUUUCAAUUUAGAAACCAAAGUAUGGCCACCAAGGACUUUAAAAAUCAUUUAAAAUCAAACCAUGGCCACCAAGGCUUUACAAAACCAUUUCUUUUCCAUUUAGCUAUUAAUGAAAUGCAAAUGUUUAGUAAAGUAUGUAAAACCAUGUAAGUGUCCAUAUUUCAAAACCAAUUAUGCAAGUGGGAAGAGAUUACUACUAGUCCCAAACCAGAAACCAUAAUUUUUUGGGCAAUCCAUGACCCUGAUCCUAUUCACCAUUCACAUACAUCCAAUUAUUUUAAAAACCACAAGUUAAAGCAUGAAUAACAAUUCAAAAACCAUGGGAAAACCAACAAAGUAACAACCAUUCAAAACCCUCAACCCAUCAUUCCAAACCCAUCAUUUAAAAUCAUAUGAAAAAUGAUUAAACUACUUGUAUUUAUGAAAAGACAAAUUAGGAAAGAGAUACAAGCCUGAAAACACAAAGUAUUUGGAGAGGAAACCACAAUUUUAAUUCAAGGUGCUCAAUCCUUACAAACUGUAGAUUCCUUUUUCUUGGGGAGUGUUUAAGAUGUGAGAAGUGUGUUUUGAUUUGUUUAUUAAUGAUCAUAAGACCCUAGAACUAUUUUUAUGUCCUGGGUAAUGAGUUAAGGAUGAGAAAAUAACAACAAUCCUCAAUAGAAACAUCUAGGAAAACUGCCGCCAGUCGUUAUGGGUCAGGUGAUGACUCAUAAUUAUAGGAUACGAGUCUUUGACUUGACUCAUAGUCUAGGCAGAAACAUUGGGUACCUAUAUUGUUAUGGUCACGAGUUCUUCACCACGACUGGUGACCACACCUUCAGACUCAUAAGGUUUUAGUCAUGGCUAGGCUAGAAACAUUUGACAACCUUACUGGUUAGACCAUAAUAGUCCCUACAUGACUUGUAUAGAGUAACUAUGACUUGUUACCUUAGUCAUAGUAUGGAUAGUGAACUCAAUCAAAAUGAAAAUUUCAGAGUCUAAAAGUUUAGGUAUUACAUUACCCCCGCCCUACAGGAUAAUUCAUCCCCAAAUGAGGAGUCAAGGUACUAAUUAGCAUGAUAACAAGAAUGAAUGCAUACAUACCCAAAUGAUAAAUUUAAAAGGCCACACGAAAGAGAACAAAAAUCAUACCUCAAGGUUUUUCAUCCAAUACAAGGAAUAGGAAUAGAUAUUCAGACCUCAUGUCUUCUUCGGCUUCCUAAGUAGGUUCUUACACCCUUUGAUUCCUCCACCAAUACAUUCUUAGUCCUCAACCUACGGAAUUUUCUAUCAAAAAUAACUAUCGGGACUUCCUCAUAAGACAAGGAAUCUAAAAUACCAACAUUCCCUACAGUGACAACCAAAAAAGAAUCACCCACACAUUUCUUCAACAUCAAUACAUGGAAACCAGAUGAAUGGAACUCAAACUCUAGAGCAAAUUCAAAUCAUGAGAAAUAUUCCCAACUCUCCCCAAAUUUUAAUACAGGACAAUAUAACGGGGACUGAGCUUCCCUUUCUUCCCAAACAUCAUCACUCCUUUCAGAAGAGAGACUUUCAAGAACACCCAAUCACUUACUUCUAACUCCAACUCUCUUUAUCUUACAUCCGCAUACAAAUUAUGGUGAAUUUGGGAAGUCUUAAGCCUCUCUCUAAUCACUUUCACCUUCUCUAUGGUGUGAUGAACCAAAUCAGGACCAAACAACCUAGUCUCACCAACCUCAAAUAACAUUGAUAGGAGACCUAUACCUCCUACUAUAUUGAGCCUCAAAAGGAGCUAUCUAAAUACUCUAUGGUAACUAUUGUUAUACUCAAACUAAAUAAGAGGCAAAUGAUCAACCAAACUACUUCCAAAAUCAAUCAUAUAAGCCCUUAGGAUAUCCUUCAAAUUCUGAAAAAGUUAACCUUAGUCACUAAACCUAUCUAAAAUGAAAGCUAAAAGUUAGAAGAGAAUUGCAUACCUUGGUAUGAAAUAAUGGACACUGGAGCACCAUGCAACUUGAUGAUCACCUGAAUAAACAAUUUAGCAUAAUUCUCUCCAGAGUAGAUAGUUCUUACUAUAAAGAAGUGAGUAGACUUAGUCAUCCUAUAAAAAAUGGCCCAAAUUAAAUAAUACUUAUAGAAAGAUCAAGGAUGAUCCAUAAUGAAAUCCAUGUUGAUUAUCUCUCCUUUCCACACAUGCAACUCUAUCUCAUAAAAUACUCUUUUAGGACUCAAGUGUUCAGCCUUUACCUACUAACACACAGUAAAAUUGGCCAAAAAAUUCACCACGUCAUUCUUUAAUUACUCCUCCAAUAGAUUUCCUUAUGUCACAGUACAUAUUUGUCAAAUUCUAAUGAAUUGUAUACCUUAAAUCAUGAGUCUCAGUCAAAAUACUUUCUCCUAACCUAUCAAUAUCAGGAAUGCACAACCUGACUUGGUGCCUAAUGAUACCAUCUCCCCUAAUCUCAAAUUACAUAACCUUUUGUUGACCCCUAUCUAGCUUAAUCUACAUGAGUAUAGGAUCCAAAGCCUGCUUCUCCUUCACUGCAACACCAAGAGAUAACUUAACCAACACUUAAGAAACUAAUCCUCCAUCCUUAGAGUUUAAAAGAUGAAAUCCUAAAUUUUUCAAUCGAUGAAUCUCCUUCUCCAACCCUCACUUCUCCUCAUUCAUAAGAGAUAAGAUCCCCAUGGAUAACCUGCUAAGAGCAUCAGCAAUAAUAUUAGCUUUACCCAAAUGAUAGUGAAUACUCAUCUUAUAGUCCUUGAGAAACUCAAGAUACCACCUCUGCCUGAGAUUCAACUCCUUCUAACUAAACACAUACUGUAAACUUUUAUGGUCUAAAUAAAUGUUUACAAGCACUCCAUACAAGUAAUGGCACUAAAUUUUCUAAGGAAAAACCACAUCUGCCAAUUCAAAAUCAUGAAUUAGAUAAUUAAUUUCCUGAACCUUAAGUUUCCUAGAAGCAUAGGCCACUACCUUAGCAUGUUGCAUCAAGACAUAACCUAGUCCCAUGUGGGAUACAUCAUAAUACACAACAAAUCCAUCGGUACCCUCGGGCGGGAACAGAAUUUACACAAAAGUAACUUAUCCUUCAACUUCUUAAUGCUACCCUCAAAAGUUGGACUAAAAUAACUUCACCUUGUUUUGAAUCAAUCUUUUCAAUGAAGCAAUAAUAGAAGAGACUCUCUAUAAACCACUGAAAAUACCCAGCAAAGCCCAAGAAGCUCUAAAUAUAAGUUGGAGUCGUGGGUCUAGGACAACUCUUGAUUGCCUUAACUUUUUAUGGAUCUACCUUGAUCCCCUCACUAAAAAUAACAUGCCCAAGAAAAGUUAAAACAUUCAACCAAAACUCACACUUAGAAAAUUUAGCAUAUAACCUUUGAUCCAUAAGUGUCUGCAACAUAAUGUGGAGAUGACUGACAUGAUCCACCUAACUCUUAGAAUACACCAAUAUAUCAUUAAUAAACAUUAUCACAAGCAGAUCCAAAAACUAUCAAAACACCGGGUUCAUGAGAUCCAUAAAGGAAUCAAGAUCACUAGUCAACCCAAAUGACAUAACCAAAAUUUUAUAAUAACCAUAUUGGGUUCGACAAAUAGUCUUGGGAAUAUCAAUUACCCAAAUCUUCAACUGAUGAAAACCCGAAUAAAGAUCAAUCUUAGAAAACCAUCUAGCUCCCUGAAGCUAGUUGAAAUGAUCAACAAUCAUAGGAAGAGGGUACUUAUUCUUCACUAUAACCUUAUUUAACUAUAGAUAAUCCACAAAAAUCUGAAGAGAGCUAUUUUUCUUAUGCAUAAAAUGCAUGGGAGAAACCCACAUAAAAAUACUAGGGCGAAUGAAUCCUUUAUUAAGAAGAUCCUUUAACUGCUCCUUUAGCUCUUUUAAUUUAGUCGGUACCAUUCUAUUAGGAAAAAUAGAGAUAGGGCAAGUAUUAGGUAGAAGUUUAAUACCAAAGUCAAUUUCUUUAUCGGGAGGAAUACCAGUAAGAUCCCCAGAAAAAACUUUAGGAAGCUCAUUGAAAAUAAGGAUAGAUUGCAAUGAGGGAUCCUCAAAUCUAGAAUACUUAAACUGAACAAGGUGAUAUAGACACCCCCUUAGAGAUCUACUUUUAGGCUCUAACAAAGAAAUAAACCUCCCUUUAGGCACUAAGGAACUUCUCUCCUAUUUAAUUAGCAGUUCAUUACAAGAUUGGAAACUAAUAAUCUAGGUCCUACAAUCUAGACAAGCAUAGCAUGAGUGAAGCCAAUCCAUCCCUAAGAUUACAUCAAAUUCUUACUUAUCAAGCUCUACCAAGUCCAUCAACGUCUAUACAGAAUGAAAACUACACAGCCCAUAUAGAUUGUUCUAGCAACCACAAAAUCACCCACUUGAGUAGACACAAAAAAGGGGUCGAUUUUACUUUUAGAACCAAAACCAAAAUGCAUAGCCACAUAAGGGGUCACAUAAGAAAUGUUAAACCCUGGAUCAAGCAAAUAAAACAUAUCUCAAGAGAAAAGUUGUAAUGUAAUUAUAACAACAUUAUGAGAUGCCUCAGAUUCCUGAUAGGUAGCAAGAGCAUAGAGACGAUUCUGGAUAGUAUCGGCACCAGAAGUACCACUAAUUGGCGCAGAAGCUAAGGAUGUGGUAACCAAAACAUUAUUUGCCUUGUGGCUUGCUUAGCUGAGGGAAUGUCUUACUGCAUAUAAUAAAGCUAACCAAAAUUAAAUAACUAAUUUCUCCUAUCAUCCCAAUGAUCUCGGUGAAGUUGAUCACAAAAUAUACAAGGAGGAUAUUAUGGGGCUUACUAAGCUCCACUAGCCUGAUUUUGGGCACCCUGUGCCUUAGGACCACUACUAGUCUGAAAACGGCAAUCACUAGACGACUUCGAAUAAAGAGCACUAGUCAAAGAAUAUGAAAUAGAAUUUCCACAAGUUUACUUUUUACUCCACUAUCUACCAUCACUUUAACUAGCUUGCUGCCCUUCACCUUGUUUUGAAUACCUGAACUUCUUAUUCUGCCUCUCCACCAUCUCCUCUCAUCUCUUCUUUUCAUCCUUUACCUGUUACAUAUAAACCACAAGACUAAGGAUAUCCAUGUCAUUAUUGAACAUUGCAUUCUUACACUUCAAUACCAAAAUCACAAGACAAACCCAAAGCAAACUUCCUUAUUCUAGCCCUCAUAUUACACAUCAAUUCUAGAGUCUAACGAGACAACUGAUGGAACUUUAGGGCAUAUUCCUUCACACUCAUCCUACUUUUCCUUAAGUUUGCAAACUUUUCAACCUUAUUAUCCUUCAACUCUUGUAGAAAUAAAUAAUCAAGAAAAGCACCCAAAACCUUCUCUCAUAUUGCUGCUCAGUAUCAUUACCCCUUAACUACUCCCACUCCUCACACCACAAGUAAGCAACAUCCUUUAACUAGCAUGUAUCAAAUGCUACAACCUCGUAAUCAGUAGUAUGCAUCACCUUAAAUAUCUCUUCUAUCUCAUCAAUGAACCCCUUACGAUCCUUUUAAAGUUUAGAGACUAUAAAUAUUAGGGGAUUUAAUCUUAUAAAUUUUCCAGCCUAAGUAACCUCAGAUAAAACCACACCAGAACCAAUAGGACCAGACUGAUAAGACUGAGAAGACACUAAUUAAGUAAGAAGAUGAAUAGACCUGUGGAGCUCCAUAUUAGAGAUAUCCUCCUAAGGUAAUAAGUGUCACCAGCCGAGGAAGGACUAGUGGGGACAGACAUAAUGUUAGGUGGAGUAGCAUAAUUAGGAACAGGGACCUUAGAUUUGGUAUGCACUCCAUAAGUAGGUUGAGUUGCAUUAAUAAUGUUUGCAGGUAGGACAGAGGGCUUGGUAAAGUUCCUAAGAAAAUUAGAUCUUUAGGGAGGCAUGAUCUGAAAUAUGAGUAAACUAAAAGUUAGAGAAAUACCACGACCCUAGACUCUAUAGCCCAAAAUAGAACCCAAGAAAGGGAAACAUUCCUAAAUGUCUUUUCGCCUCCUCCUGUUAGUGUGGCACGCUAAACACCCAUGAAAGGGAAUCUAUUCUACACGGACUUAUGGACACCCAAUAAGCCUGAACUUAUGCUCUGAUACCAAGCUUGUCAUGAGUCGACCCCUGGACUAGUCGUGAUGGGCAUCUCAAGACCACCGAGAGCUAGAGACCACCCCAUUAGACUAGCCAACCAGUACACAAUAUAAUAUAAUAGCAGAAGUAACAUAAACAAACGUAUAGAAGGUAAAUAGAUAACUCAAUAGUAGCAAAUUAUCAAUAAAUAAUAAUGACCUAUACUUUGUCCAAAAAAGCCUCUAAACAAAAAUACCAAGUUAGGUUCAGAUAUGCCCCCAAACAUGGCUAAAAAGGGAACCUAAAAUAUUAAAAAAGAAACCAAUAGGAUUUUGAUAAUCAUAAAGAAAGUAGUGAAAUGUUUGGCCUUUUAGAAAGAUGGAGGAUCAUGACUUUAAUUCAGACUAAUCAAUGAAUCAAAAUCACCUAACUCAGCACAAGAUGACCAAAGAACACCUAGGAACCUGGAUGAUGAAAUGAUGUAGCCUUCGAGGAUAGUUAGCGGGGUGAGCGCUAGCACGUAACUCAGGGAAGGGUUAAAAUAAUGCCAUAAUUAAAUCAAUCCAAAACCAUUCAAAAACCACAUGAAAGUAUUCAUAUAUACAUAUAUAUAAUAUAUCGGUAUAGGUAACAAGGUUCAUUAUGAGAUGUAAAAACCAUUAAUCUGGACUGUUAUCUUUACCGUCCUAAGGGCACCCACGAUCAAUAUGAGUUUAGCUCCCCUUGUUGAAUGGGUCCCAAUGCCUAUAGAUUUUAUAAACUAGGAAAAUACUAGGAAGGUCCAAAGCCUUCGUGGCUCCAACCAUUCAAAAAAUAUAUGUAUAAUAUGUGAACUAUGCAUUCGGUCACCAAGACCCCUACGCCUGCCAACGUGGUUUCCAGUACUGAUCCCCUCGGUACCUCCACCUUUCAUGACAAGCUACAUAACCUAUUUAAUCCCAAAUUCAAACUAUUUACAAAUUUCCAUCCAUUAACCAAGGGGUCUUUAGUUAGGCACUUACCGUUGGUAUUGUUAUACAAAAUAAAAUUAAUCUUGCAAGACAAUUCCAUUAUGCCAUUGCAAACCAAUAAGCCAAAUAAACUCUAGAGUUCUAAUUUAGAAGCCAAUAUAUGACCACCAAGGCCUUUCAAAACCAUUUACAACAAACCAAUGGAAACAAAGGCAUUCAAAAUCCAUUUAUAUCUAUUUAUCCAUUAAUGAAAUGCAAUAGUUUAGUAACGUAAACAAAACCAUAUAAUUGUCAAUAUUUCAAAACUAAUUAUGCUGGUGGGUUGAAGUUAUUACCAGUACCAAACCAAAAAUCAUAAUUUUUUAUGGAUCCACGACCCCCAUCCUAUUAACCAUGCCCAUACAUCCAAUUAGUUCAAAAACCACAAGUUAAAGCAUGAAUUACAAUUCCAAAACUAUGGGAAAACCAACCAAUUAACAACCAUUAAAAACCCUAAACCCACCAUUUAAAAUCAUAUGAACAAUUAUUAAACACAUGAAUUUAUGAAAACCAAGUUAGUAAAGAUAUACAUUCCUGAAAACACCAAGAAUUUUGUGUGGAAACGACAAUUUGAACCCUAGGUUCUCAAUCCUUAGAAACCCUAGAUUUUUUCUACUUUGGGAGAGUUUACGAAGAGAGAAGUAUAUUUUUAUUUUUUUAUGGAUAAUAAUUAGAUAGUACAAGAGAUUUUAAGUUGUGGGUAAUGAGUUAAGUAUGGGAAAAGACCCAAAAAGCCCAUAAUAAGAACGUGUAGAAAAAUUGUCGCCUAUCGUUAUGGGACAACUGAUGACUCAUAAUAAUUGUCUAUGACUAUUUUCUUAGACUCAUAAUCAAGGAAGAAAAAUUGGGUACCUAUACUGUUAUGGUCAUGACUGCCUCACCAUGACUCGUGACCAUACGUUAUGACUCGUAAGGUUUUAGUAGUCGCCAGGAUAAAAACAUUGGACAACCUUAAUAUUUAGACCAAUAUAGGCAUGGCAUGAAACAUAAGAGUGACUAUGACUCAUCACUUGAGAUAUAGUGUGGACAGUUGUAAUACCUAAGGAAAUUUUUUGUUGAAAUUUUAUGCGUAAACGUAUUGGGUUCUAUCUUCUAGGAUGAAUUAUAAAUUUUUCCAUGUGGAAUGUCUUAGGUUAUGACCCACCAUUGCGUAGAGUAUUAAAUAAGCUUUCCAACGAUAUAUGGAUCAUCCAAAAUGGAUACCCGAGCGACGAGUUAUGAACAUUCCGAUCAAACCAUGAAUAGUAGUGUACAGUAAAACGUGCAGGAAAAAGUACUGAGGCAUGGUGUAUUUUUGCUCCAGCUUUAAACGAUCAUAAAUCCUUGUAUAUAAUGAUCUGGGUGAUCUACUAUAUAUUAACAGAAAGAUAUGAGAGUCCUCUUUCUAAUGAAAUUGGUUUCAUCUAAUUUGUCUAUCAGAGUAAAAUAUUAUGGUUGAUCUACUUUAGACUAUCAAAACAGUCCACCAAAGGAUAGAUUUGAGAAUUAUUUGAUUUUUAGGGGCAUUUUGGUCAUUCCCCCUCACCUAAAAUCCAUCCAAACCCUAUAUUAAAGCCUAUUAGAAACAUUAUAUGUUAUAUUUCAUCAAAUUCCCUUAAAAAGAAAACUCUAAGAUCCUACAUCUAACUUCAAGAACCUCCAAAGUUCACCAUUAAUUCUGCAAAUUUAUUCAAGAUUCCAAGUUCCUACUUCAAGAACUUCAAGAACCUCCAAAGUUCACCAUUAAUUCUGNNNNNNNNNNNNNNNNNNNNNNNNNNNNNNNNNNNNNNNNNNNNNNNNNNNNNNNNNNNNNNNNNNNNNNNNNNNNNNNNNNNNNNNNNNNNNNNNNNNNNNNNNNNNNNNNNNNNNNNNNNNNNNNNNNNNNNNNNNNNNNNNNNNNNNNNNNNNNNNNNNNNNNNNNNNNNNNNNNNNNNNNNNNNNNNNNNNNNNNNNNNNNNNNNNNNNNNNNNNNNNNNNNNNNNNNNNNNNNNNNNNNNNNNNNNNNNNNNNNNNNNNNNNNNNNNNNNNNNNNNNNNNNNNNNNNNNNNNNNNNNNNNNNNNNNNNNNNNNNNNNNNNNNNNNNNNNNNNNNNNNNNNNNNNNNNNNNNNNNNNNNNNNNNNNNNNNNNNNNNNNNNNNNNNNNNNNNNNNNNNNNNNNNNNNNNNNNNNNNNNNNNNNNNNNNNNNNNNNNNNNNNNNNNNNNNNNNNNNNNNNNNNNNNNNNNNNNNNNNNNNNNNNNNNNNNNNNNNNNNNNNNNNNNNAGAUGGGAAGCAUGAUGGCUCCCAAUGUAUAUUUAUAUAUUACUGAAAUUAUUUUUUUGUGGAUUGUCUUUGAAAUGAUUUGAGCUAAGUUCGGGAGAAAUCUUUAGCACAGAGUGGGAGGUAUAAAGAGACCUUACUUCCCUAGAACUACAUGCCCUCGUAGGAGUGAGCAUGAGGCUGAUUUAUAUAGUGAUCACUAGUUUGUGUGGAUUUGAUAUCGAUAGUCCUACUCCGAUGGCAAGGAUAGGAUGGCUCUCCCCAAUGUGGGUUGUACGUUGGACUCCAUGUAGCUCACAUGGUUUUUGUCAGUUAUAGGAUCUCCCAGUGUGUGUGUGUUUCCUUGUGUCUAUGGUGAAUGGUAAAAUGAUUUGAAAGUGGUAUUGUGAAGUUAUUCUUUUGAAAGAUUUAAAUGAUAUUUACAUUAUGAGAAUUGAUAUUCUUGAUGAACUAAAAGUGACUGACAAAUUCUAUGAUGACUCACAUGUGUUAUUGUACUUAUUUCAUCCUCUCAUGAUUAUGAUGAUUUUCUUCGGGCUAUGUGAGUCUUUCAUACAUCCUGCAUAUUUCUUAUAAAUAUAUUUGAUGAUGAUGUAUUAUACAACUGUAUACACCCCCAUAUACUCGGUUCCUUUCUAAGGUACUAACCCACAUCUUCGGAUGUGGGCUGCAUUUUCUCGAAAUAUAGGUUCAGGUGCUCAGUUCCAGGUUCGACAGUGAUUCUUCGGGCACGCUGUUCUACAUUCUCUGUCGUGGUAAGUCCUCAUGUUCCGAGACGUGAUGUCUGAUGUUGGUUUUACGAGAUUGUUAACAUUUCAUAACUGAGUAUGAUUUAGUUGGGGCAUAUCUCAAUAGCUCGCUGGUUGUAUUAAUUUUCUUAGAGGCUUGUCAGACUAGUAUAGAUGUUGGGAGUUGACUAAUAAGUCGUAUUUUGUUAUCUUUCUAAAAAAAUUUUAUUCUUGGAUGAUGAUUACUCUGUUGAUAUUUGAGGGUUAUUUAUGGAACCCCAUUGAUUCGUGUUGAACUGAAUGAAAAUGGCUCAAAGGAUUAGCUUGGGGCUACUCGUAGCCUCAAGCAUCGUGUGACGCUCUGGGACCCAUUUUCAAAGCGUUACAACAGUGAGCUCAAUCUCAAAGAAAAUUUUAGAGUCCAAAACCCGAGGUAUUAUAGUAAAAGAGAGAAAUAAAAGUCAAAAGAGUAAGAGAGAGAAAACAAAGAGAAAAACAUAAUGAAAAAUAAAAAAGAUAUUUAUGAAUAAAUUAUAACAUGUUAAUUAGUAAUUGGUGUGUAUUUUGUAACUAGAUUUUAGAAAUUAGGAUUGAUUUUUAAAAUAUGUAUUAAUAUCAUUUCAAUAUUUUUUGGAGGUAAUAGGAUGUCCGCAAACUUUAAGUGUCUUUUUGAAAACUUGGGACAGCUUCUAUGGUUUCUUUAUGUUUUUUCUAUUUUUAUUAUUAUGGUUAGUCCAUGGUAAGUUUAUUAUAGACUGUUACUGAGAUUUGAGGUAUGAUUCUGAUUCAUUUAUCUGAUGAUUAUUUUAUUAUGAAUAAUUAUCUCAUGGUUUGACAUUAUUGAUUAGGGAUGCCGAUUAUUCUAGCACUUGUUCCUACUAUGAUUAAGAGAAAUUAAGAUAUUAAUAAGACUACCUUAGGUUGUACUUUUGAGUUAGUCAUGUAUAUAUAUAUAUAUAUAUAUAUUCAUGUUGUAUAUCUUUUCUUUGAACUUGUAUACUAUUAUAUGUCAUUUUUCUGCUCUUUAUUUGUAUAUUGGCUAGUGAUAUAUGGUAUAGUGCUUUAGUGAUUGAGAACAUCUAGAAUAGGGUAGCUUAUCCUUACUGCUUCUCUAGUUUUAUUUUUUAGCUUCCUAGAUAUUUGGUUGAAGUUACAUUAUUUCUUCCAUACUAUUUGUAUUUGAAUUAUAUUUUGAGCUCAAUCGAUAAUUUCUUUUGGGUAUCACAUGUUUUGUGCUCAUACUACACUUCUACAACAUACAAAUCAUAGUACAGGUUUUUCGUUGUUUAUGCAUCUUAUAGAGUAGCUAUUGAUUAGAGAUUUAGGGUGAGCUCCUGAGCUUUAGAGUAUUACUAUUCUUUCUAUUAUGGGUUAGAGUGAUCUCUAUGUUGUAUUUAGAGAUGGCAGCACCUGUAUAUUUAUUUAAAACUUUAUUUUCUAUUUUUAUUAUAUUAGAAACACUUGAACUAAUUUCAUUAGGUUUUAGCCCUAUUUUAUAUAUUAGUCUUGUAUUAUAUUUAUUUAACUAUAUUCAUUCAUUUCUUUUGGUAGUCCAUUUCAAGCAUUUCCAAACUGUGGGUUGGGUUACCUACUAGUCAGAUUGUAGUAGGUACCAUCAUGACUUAAGAAGUUGGAUCAUGAUAAAUUGGUAUCAAACCUGGGUUUAUCAGUGUGUUGGUAAAAGAGCUAAGUGUCUUAUAGGGUCAUGUAAAUUGGUACGAAGACAUUUGUUACCAAUUUUUGGGAGGCUAUUGGCCAUUAUUAGGAAAAAAAAAUUUGACUCUUUGUCAUUUGUCUGUAUUUCUAUAAGCCUCAAGUACAUUCUUUGACUCCAAUCUAUCCCAGAUGGAUAAUACGAGGUUAAUGAUAGUUGCAUAUAAAUUUCAACAUAUGUUUCCAGAGCUUCAGCAUAAUGUUAGACUAGGGAUUCAGAGUUUAACACAAAGAUCUUCAGUAUCGAUUAGAGUAUUUGAGGCAAACUCAGGUUUCAAUAGCGUUUGUGAGUGCUUCAUCCUUUCAAAAUUUAGCACUAGGGCUUCUGAGCCAUUAUACGAAUAACUCAUGACUAGAGAUGAAAUCUAAUUAAUCAAGUAGUUAUCAAGGUAGAGUUUGGUUUAUUGAUGUUUAGCAGGGUUCCUUAUUUAUUUUAGAGUAUCAUAUUAGGUUUCUUAAAUGGGCCCAUUAUAUUCUUAUGUUAUAUCCUUCAAAGCAUGAGAUGGUGUAUGGAUUUAUUUAAGGAUUAGCUUUGCCACUCAAUUUAGCAUUAGAGUAUUUAAUAGUAGUUUGGUCUCCCUUCUUUUAGGUAGUUAACUAUGUGAGAUACAUAGUGAAAACAUGUAUUGACUCUUGUGAAUGUGGAAGUAAGAGGACAUGUUAUUAGAAUAGUUUAUAAUAGUCCAUCCAAGAGUGAGGAUCCUUCUAUAUAAGAUCAGCUUCAACUUAUCCAAUCAGUUCUACACAAGUAGCAUUUAAACCAUAGGUAACUCAUAGAUCAAUCAUGGUGAUCAAGGAAGGCACUAUUUUUGUCAGGCCUUAUAGAGUAUUUAAACAUGGAUUUUUAGGCCAUUGUUAUCAUUCUAGAUUAGUGAUUAUAGCACCUCAUAGUAUUCUAGGAGUUUUUUAUGGUUAUGGAGAGAUUGAUCAAUUGUCUAGAGAAUGCUCCAAAUGUGAGUUGGUUAUUCAGACAGAGUUUAUAUGUGUUCCCCACCCGCAGAAGGCUUCUUUGGUAUUUUAUGAUGGCAGGGAGGAUGUUCAUCUAUGUAAGAAGUACCACCGACAUCAGUUGGUCAGCCAGUUAGGGUUGGAUCGUGUUUCUCACUAUAUUACAGCAUCAUGGGCUUGCUAUGACUAAGAUAGAUUGAUCAAUGGUCACGACCCGAGACUACAGAAGCACAAGAAAUCCUAAGCUAACCCAUGAACUAGCAUAAUACUUGAGCAACUGAUUUAGAAUAAAUAAAAUAGCCAAAUUCGUUGUGCGGAAACAUAAUUAUUACAUAAUUUGGAUAAAUAAUACUGAUAAAGUUUACCAUCUGAUAAAACUGAAGAGAGAACUAGAAUUUACAUUUUAUAACUCUGACUGACUAUCUAUGAAGCCCCUACUAUACUGACUGUAAAUAGCUGAGACAUGUCUCCAACUACCACAAUCAAUUGAUAGGAAUAAUCAAAGAAAAGUACAUAACCUACUACUAACUAGAGUCCUCAAAAAAGAAAACUCAUCACAUGCUAGUCAGAAGAUGCAAACUGUCUGAUUAUGUCUUGUAGGCUACAACGGGUACCUACAUUAUAAGACAAUAUAAUUCAUAGACAUACAUAUAGAUUAGUACUUUUAGAAUGUACAUCGUAAACGGGGGUAAAUGCAAUAAGUAAAACUGAGAAGAAAUAAAAUCCUAAAACAUGCAUGUUAAGUACUAGUAGACUCACCAAGAGACUAAAAUAAACUAAAAUUUGAAGUAGCUUAAACAUGAAUAACAAACAUAAUCUGAUAAGUUGGUUCACUAGACUUAGUUACUUAAAUCUUUACUUUUAUUGAAUAAGUAGAUCUGAUGCUAGAAAGUGGUAAAAAAUGAAUAAUGUAUGUAAAUAUUAUGUAAAGCUGACAAUGCUAUAAAACUGGACUAAAGAUCAUGUAUGGGUACUGAACGUGAAAAAUAACUUAAAUAUAUAAAACUAAAAAUAUAAGACCAAGCAUAAACAUGUUUUUGAGAUAAUCUGUAAUCUGAAAGACUGAAACUGUAUAACUGAAUAACUAAAAAUCUAUAUGCUUUGGUCAAGAAGACAUAAGCUAAGAUAUGCUGAAUACUGACUGAAACUAUGGGAGGUAUUAUCUAAUCGACAUGACCCAAUUUGAGCUAAUCAGGGUCCAACUUGUAACCCAGUUGAAAGGGUGUUAGUACCGUGCCACGAGUAUAAAUACUAGCUGUAUGGAUCCACUAAAUUUGAGUCCUAAAAGACUAAGAAGUCACCCUCUACUGGCAGGUGCUCUCAUGAGAUAUAUGUCAACCCUCAACUAGCAGGUAGAUAUUUUAAACCUAUGUUGGCUACAUAGUUUUAUAACUUACGGACAACUACUAAAGAUUACACCCUCUACUAUCAUGUGAGCCCCCAUCCCUGGGUUCGCUCGAUUAUAAAUUCUACUCCCAACUAAACUAACCCCGGUACAGUGACAGAACUAAACUAAACUAAUCAUUAUUACAUAACUGCUAGUUCUCAUCAUGAUCAUAAAUAUCUGAACAAAUAGUAAGACUCAUGUUUAACUAAAUUAUUACUUGAAUGAUCUAAAGUGUAUAUAAAUGCAUAGGUAUUAGGUGUUCAUAAUCCGCAAGCACUGAAUGACCAUAAAACACGAUAUAAACACUUAAAACUUUAGGAUGGGGAAUCAUGGUUCAAAAACCCAAAACAUGAUCAUUCCACCAAAAUAUGUGAGAAUCAUGAACUUCAACAUGGGAAUACGUUAAACAUGAUAAAUCAACAUGAUUACAUGGCUAAAUUCAAAAUUCAGGGAUUUAACAUGAAAUCAAAGGGGCUAUGACAUAGAAGUAAGUGAACUUGAAAAGGGGAUCAUGUUUAUAUGGAUAAAUGCAUGAGGUUAAAAAUUUAACUUGGGAUGGACCAACCAUGACAUAAAAGUUUGGGGUUUGAAUCACAUAGAACCAUAAUGCACAUGAUAAAGCUAAUAACAUGGCUUGAAUGUAAAAUUAGUAAGGAAUCAUAAAUAUAAAUAAAUCUUUAAGCCCUUAAAGCCUGUAAUCUCACUGAAAUAUCAUAAUUCAAGAAUAUGAAUAAUUGGGUAUGAACCCUAAUUGCAAAUCAUGAACUUUAAUCCUUAAAAUAAGUUUUGGGCACAACGAUAAAAGAGGAUCCUUGUUUUUAAACCCCACAUACCCUAAUUGAUGAAUUCUUGAAGGAAUCUUGAAAUUGAAGAUUAAAUCCUUAUGUCAUUGAUAGUAAAAUCUUGGAUAAUUGUUCUUGGGAAAGGGCAGGGUCUUUACGUGAGUUGAUUUAAGGAAUAAUGUUGGGUGUAUUUCCGCACUUUAGUAUUACUAUUCUAGCUUAUUUAGCCUAGUUUUAAGGACAUUCAUGCCCUUAAUGUGUGAAUAUAAUAUAAAUAAGAAUUUAAGUGUUCAAGUGUGUGAUUACAAUGUUCAAAGUGAAUUCCUAACAAGUUUGUACUUAAUUGAGUCAUUUAGAGUGACAUUACUAGCUUUAGCUAGGUGCUUGUCUAGUUGAUCCCAUCAGAGUAUAUUAUGUUUAUAGGGUUUCAAAGGGUUUAAUUUUGUAAUUAUGAUUGGAAUAAAUUGUUUUUUAUGAGCGACGUUCAAUUUUAUUAAGUUAAGAUUCGGAACAAGAAGUUGAAGAUCAUAAUAAACUAGCCCAGUCUUAUCUCUUGUUUUGAUUCAUCGUUAUGGAAUUUGUGUUGUUUAAAUCUCUAAUUCGUGUGGUGUGAUUAUGUAUUAAGAUUUGUGAUAUGAAUAUGGUGAUAUAGUGAUGAUAUAAAGGCUUGAAAUCUAUGGGAAAUACACCACAAGACAAGGGAUGGAAGGAGGGAUGAGCAACACUUAACCAAAUUUGAAGAUGCAAAUUCCAAUAAGGGAUCGUGAUAGGGUCGUGGCGUGACCCUGACUUGACUUGACCAGGUAGUGCGAUGCAACCCUAGCUUAACUUGACCAAGCACCGCUGUGCGACCCUGCUUCAAACACAAUAAAAAAGAUAACUUUGAAUCUUGCCCAACUUAGGUUUUGGACUUCAGCAUAAAUACAUCAUUUUACACAUUAUAAAUCAUCUUUAAACAUAUUAGAGCUUAUAGGAGGCUUCUACAACUUUAUAUCUAAGGUUUUAAUUACUUUAAUUCAGUUUAUUCAUGUCCUUAGUUGUUAAUUAAGAUAGUGUGAUUACAAUUAUGACUAUGCUUGGCUAAACGCCCUCUUUACGGAGUUAAAGCCAAGAACAUGAGUACUAUUAUUUUGAAUUAAUUUUUUUUAAGUUUAUUAUCAUUAUUGUUUGUGUAUUUAUUCAUUACAUAACUAUUUUGAGGCUUGAUCACCCUUAAAAUACAUCAAUUAUCAACCUUUUAAUCUCAAGAGAAGGAAUAGGCAGAUAGAACAUGGGAAUGAACGAAGUAUGGUAUGUAUUCUGUUAUAAAAUAAGGAAUUUAAAUUAGUGUCUAGGAUAGGUAUGUGGUUACUAAUAAGGUAAAAUUGCAAGAUUUGGUGGAAAUAACACCCACUGAGGAGUGUAGUUCAGUGGUCACUCAAAAGAUGCCGAAAAAGCUUAAGGAUCCUAAGAAGUUCACUCUCCCCAUUCAAGUUCACAAUAGCGAGGUGGUCCAGGAACUUAGUUAUUUAGGGAAAAGUAUCAACUUGAUUACCAUAUCUUUGUUCAAUAAACUGGGUUUGGGAAAACUGAGACCAAGAUCUAUACUACUGCAGCUGGCAAACGGGACUAUAGCUCAUCCGGAAGGAGUGAUAGAGGAUGUCCUCAUAAAUGUUGGUAAAUUUAUUAUUCCUACUGACUUUUUUAUUCUAGAUAUUUAGGCAGAUAAAUAGGUACCAAUUAUAUUGGGCUUCCAUUUUUAGUGAUGGGUGGAGCUUUAAUUAAUGUGAGAGUGGGCAUGCAAACCAUGAGGUUGGAGGAUGAAGAGAUGAUAUUUAAAGUUUACAGGUCACUUAACAUACUAUACCACUAUAAGGACUUAUGUAUGAUACUAUUAUUUAAGGGGAUAAGUGUGGGGUGGUUAGUCCACCCAAGACCUCUUCGGACUAUCUCAUUGAGCUAAUUAAGCAGCAACCACCACAGCCUGACAUAAUGCAAUUUGAUAAGCCUGAAAAGGCUAAAGUUGAAAGAUCUAUUGCUGUGGAGAAUUCACACUGAAGAGGUGUGAAAAUAAUAAGAAGAUGGAGACCAAGUCUGAGAAAGAGAAGGAAAGAGAACGACUAAGUCGUUAAGUUGGGUCAUGCCACAACACUAAAUUAGGCGCUUCUUGGGAGGCAACCCAAGUUAAGUAGGUAUGUUUUUUUUUAGUUUUUAGUUUUUAUUUCACAUAGUUUUUUUGUUUUUGUGGAUUCACGGGUUAAUGGGAAGUCUGAGUACCAAAAACUUGAGCUAAGGAGCAUGGCAAAGACUGAGUAUGGGGUCUAUGGAUCUUUGUAAUGUACAAAAGGAUGCUACUACCUAGGCCUACAUUCCGCAGUGAGUACUUCUAUCUCUUAUAUGAAAAGUUCACUUUGGGGAUAAAGUAGAUUUUUAAUUGUGGGGUGGUAAAUUCCCAAUUUUUGGCUCAAUUUAAAAAAAAUUAUGUAAGAUAUUCUUGUUUGUGUUGUUUUUAAUUACAUGAGGAAAGUGGUUUGAUUUUAUAAGAAUGUUGAUUGAUGUGAUUUACUACUUUUAAGACUCUUAGGCUCAUGUUUAUGACUCUUGUCCUUGUUGGCUUAAUGUUGAAUUCAUGUUAUUGCUUGGAUAAGAGUCUAUAAUGAUCCUAUAUGAGUUAAGCAUGUGACAUACGUGUGUGAGGUGUAGUAUAUUCCUUGUUCCAUGUGAUGUGUUAAACUUACCUGGUGUGUGUGCAAAGCAAAAUAAAGAAUGUGAGUUUAGGAGAUGAUUUAGGCAUUUCCUUGAUAGCAUUGUUUUACACCUUCUAAUUGACCCACCCCUUGUGUUUAAUCUCAGUAAGCCCCAUUAAGCCUUCAGGUUUUUCUUUGGAAGACUCAUAUACAGUCUAAUCCCCUUCUUUUACAAACCAUAAUUUGAUCCAAAAAGCUCCUAGGCACUUUUAUUAAAAAUUAAUUGAGUAAGGAGUUUGAAAAAUAAGAGGGAAAAGGUAAAUUUUAUGCCCCCAAGGUAAUAGUUAUUGAUGUUUAUAAUUGAUGUGUGGUAGAAGGGUGUGAUAGACAGUAUGCUAGAAAAAUUACCAUGGUUGUGAAAAAUAAAAAAAAUCAAUUCAUGUGGUAAUAAACAACACUUCCACCAUGUGUUCGUAAAAAUGCUUAAAAGAGAUAGGGCAAAACAAAAGAUAUGGGUGGAUGGAAAAAGUGUAAUUUGGUUGUUGAAGAUUGGUUUUAAAUGUAUAAUGUGGUGUAUUAAAGCACUUAGAGAGGUUAGUCAGUACUCCCAAAAAGUUUCUACCCGUUCCUUAGCCUACAUUACAACCCGAAAAAGACCUAUUUUAUCUUAAUCUUCAUCAUUUAGUUAUUAGUGGAGCACUACUCUAAGGGAAAACUUAUGGUUCAUUAUGUGUAACUUGUGAAUUCCUUAUGAGAGUGAGUAUAAUUUGAUUCUUGUACCCAGUAUGUUAUAAAAUGUGUUGUUGUGAGUGAUUAUGGGUAACUCUCUUAAUAUGGGGGGCACAUGUUUGAUGAUUAUGGGUGAUUCAUAUGAUGUCCUUGAUUGAAUUAUAAGCAUGAGUAUGCAAACUAGGUGAGUAAAUUUUUGAGGAUAGGAUGUUUUGAAGUAGUGUUCAUGAGCUAUCAAUUAUGUAUAUAACAUGCAUAGUGUAGAAACUUACAUUCUGUGUAGUCAAUGUAGUACUAGCUUUAGUAUCUUGCAUUUAGUGCGAGUGUAGAGUAUCCUUAUAUUAUGAUUCUUAGAGUUAAGAGUUUUUCGAGGAUGAACAAUGCUUUAAGUGUGGGGUGGUAAUGUUGGGUGUAUUUAUGCACUUUAGCAUUACUAUUCUAGCUUAUUUAGCAUAGUUUUGAGAAUGAUUCGUGUGCUUAGUGUGUGAAUAUGAUAUAAAUAAGCAUUUAAGUGUUCAAGUGUGUUUUUACAAUGUUCAAAGUGAAUUCCAAACAAGUUUGUACUUGAUUGAGUCAUUUAGAGUUCAAUCGUGGAAACUAGCAUUACUAUCUUGAGCUAGGUGCUUGUCUAGUUAAUCCCAUUGGAUUAUAUUGUGUUUAAAGGGUUCCAAAUGGUUUAAAUGUGUAAUUAUGAGUGGAAUAACUUGUUGGUUAUUAGCGAAGUUCAAUUUGAUAAAUUUAAGAUUCUAAACAAAAAGUUGAAGAUCAACACAGAUCAACACAAACUAGCCUAGUCUUAAUUCUUGUUUUGAUUCAUCGUCAUGGUAUUUGAGUUGUUUAAAUCUCUAAUUCGUGUGGUGUGAUUAUGUAGGAAGAUUUGUGAGAUUAAUAUGGUAAUGAUAUAAAGGCUGUAAAUCCAUGGGAAAUACACCACAAGACAAGGGAUGGAAGGAGGGAUGAGCAACACUUAAACCAAAUAGUAAAAUGCAAAUUCCAGUGAGGGAUCGCGAUGGGGUCAUGGCGCGACCCUGGCUUGACUUGAUCAGGUAGUGCGCCACAACCCUAGCUUGACUUGACCAAGCACCGUGGUGUGACCCUACUUCAAACAUGGCAAAAAAGUGCACUUUGAAUCCUAAACUACUUGGGCUUUGGACUUCACUAUAAAUACAUCAUUGUACACAUUGUAAAUCAUCUUGGAACAUAUUAGAGCCUAUAGGAGGCUGCUGCAACUUCAUAUCUUAGGUGUUAAUUACUUUAAUUUAGUUCAUUCAUGUCUUUAUUUGUUAAUGACAAUCAUGUGAUUACAAUUAUGACUAUGUGUGGCUAAACGCCCUCUUUUCGGGGUUAAAGCCAAGAACAUGAGUACAAUUAUUUUGAAUUAAUUUUGUUUAAGAUGCUUAUCAUUAUUGGUUGUGUAUUUAUUCUUGACUAAACUAUUUUGAGGCUUGAUCACCCUUAGAAUACAUCAAUUGUCAACCUUUUGAUAUCGGGAGAGGGAAUAGGGAGAUAAAACAUGAGAAUGAACAAAAUAUGGUUUGCAUUCUUUUAUAAAAUAAGGAAUUCAAAUUAGUGUCUAGGAAAGGGAUGUACUUAGAUGCGUUACUUGAUUCACACAUAGGAUGACAGCUUAAAGAACUUAAUUGGAUUAUUACUUUCCUGCUCAAUGAUGUAGUUGUAAUGUCCAUAUUAGGUAAAAGAUUAGAGAUCGGGAGACCAUGAGAAUUCAAUUAACCCUACGAAUCAACAACCAAGAUAAGCAAGUUAACGAAUGAAGUUUAAUAACAUAGUAUGGUUUUCAAAGUGCUUUAACCCUGGGUUUUACUCCAUUGAUUGGUUCUAUACCUUUACUUUACGCACUGUUACUUUACUUGAAAUUUAAAAUUUCCAAACUCUCUUUUUGGUUACUCUCACAUCAAUUGAAUCUAAAUUGUAAACUAAAAUAGAAUUGUUGUUAGGGCAAGUCCCUGUGGGAUCGAUACUUGACUUCUUGAAGGCAACUUUACUACUUGAUAGACCAUGAACAUUUUUGUGUCCACUAGGGCACUGUUAAAGAAAAUUGACAAACAAUGAUGUUUUAGGUGCUUUAAUUCGUCCAUUAGACGUUUAGGGCUGAGGGGAAGGACCAAAGUGCCCAUUCACCCUUAUGAAGUUGAAAUAUAGGGGGAAUAAGCUCCGAGUCAUGUCCCAUAUUGCAUUGAUAGAGAAACGCUCCACCGCCAAAUCACGGACCCUUAAUGUCUCUCACGAAAAAAACUAUAACUUUUUGCUCGGGUAUCGGAUUAAUGCGAAAUAGGUAUCGCUAGAAAGAUAAUUAAAUUAUCUAUCAUUUGGUGGUUAUUGAGCUGAAAAAUUCCACAUAUAUUUAAAGUUAUUUAAGUUCAAAUUUGACCCUAGUAGAAUCAAACACCAAAAUUUAGCCUAAUCAAAAGCUCUUAGUUCCACAUUGCUGUAAGUAAUUCCUAUGAACAUUUUUCACCUCAUAAGCACCCCACACACUAGGAUAAUGAUCAUGAAAUAUAUAUUAAAAUUAUUAAUCAUAGGAUUAGAGUUUACACACGUAAGAACAACAGUUCAAUUUCUAGCCUAAAAAUGCGGGGUAUUACAUUAUCUCCCCCUUGGAAUCAUUCGUCCUCAAAUGAGACUAGUUAAAUUGAGAGUACUAAGGUAAUUGAGACUUUAUACUGAACAUUCAUGACUUGGAAUAUGAUUGAAUAACUAAGUCUGAGCAUGAUAAGUGAACUGAAUGGAUUUCAUGAAUACAUGCAAUGACAUAAGAAUGGUUAUAAGGUUGAGAUAGAAAUGAGAGAGUUAACUUAUGAGUAACCAUUACCUCAGGCUGGAUCUAAUUUCAUAAAGAAAAGUUGAGAGAUUUAGUACAUAAAACCUUAGGAUAUUAUAAUACCUCCCCCUUGGGAUCAUUCAUCACCUGUAUGUUACUGACUUGGCUGAAAUACUAAAGAAAGAUUAAGAUGAUACACGGGACAUUUAUGAACUGAAUCAUCACUAAAUAUCUUGAAUCUGAAACUGAUGAAUGAUGCAUGAACUGAGUUGAAUCACAAUUUACAUGGAUGCAAAAAUAUUAUCUCUUGGAAUGGCCAUACUCAUAAUACUUCAGAUAGUAAGACUAGAUCUAAAGAUAGAAAACCACAGGAACUUGCUUGUCUAACUAUUAAACUGAAUUGCUGGCUAUACGGACUAAAUCAUACUGAAAGCUUAUGCUUAACUGGAGUAUUUCAUCAACACUCUUUAUAAGAAGUUAUAAUAAUAUUAGGGAGCCAAGGAUCUUGGGAAUUAUCUUAUUGAGAUAUCUGAGUAUGAAAUUGCAACACGAUUAUAAUUCUGUAACAUGGAACGUAGGGCUAUGAAACAUAAACUAGGAUAGCACCACUAUACCUUAAGUAAGGUAACUUCUAACACUCAAUCUUAGCCCCAAGUCUUAGUUGAUAUACAUACCCUCACAAUGUUGAAUUCUAACUUGAAAUCAUAAGGUACUGCACAUAACACCAUAACACUAGUGUGAACCAUGAAUUCAGUAUCCCAUGCGUUUUCACCACUUCUCAUCUCAAAUUCUUCUUACUAAUUCAACGACUAAAUUCAAACACUUACAGGAAUUCACUAGCUCACAAUGCAUUUAUCCACUUAUAUACCAACAUGACAUUCAAGCCUAUCAUUAUAACCACAUAUGAACUUCUAAACUAACACCCAUAAAAAAGCAACUUUCUCAUAUUCUCUAAACCCCUAUCAAUAAUAGAUUUUUUGCAUUAUCCUUAGAAAGACACACAUAGAAUUCCCAACUAACCAUGACAUAUAAUGAAAUUUCUACCUCAAUCAUCCUUUACACUUAUAGCCUGAGAUACAAUAAGAAUGAAACAAUCAUUACUCUACAAGAAUAUUUACUCUCUCUUAUCUAAACCAUUGAUCAUGAAUUUUUUUCAUCACCUCUAUCUAAACAUUAGGGAGAGGGAACUUAAAGGUUAGAACAUGAGGACCUAAAGCAUGAAAGAAUACUAUGCAUAACUUGGAGACUUAAUUGAGGCCUGAGGAAUAGAUUAUCCAUGGCAUGGAUUCAUUACAGAGAUCAAAACUAACAAUAUUCAUAGCAUAAUCUAAACUUUGCUGAUCAUUAAGAGUGUAGCAUGAGUUCUUGGAAUUGAACAUACAAUAAAGAAUAAGUACAUGAGACAUGAGCUGCAUGACCUGAGUUUGGAGUUUAUGAUUUUAUGGAACAUGAUCCAUACUACUGAAUGAAUUGGAACUCCUCAUACUAGAAAUUAGGAGAGUAUAUGAUUCAAUAGAAAGUGCAUGAAUAUGAGCUAUGAUCAUGGAGCUUACAUGUAAGGCAUGAUUAGGUGCCAUAAUGACUGAAAUACAGCACUUUACAUUGAGAAAAUAAUGGGUUGGGCAUCAUCCUCCCUUGCUGAUGUUCUACAACAUACAGACAUCACUACUAGAAUCUCAGAGCCUGACUUAGUUACUUGUUCUAUCAUCUCCCCCUUAGCUUUAAGCAAUCAUUCUAAGUUUAUAGUCCCCUGUAAUAAACUCUAGACUGAAAUUCAACCAUUUUAAUUUAGAGUUUGAGAUAUCACAAUACACAUAAAUAAUAAACUCAUCCUGAAAGACCAUAUCUUAAAGCAUAAAACCCACUGCUAAAACUUCCUUCUAAGAUAAAACUUUUGACUUUCUAUAGCCCCAAUAGUCAUCAUACAAUAACUCAAACAUUGACUAACUUAGAAUUUUAAGGAGUAUCACCAUACCAUGAGUUUAUACCAACUAGAAUUCCAACUCUUCAUUCUAUUGGUUCAAAUAUCUAUAAUUCAAACUUAGAUUCUAACACGUAGCAUGGGUAUUCCCAAACCUCUAAUGAACCUCACUACUUCUAUCAUAGCCCACUAAUAUCACAUCUCAAAACCUAUAUUUUUCCCUAAACCAUGAGAAUUACCAUUACACUAACAUACUCAACAUCAACAACAUAUAAUUUUGUAUGAACAAACUUAAAUUCUUACAUACAUCAUUUCAAGCCUACUUAUUCACCUUUCAUACAACUAGACCCAUGGAUACAAAAUCUACUAAGUCCAGAUAAAUAUUAUAUCUAAUUUACUACUGCUAAACUUCUAUGUUUAUGCUUCUAACUCUAGAUCACAUGCUACCAUAGGAUUUUGAGAAGGGAUUUGAAAACACAUUUGACUUUGUCUUAUUGCACAAUUUUCAUGAAUAUGAACAAAAUUUUUCAUACUUUAGAACAUAACUACACUGAUGGGAUACUUUUGAGUCUACGUAUAAUCCUAUAACUUUUUGCUGGGACUGUUUGAGAAAACUCUAUCGAUAGAAAUUUAAGCUUCACUGUUUCUAUUACCUAGAAAAUAGAGUAGAGUUGACAUGAAUGGAGAAUGAUAAGAAUCUGCAUGAGUUUCUUAAAGAACUUUUCUAUAGAACAAUCUCAAACAUGAAAGAAGGGAAAUAUUUCUUAAAUGCCCUAUAGCCUUUUGUAAGAAAGUAUAGUUAUCUCCAUACCGUUCGAUAAGACUUUACUAGACACGACUUUAUAGACACCAUAUGACACUUAAAAUUUGUUCUCUGAUACCAAGUUUUGUCAUGACUCGAGACUAUCUCCUAGUCGUAACACAGUUCGUAGAAGCAUAAGUGAUCCCAAGCUAACCUAUGAACUUGCAUAAUACUUGAUCAAUUGAUUUAGAAUAAAUAAAAUAUCUAAAUUCAUUGUGCGGAAACAUAAUCAUGACAUAAUCUAUAUAACUAAUACUGAUAAAGUUUAUCAUCUAAUAACCCUAAAGACAGAACUGGAAUUUACAUUUUAGAACUCUGACUGACUAUCUAUGAGCCUCUACUAUACUGAAUAUAAAUAGCUGGGACAUGCCUAAAACUACCAAAAUCAAUACAUUUGAAUAAUCAAACAAAACUGCAUGAACUACUACUUACUGGAGUCCCUGAAAUAAGAGAACUUAUCACCUACUAGCUGGAAGCUACAAACUGUCUGAUUGUGUCGUAUAGGCUACAACUGGUACCAAUAUUAUGAGAAAAUAUAGGACAUAUAUAUAUAUGGAUCAGUACUUCUGGAAUGUAUUGAGUAAGCGGGGGUGAAUGAAAUAAGUAAAGCUGAGUAAAUACAAAAUUCUAAAACAUGCAUGUUAAGUGCUAGUAGACUCACCAAGAGACUAAAAUUGAUUGAAAUCUGAAGUAGCUUAAAAAUGAGUAACAAAGAUAAUCUAAUAAGCUAGUGAAUCACUACACUUAGUUACUUAAAUCUUUACCUUUGUAGAAUUAGCAUAUCUGAAACUGGAAAGUGGUAAAACAUGAAUACUAUAUGUAAAUCUCAUGUAAAGCUAAACAUGCUAUAAAACUAUACUGAAGAUCAUGUAUGGGUGUUGAACGUGAAAAAUAACAUGAACAUGUAAAACUGGGAUAUACAAGACAAAGUAUAAACAUGUUUCUAUGAUAAUUUAUAAUAUAAAAGACUGAAAUCUAUAUAACUGAAUAACUAAAAAUCAAAAUGAUUUGGUAAUGCAAACUUGAGCUGAGACAUACUAAAUACUGACUGAAACUAUAAGAGGUAUCAUCUAAGAAAUAUGCCCCAAUCUGAGCUAAUCAAGAACCAACCUGUAACACUCAUUAAUAGGGUGUGAGUACCAUGUCAUGAGUACUAACACUGGUUGUAUAGAUCUACUAAACUAGAGUCCUGAAGGACUAAGGAGUCACCCUCUACUGGUAGGUGCUCUCAUGAGAUAUGUUUCAACCCUCAACUGGCAGGCAGACAUCUCAAACCUAUGCUGGCUACAUAGUUCUGUGACUCAGGGAUUUCUACUAAUGGUCACACCCUCUACUGGCAGGUGAACCCCCAUCCCUGGGUUCACUCUAUGCUAAAUCCUACUCACAACUGAACUGGCACUGGUACACACUAAACUAGGCUCUACUGUACAUUAUUACAUAACUGAGAGUGCUCAUAAUGAUCAUAAAUAUCUAAGUAAAUAAUAAACUCAUGGUUUUACUGAAUUAUUAGUUGAAAGAUCUAAAGCAUAAGCAAACAUAUAUGUAUUGGGUGUUCAUAACCCGCUAGCAUUGAAUCACCAUAAACCACGAUAUCAACAAUUAAAAUUGUAAGAAGGGAAUCAUGGUUCAAUAACCCAAAACAUGAACAUUCUAUCAAAAACUGUGAUAAUCAUGAUCUUGAACAUGGGAAUGUGUUAAACAUGAUAAAUUAACAUGAUUACAUGGCUAGAUUCAUAAUUCAGGGAUUCAACAUGAAAUCAAAAAGGCUACAACAUGGAAGUAAGUGAAAUUGAAAAAGGGAUCAUGUUUAUAAGGCUAAAUACAUAAGUUUAACAUUUGACUUGGUAUUGAAAAACCAUCAUAUGUAAGUUUGGUGUUUGAAAAACAUAGAACCAUAAUCCAGAUGAUAAAGCUAAUAACAUGGCUUGAAUGUAAAAUUAGUGAGGAAACAUAGAUAUAAUUAAUUCUUGAUGCACUUAAAGCCUUUAAUCACAUGGAAAUAUCAUAAUUCAAGAAUAUGACUAAUUGGGUAUGAACCCUAAUUUAAAAUUAUGAAAUUUAAUGUUUAAAGUAUGUUAUGGGCACAAGAAUGAGAGAGGAUCCUUAUUUAUAAACCCCACAUACCUUAAUUGAUAAACUCUUGAAGGAAUCUUGAAAUUAAAGCUUGAAUCCUUUUGUUCUUGAAAGAAAAAUCUUUGAUUAUUUCUUUUGGGAAAGGGGAGGAUUUUUACAUGAGUUUAUUUGAAGAAGAUGAGCAAAUACUGCCCUUUUGGGGGCUUUUAUUCGUGCCUUAGACGUUCAGGGCUGAGGGGAAAGGGCCAAAGCAUCCCUUGGCCCUGAAGAGGAUGAAACAGAGGGGGAAUAAUCACACUUCGCAUCCCAUAUCAUGUGUAAAGGAAAUGUAUUGCACCCUAAAUCACAUAGAGAGAGCAACGCGUCGCGUCCAAAUCACGGACCCUUACUACCUCUCACGAAAAAAACCAUAACUUUUCGCUCAAGAAUCGGAUUAAGGAAAAAUUGGUAUCUUUGAAAAUCUAAUUAAAUUACCCAUCAUUUUUUGGGUAUUGAGCUAAAAAAUUUUGUUUAUUUCAGAAGUUAUUCACUCUCAAAGUUGACCCUAGUAGAAUUGAAUACCAAAAUUUGGAAAAAUCAAAAGCUCUUAGUUCCACCUUGCUCUAAGUGAUUUUUAUGAACAUUUUUCACCUCGUAAUCACCCCAUAAACUAGGAUAAUAAUCAUGACAUAUAUUUAAAUUAUAAAUCAUGGUAUUAGAGUUUACACAUGUAGGAAUGACAAUUUGAUUUCUAGCUCAAAAAUGUGGGGUGUUACAUCACUUGUCCAGAAAGUGUCCCUGGCAUUGGUCAAUAGUCAUUCAACUUGUACAGAUUAGUAUCAUGGUGUUUUAUCACAUUUAAUUAGAUGUAGUGCACUUAAAACUUCAAUUGGUGAUUAAGAUGCUUAGUCCGUUUUUUGGACUACUCAAACUCAUAACUCCUUUGGAAACUUUGAGGAUGUGACUUCAUAUUCCACUGUGAUAGGUGUGCAAUUUUAUUUUCUUUAAUUAGCCUUUAAUAGAAGUGUAUUAGGGUUUUCAGACCCUCUGAUGGUUGUGUUCCAUAAUAUGUAUAUAUUGAUUAAUGUGCUCCAUAGUGUACGAUUCAUGGUUAUAUCACUACUCAUUGGGUGAUUUCAUUUUGUAAUAGAUGGAGUAGAUCAAUAUUAAUAUUUCCUAUGGGUGUAAUAUUUGUUUACGAGUGCCAUCUACUUUUUUAUAUUUGCAUCUUUAUGUCCCUAUAUUGGUACUUGUUAUUGAUAUUAAUUUUUGGUGCGACCUAAUCUUUACAUGGAUGAUUAUACUUUUGUUGUUAGUAUUUUCACUAUUCUGUGUUGAUCGAACCUUGCUUUAUAGGUGUCUAGACUAGCAUUAUAUAGUAAGAAUUCCCUUACUAGUCGUUCUUAUUUGCUUGCUUGGGUGGCUAUCUCUGUUGGUUGGUUUCUCUUUUGUAGCAAGAUGGAGUUGGUCAUAUUCCUUCUUUUUUAUGAGGUUAGAUCGAUUAUUGAGUAGGUUAAGGUAGUGAAGUUAGUUUGGACAUCCUUCAUAUUUUUAUGGUUAUAGAGUCAAUAAUUUAGUUUUAUUCCAUAUUUUUGAGGUUGUGAUUCUGAGACUUGCUUUUUGGUUUGUAGGGAUUUCAACAUUGGUUAUCCUUCUCUAUAGCCCAUUUUGAGGUUGACUAGUUGGGGAUCCAUUCUUCUGAUUUGUCUAGUUCAUAUCCCGAUAGUGGUCUUGAUAUUGAUGUCUAAAGGUCUUGGACUUGACAUCAGGGUUUGGCCUCAUCUCCUAUUUAUAGUUUGAGUAUUUGUUGAUGAGAUAGAGUUGGUAGUUUGUGUUUUCAGCCUGUGGUUUAUUCCCCAUCAUGAUUUUGGUUCUUAUGUACUUUUCAAUUUUAGCUCUGACAGGAUUCAGUAGGGAUAUUCCUUAUUUUUUUAUCGCAAAGGUGAGUUGGGUUUUUUCCCUUGGUUUAAACUUGUUGGCUAAUGUCUCAGACAUUUACUCAUGUGAUAUUCUACUUGGGAGUUCUACUAAAGAUUGGAGUAUGGAUACUUCCUUGUCUACUGGAUUGUUUUGGAUAGUGAGCUCCAACGCCUCAGCCUUGGUGUCGAGAUUUCAGCCCAUAGUUGUAGUGUUAGGGUGAAGUAUUUGUUUUUAGAUUUAUCUUAGUUGGGCUUUCAUUUAUGGGUUUUCUAAGCCUACUCUUUGACUACCUAUGCGAUCAUCUUUAGUUAUAGAAGAUUGUUUUUGAUUUAUUUUGGGGACAGUGGCCUAUUGGCACUCGAGGAUGGUUUCUCCUACCCUUAACCUUGAUUUUCAGUUUUCAUCAAGUAUUUAGAUAAUCUACUCAUCUGGAGUAGUAUGCUUAUCCUCGAUUGAUGGGACAUCUUUGAAAGGAUGAUUCAGUGGUACGUGUUUUUGCGUCGGACUCCUAUUGUCAGUGUCGAGGCCAUCCAAACCCAUUAUAGAAUUGGCGUAGAUUACAGACAUUGGUAAUCACCAUUUGUCUACCCAUGUAGUGUCAUAUAGGCUUAUUCUAAUGCUUGACAUUUGGAUUUCACCGAUUAACUUCUGUUCAUCUAGGAUAGUGCGAUGGAUCUAUACGGAUAGGACUCAAGUGAACUACCUUUUGUCUUGGAGAGGAUAGCAGGGUUGGAAAGGCAAAAGAACGUUAAAUUUAGAUAUUGGAGUUUGUCACAAGAUUCAUGCCUUGGAUUGCCUUUGGCUUGGAUAAGUCUUCACUUGGUUGUGCUAGUAUCAUUAUGCUAUUGGUGUGUUGUGGUUUGUAUUUACGUGUGUCAACUAUUCUCAAUUGAGAUAGAGGUCAGAUGAUUGUUAAGGUUAAGUUUUGAUAGUUUGAUAUAUAAAGUAAGUAAGUUGGUUGAAAAAGGGGAUACCUAUGGCAAAAUCUCUUAAAAGUGUCGUCUUACCAUAGAGGUGAUAUAGGGAGUCAAACUCGGAGCUUGCGGUCCAGUAACUUAAGAAUGAUCAGAAAUCUCAACAAAAUCCCUACCUACAUAAAUCAAACUCUAUGUAGAUAUACAAAGAGGAAGUCUUAAUCACCAAACUAAGCAAUGAAUGCUCUCAUACUCAGUAGUCAGAAUAGAAGUAGCAUGCCUAGCCAACUCAUAAAGUCGAGCCUCAUACUCUAUAAUAGUCGUGGAGCUCUACUCCAACCUCAAGAAUUGAUCCCACAGAUAAUUCCUAAGAUUGCGAGGCAUAUACUUCUCCAAGAAGAUCUCAAAUAAUUGAGACCAUGUCAAUAGGGGAGAUCCAACUGACCUGUAAUCAAUAUGACCUGUCAACCAAUGUCGAGCUUCAAAAUUCAACUAAAAAGUAGUGUAAUUCAUACCAUGAGUCUCAGCUAGGCCAAAAUUACGGAGUCUACUCUCAAAAUCAAUCAAGAACUCAUAAGCAUCCUCUCCUGGUGCAACAGAAAACCUAGGGAGAGGCAAUCUAAAGAAUCUACCCAACAUCUUUUAUUCGUCAUCCAAUAUAUUAGGUUGGGAAACUAGCAUAUGAGCAACCACCAAUACAGGAGGGACCUCCAAUCUGGGAGCUAAAGCUACAGGCUGCGCACUCACUUUUAUACAAUUUUGAUCUGUAGACUAUGCACCAUCAGACGAUGCACCCCAACUUAUCCCAGAAGUUGAACCAAUGUAUCCCUAAGCACCGAAGAAGAGAUAAACCCUGGGAGAUCCUGGGCUGGUACCUGUCCCACCGCUAAUUUGGGCUAAAGAUUAUCGAGCUCGAGAGUAGGAAUAACGUCUGGUAAAGGCCCUCUAUCCUUGUCCCUAGUUAGGGAUGUAUCCCUAGUUUCUCCUCGACCUCUAGGUCAUAGACAUACAAUAACAGAAUCCCUAGGCUCAAACUCAGGAUCCUCAUCUUUUGUAGUAAUAUCACAUGUCCUAGCCAUCAGCGAAAGAAUGAAACCAAAGGAAUUAUUUUGAAACCAACUCAGAAUCUUAGCACAAAAUGAGUGAAAGAAGUGAAUAACUCCUAAGAAUGUCCUAUUUCCUCCCAAAGAUAAGAAAUAGACAUCAUCAUUGCAAUCCGUGGGACAAUACUUGACACUUGCUCUUGUACCAGCAAUACUGGAGAACCUAGUCUUUAAUACUAAUUUUUCACAACCUGAUUUAUGAGUCGUGAUGGAACCUACAUUAUCCCACCAUUAGGUAUGCUAAAUCUUAGCCUGGAGCUAUAAGGAAUGGGCUAAUUUGGUUGAAAAUGGUCGAAAAGUCAAAAAUCAUCAAUUUAAGACUUGUAAUAAUAAUAAUAAAGCAAUAAUGAGAGUCUAAAAUAUAGAUAAAACCUGAAGAACCAUUUUACGACCUAGUAGUGUUGGUACAAAAGCUUUUACAAAAGUAACAUUAGUACUGAUGUAAUCAAAUACAAAUCUCUAUCGAAUAGUGAAAGACUAGAAAUAGUUAAUAGAAGUAAAAAGGGGCAAAUUUGACUUUGAGAUCUCACCCUAUAUCUGAAAUCAACUCCACACGAUUAUCAUGUCAAGAUGAUCACUACUACUCAUAUUUGCACCAAAAAAAUACAGAAGUGUAGUAUGAGUACCAAAUAGGUACUCAGUAGGAAUCAUCGAUCGACUAAGCUAAAUCAUGAUAUAUAUAUAUAUACAAUAAAGAUACAAGGUAAAUAUUCUAGGUCAAGGUAAGAGUGCAAACCUAGAAAUAAUCUCUAACACUAUAAGUAAAUAAUUGGAAUAGACAUGAUAUGAAAAAAAGCAUAGCUAAUACUAAAAGAUUGGCACUCAUAAGCAAGUAAAUGUGGAAAAGUAAAUAAUCCUACGUGGGCCCUCAUAAGUUUGAAGGGUGCAAUCAAAAGAAAGUAAAUAACUGGAGAUUCAUAAAUUUACCAAAUAUCAAGUUGUAAGCAUGAAUCCAUCCAUACCAUAUCAUAUCAUAAAUAAACUCUCAAUGCCAGAAUCGAACUGGGACUUAAUAGCAUCAACAUCUUUAUCAUUAUUUUUCAAACAUGAACCAUAACUUAUGUCAUCAAUUUCAUCAUCAAUUGACGUACUUGAAAAAAAUUCAAUAUCAAUAAGCCACUAGGAUUAUCCUGAAAUUAGCAGCAAAUCCCAAGUACCAAACCAGCAUAAUCAUCCAGUAUCUUACCUCCUUAAAGUCCUAAACUAAGCAUUUUGAUGGGUAUAACAUGCAUAUAGAAGUCUACAAGUGCUAACACAAAUCUUGACCUAAGGUGGACCGAAAGGGCCCACUUCUAAUCCUCAAAAUCCAUUCUAAGGGAAAUUCUACCCUGGACUAGGCUAAGGUACAAAAAUUCACUUCUAGAUUUUACACUAGCCAUAAUUAUCCCCAAGAUAGCAAUUCUACCUAAAUCAUGAGCAACAAAGUCAACUACACCUAUAUUACGGUUCCUUAAUAGGUUAAAUAGUACAAAUAAUAAUAACAAUACAAAUCACCCCUAUGGUACCUAUAUCCCAUCCAAUAGCUAGAAUAAUACAAGAAGUAUACUAUGAAUUAGCUCAAUCUUUGAAGAAGGUAAACCUAGCUUUCUUGGAUGCCGAAGAAAAGCUUGAGGAAUCUGCUAAACUGAUGAUUUGCCAUUCUGAGAAGCUUUCUCAAAAUGCCACUCAUUUAAAUUCAUAAUCUACUCAUAAAAAUGAGAACAAUUAUACCCAUAUAGUACUAUUAUGCUUCGGGUCCAAAAUUAUGUAAAAAUUCUAUGUGAGGCCUACUUGCAAAAUCAUUCUUUGAAAACUGUCAAUGGUCUCAUAUGCUCAGGAACAUUUAUCCUCAAUAAUGUGUAAAUUUUGAGCUCUAAUGGUUCUAUAAAAACCCACCAAUAUUCAAGGGAUUUUGUAAAAAGAUAAAGGAUUUAAUCAUGAAAUUGAUGGAAGCUUACCAAAAAUUUGAAGAAAAAGCACAUUAUUUAAAUUCUCAAAUGCUGCAAAAUCACCCACCAAUGAUUCUCCCAAGUUUCCACACGUUUAGGGUUCUAUACUCUUUAAAUUAGGUGAAAAUAGGAGAAAUUGGGAUAAGUGGGGGUAUUUAUAUGGUACCAGGUAUUGCUUAUGCAAACACUGGCAUGCAUAAGCAUCACCGCUUAAGCAACCUAGUGUCGAUUUAGUGACAUUUGGUUUCUUGCACAGCUACCUCUUAAGCAGUCGGCUGGGCUCUUUACAGCUACUCCGCUUAAGAAACCCAAAAGGCGCUUAAGUAGCUGCACCAGCUAAAAGCUCGAAAUGGUUUUGAGUUACCGCCAACCCCUUGGGAUUCAUUCAAAAUCAUAUAUACCAAAAAAAAACUAUUCUAUCCUAUAAAAUUUGACAUUACAGACUCAAUGGCGUAGUUAAAAUUUUAAUAUGAGGUUCUUUCAAUGAAAAUUGGGUCCCAUACCCACGUGCCAUGUUUUCAUAACUUGUGACCAAUAGACCGAAAAGAGUUCAGAAGCCUUUUGACCCAAACCAAGGGUCUACCUAGCCUUAAAUCAAUGCUCAAAAGCUGUUGGAACAAUCUGAAUUGGCAAAUGAGGUGGUUUGACUGAUUUUUCUUCCAAAUAGCUAAUUUUAACUAGCGAAGACUUCAAAAUAGGGAAUUAAUGCUAAAAAUCAAAUUAAUUACAUGAUAAAUUAAAUGUCAACUCCAACAAGUCAUAGAUUAUUUGGGCAUCUACAGAAAAUCUCUAAAUGACAAGAAUGAGCAUAAAUAUGAAAAAUGACAUGGAAGGUUAUUAAGAUAUCCACUACUAAAAGAACUUUCAGCUGUAGUAGGAUGUACUUGAAGCCUCGAACAAGUGAGGAUACCAGUUUUGGAUCUCUCUCUCGAUCUCCUAAGUAGCCUUCUCUGAUGAAGUUUCUCCUCUAAACCUUAACAACUGGAAUCUCCUUAGUGCGCAACAGUUUGCUAAUAUGAGCACCAAUUUCUCUACGAUUGUCAACUACUAAUCCAACAGAACUAAAUCCUAUCUAAUCACAUGAUACGCAUCAGGAGUGUACCACCGUAAUAUAAAAAUAUGGAAAUUUGAAUGGUCAGCAGCAAAUAUGGGGGUAAGGCAAACUCAUAAGAAACUUCACCAACUGUACGAAGGUUCUCAAAUCGUCCAAUAUAUCAGGGGAUGAUCUUUUCUUUACUUCUGAGCCUCAUCACACCCUUCUGGGAUAUACACAAAGAAAUACUCGGUCAACAACACCAAUUCUCAAGUCACGAUGUCUAUGAUCAGCAUAAGCCUUCUGUCCACUCUGAGUUACCCUCAACCUAUCUUGAAUCACCUUGGCCCUAUCUAGCGACUCUAGAAGAAAGUUAGUACCAUGGGUUUUAAUGUUAGAGGUCUUAACCAACCAAUCAAAGAAUGACAUUGCCUACCAUACAAAGCCUCAAAAGGCACCAUCUUAAUACUUGAAUGGUAGUUGUUAUUAUACGCAAAAUCCACCAAAGAUAAUUGUUGCUCCCAUUGACAUCCAAAAUAAAUAACACAGGCUCAAAGCAUAUCCUUAAGAAUAUGAAUAUUCUUCAGCGACAACCCAUUGGUCUGAUGAUGGAAUAAUGUAAAAAAAUCCAUCUAAGUAUCAAACUACUCCUGAAAAGCUCUCCAAAAGCUAGUACUGAACACUGAACCCUAAUCUAAAAUAAUACAUACAAGCACACCAUACCAACAGACCAUAAGAUGUUUGAAAGUUAUAACUAACAGUAAACUAAAACAAUGUGGUAAAUUAAAGUUCUUGAACAAUCAAUGAGGAGAAACCCAGGAUUAAGACACUGUGAAAGAUCAUACAAAAUUAUGGAACUUUAUUGGUUUGGUUGACUAUCUUUGUUCUUGGUUCAUGGAGUUAAACUACAACAAUAGUCUUCCAAGCCCUUCGUCAGUUAUCUAACUUUGCCCCACAACUACAGCGUUGAGCGGGGAUUCGAGAACUAAAUCAAUUGCAUUCAUAAUCUAUCUUAUAAUUUAUUCAAAUAUGGCACUAAAGUAUAUUCCUAUCCUAAGUGAAAAUCAUAACUUCAUUCAAUUAAAUUUACAAUCCUAUUAUAUUCAUCCCUCGUUCUACCCUAUUAUUCAUCUUUCCUGGUUUAUAAUAGAGUUAAGCUUAUAUUAUAAGGGUUUAUAUUUCUUAAAAUAGUAAAAACAAGGAUAAAUAAACAACCAAAUAUGAUUAAAAAACAAAACCAAAUAAAUUUGUAACCAUAAUACUCAUGUUCUUGUCCUUAACCUCGGAAAAGGGUGUUUAUCCACUCCCUGAUGUAACAAGAAUCAUAAUAUAGUAAUCCAUGUUUAAAUCCAAGAAUUAACUAAAGUAAAAGAGUAAAAGAACUAUUUGACACCUCCUUGAUCGUGUGUAUAAUCCCUAAGAUCAUCCAAAAUGUUAAAGGUAAUGACUAAGUGUCCUAUUUAUACUUGGAACAAGAUUGUCGAUUUUAACUUAGGUCUGUGCCACGCCAAUAUUGCUCUAUCUAGGCUGCAUGGCAGAGCCUAAUCAUAGAGUCACACUAGAUUUUACAUUCCAAUGAUGCUUCCAAGGGUGUGUGAUGGACUAAUCAUGGAACCUAGGCAACGUGGCACUCCAAGGAGUCCAAAACAUCAAACUUUAGCCAAGUCUUGUCCCAUACUUCUAUCAUUUAAGUCCAAGUUUUAUGAUGUUAUUUCCACUAAAUUUCCAGCUUGUGUAACUUCUAUUCAUCAUCAUGAUCAACUCACCAAUCAUCUUACAAAAUCAAACACCACAUAUUAGGGUUUAGAACAAGAUACAAUUUAAGACAAUGAACUAGUAAAGGUCAUAGCUCAUGCUAAGAGUACUAGUUUUGUCCUUUUGAUCUUUAACUUAUUGUUUUGACUCCAAAAAUAUUAUGCACACAUCUUAAACACUACAUUUAAAGAACAUAACACUUAGAUGCUUACUUAUACAAUAAAUAACUCAUUAAGAACAAGAGAAAUUCUUUAUACAAAUCUAAUUAAGCCGAGAUAACAACACUGAGGUGCGUAAAUCCAUCUCAGAUCACCACUUUACACUUAAAGACUUGUUUUUCCUCAAACAAAUUCUAUGCCUCAUAAUCAGUGAAGACUCCAUACUUAUACAAAAAGCAAGAUAUUCAAGCUAGUACUUUGAUGACUACACAGAAAGAAAGUUUCAUACACCAACAUGACUUCUACAAUUGAGAACUCAAGAAUACUACAUCAAAACAUCCUAACAUCAAGAAUUGACUCACCAAGUUUGUAAACAUGCAUAUUACUCAAUCAAAUAGAUCAUACAAUUAACUUAACAAUCAUGAAACAUGUUCCCUCACAAAAAGAGAGUUACACAUAUUCACUCACAUAGUAUAAUUAUCACAAGAACAUGUAUGAGAAUGAAAUUGUACUCACUCUCACAAGGAAUUCACAAGUUACACAUGAUGAACUAUAGACAUACUUUUUGUUUAGUACUCUAAUAAUAUCAAAAUAUUAAGACAUAAGAUCAAAUAGGUCUUAAAUGGUUGUAACGUAGGCUAUGGGGUGGGUAGGAACUAUUUUAUCCUGUAAUAGUGACUAUCUACCUAAGGACUUUAAUAUAUCAUAUGUACAUUCAGAUCUCUCUAUUAACAACCAAUUCCCACCACAUUCAUCUACAUACUCCUCUUAUUUUACCCACUCUUAUUUGAGAUAAUUCAUAGUACUAUGGAAGGGAGUAUUACUUAGCAAUACUUGAUUAAAUUUAAGCAGAUUUUUCUUCUCUCACAACCAACACAUCAACUCUUUCUAAAUGUUAAUAGCUAUAUACUAUGGUGCUUCAUUUUUCAGCCCUUUCUUCUUCAAUUUCAACUCCUUAACCAACUUAAUUUUUACACUAAAGAGCUUAGGAGCAUUAGAUAAAAUUAAGGCCAAUCAAUGAAUGGGAACAUGAUACGCAUGAGGCGACAAAAGAAAGACUAAACGUCGUCAACUAGAAUUAAGAACAAGGGUAGGUGAACUAGGGUAUGAAACAUGGCUAUUAAAAAAUUGCCUAUAUCACCUCCUAAAUACACACUCUUUAUUUGUGCAUAAUAUGCAACAACGAAUAUAAAAAUAACCACGCACAGAUAUGUCACAUGCUCAAAUCAAGUAGAAUUAUCAUAGACUCUAAACCAAAGAAUAGCAUAAUUCAACAUUAAAAUAACCAUGUACAAGUGUAAUAAACUAGAGCCUAGGAGUCUCAAAUAUAGUAGUUCACAUAGACAAUAUGCUUUAACAUACAAAACCCUUUGCAUCAUGCAAUUUUUUAUAGCAGCAACAAGAACAUCCCACUUAUUCCUAACAUAAAAAUUUAAAAUUUACUGCUAAUCAAAAGGAUGCUGGGGGUCAAAGGGUGCCCCAUGGAAAAAAACAAUAACAACAACCAAGGAGUGAGUGAAGCAUGCAUUUACUAGAUUGAAACACACUAACAAAAAAACAAAAAACAAAAUUAUAUUUUAAUCUUUUAAUUUUUUUCAAAUUUAACCCAAAACAAACUAAGAAAGCAACUAAAACUAAGACCCUACAGUAUCACUGCACCUAAAACCAUGGGAAUUCCCCACCCCACACUUAGUUUCUACCAUACUCCCUAGCUCAGGUUUUCGGUACUCAGAUUUCUCAUCAACCUGUGACUCAAGAAAAAUAAAAACUAUGUGAAGUAAAAACUAAAAUACUAAAAAUAAAGCCUAACUUAACUUAGGUUGCCUCCCAAGAAAUGCGUGAUUUAGUGUUGGGCAAGACUCAACAUCACUACUCAAUUAAAGUCCUUCAUCCUCUUCCUCUUACUUUGAGGACAUUUUUUUAUUCAUUUCUGACCUCUAGUGUACGAACUCUGAAGGACAAUAUCUUUCUCAACAACAUCCCUUUCAGGCUCAUCAAUCAUCAUCACUUUAGGCUUAGGUGGUGGUAGCUCGAGCAACUCAAUGAGAUUGUUCGAAAAGGUCAUUAUUGGUUUGGCUUCUACCUACCCAUACUUAUCCACUUCUAUAACUGUAAUCAUACACAAAUCUUUGUAGUGGGAAAGUGGAUUAAGUGGCUUGUACGCUCUGAAAACCACUUCUUUAUCAUCCAAUCUCAUUGUGAGAGUUCCCUCUCUCACUUCUAUCAAUCAAAAAUAAUAAAAUUAUCAUAAUUUACAAACUUACCUACCUUUAUAAGGAUGUUAUCAAUUAUUACUUUAGGCUUCAUUGUAUUCUUGUCAAUUAAUUACAACAUCAUAGAGCAUGGUCUCAGCUCACCCAACAUAAGAGUUCAACAUUUGCAACAUCACAGAGCAUGGUCUCAGCUCACCCAACACAAGAGUGUUGAACAUGGACAGAGGCAUCAAAUUCUUUCUCGCUCUAAAUCACACAAGGCAUGGACCACUUUACCAUCACCAAUCUAUAUGGGGAGGGUGAAAAUCCCUAGGUACUUAAGCUUCUUAGGCAUAUUUUUAAUUAACACAAAGCAUCACUCUUCUGUAAAUGUUUUUGUAUCAAUAUCAUGGUGCUUGACCUUAUUAGUCAGCAUAUCCUUCAAGUACUUAGCGUACUUGGUCAUUCCCUGCAAAAUAUAUAAAAGAGGAAAAUUAAUUUGAAGUUCUUUAAAUGUGUCAAAGAACUUCUUCAAACAAGAAUCUACUACGAUCUUUUAAAACUGUUGAGGGAAUAGUGGUAGUGGUCUUUCAGCAACAUGCUCAGAUCCUUAGUUUUCAGGGACUCUGGCCUCUCUGAAUUAUCAAUAACUUUGCCUACAACCUGUUAUGGAAAUAACUCUACAUCUGCCUCCUUAUAUUUCUUCAGAGAUCUAUCUCUAAGAUCUUUACCACUCCUCAAAGUGAUUGCCAUAACUUGCUUCAGAGUUUUAUUAUUACUUGGAAACCCACCUUGAGGCCUGGUACUUUGUGCUUGUACUAGAUUCCCCAACUAUUGCUCUAAAUUUUAUUGAGCCACUUUUUGAUUUAUUAUUUUAUUAGCCAUUUCUUUUUGCUUGUCCAAGAUCUUCUUUAAAGUUUCCUCUAUGUUACUAGCCUUUGGAUUAUGUUGAUGUUGCUGAAACUAUGAAAUAUUUCCCCAUGCCACUUUUGUUUGUAAGCAUUUGCAUAAGUUGUCUUAUAUGUGUUGCCCAUAAAAUUUAUGAAUUCAAGAUUUGCACCACAAAUAUCUCCAGAAUGGCCAUUAUUACCAUAUAUCUCAUAACCAACCUAGGGUCUGUGUACUACCUUUAUCUGAGCUGGAAUUUGAUUUAGACUAAAUUUUCUAAAUUGGACGAUCAUCGAAUUCUGCAUGGUUAAUAAUUAAGCAUCUAAGACAGUGUACUAUAUACUUUAGUCAUGCUCGCAACCUUUUUCUCUGAGCUUCUGGACAUGUCACCAUGAAAAUUAGGAUUACCUUUAUAUAUCUAGUUCAACAAAUUAAACAACUCAUCAUAAUUCUUUUCAAGAUCCUGACGACCUACAGCUGAAUCAAACAAAAUUUUUGUGUUAUGGUCAAGGGCUUCAACAAAUGUAUGAGCUAAUACAUUAUUGGAUUGUUAAUGAAGUGGACAGUCCCAAAGAAGAGAUUUGAAUCUCUAAAAAUCAUGACAAAGAUUCUUAUUUGGCUUCUGCUUGAAGCUAAAAAUCUAACUGUGUAGCUCGCAAUCAUGCAGGGUGGAAAAAAACAGAUCAGGAACUUCCGGUCUAAGUAAUCCCAUGUUUUGAUUGAACAUGUCGACUCUACAUUUGACCACUUCUUUGCCUCCCCCAAAAGUGAAUAGGGGAAGAGGGAUAGCCUCAUAUAAUCAGUUGACACACCCGUAGGGAUAAAUAUAUCACUAAUAUCUAAGAAAUUUUGCAAGUAGACUUGUGGAUCUUCAUGUAAUAGCCCAGUAAAAUGUCCACUUCCAUGUAGAAGCUGCACCAUAUUCUGGUUUUGUUUAAAUGUACCUCCUGCAGCCGACGAAUAAAAGAGGUCACAUUUGUCAUAAAUGGGAUUACCACUUCAUGAACUAUCUUUCGAGCUAGUGGAUCCUCAACCAUGGAUGCAGGAAUAUGUUGUUCCUCAUGAAUUUGUAGGAUAUGGUAGAGAAGGACUAUUUCUCUACUCUAUUGGUGAAAGCAUUGCUCAGGUUGAGGGUCUGGUUCAACCAACUCCCUAUCCCUUGCAAUCUUACUAGUCCCCUUAACCUGUACUUACGAAUUCAAAAGCCAAGAUCAAGUAAAUAGUACCAAAGAAAUAAAAAAAUAAAACAAAAACUAAUGUAUUUACCAAAGUACAAGUCCCCGGCAACGAUUCUAAAAACAUGUUACACCCAUGCGCACACGCAAGUGUACAUGGUCCAACCAUGUAAUAUAGUGGCCUUAAGAAAGCUAAGUAUCGAUCCCACGUGGACUAGUGUUAAGCUAUUAUCCAGUUCAACUUCAACUAUUAAGAUUAAAUAAAUGCAAACAUAACAUCAAGGUGUUUGAAAUUUAUAACUAAUAGUAAACUAAAAAAAUUAUGGUAAAUUAAACUUCUUAGACAAUUAAUUGGAAAAACCCAGUGUUAGGGCACUGCAACAAUCAUACCUCAUUAUAGAACAUCAUUGGUUAGGUUGACUAUCUUUGUUGUUGGUUCAUGGAGUCGUUACUACGACUAUGGUCUUACGAGCCUCUAGUCAAUUAUAUAACUUAUCCCUACAACUACAUCGUUAAGUGGGGAUGCAAGAACUAAGUAGAUUGCAUUCAUAAUCUAUCCCGUAAUCGAACCAAAUAGGGCACUUAAGUAUAUUUCUAUCAUAAACUACAAAUCAUAACUUCAUUCAAUUACGUUUACGAUGCUAUUCUAUUCAUCCUACGUUCUACCCUAUUAUUCAUCCUUCCGGGUUCAUAAUAGAGUGAAGCUUAUAUUCUAAGGUUCGUAAAUUCUUAAAUUAGUGAUAACAAGGAUAAAUAAACAACCAAAUAUUAUAAAUAGUCAAAACAAAAUCAAUUCAUAACCAUAAUACUUAUAUUCUUGGCCUUAACCCCAUAAAAGGGUGUUUAGUCACUAAUGGAUGUAACAAGAAUCAUAAUAUAAUAAUCCAUAUGUAAAUCCUAGAAUAAAAAAAGUAAAAGAUGAAAAUCCCUAUUUUUAGACUCCUUGAUCGUGUGUUAAAGCCCUAAGGUCCUCCAAGAUAUUAAGCAUAAUUACUAAGUGUCCUAUUUAUACUUUGAACAACAUAGACGAUUUUAACAUAGGCUCGUGCCACGCUAAUAUCGCCCAAUCUAGGCAGCAUGGAAUGUCCUAAUUGCAAAGGCACACUAGAAUUGACAUUACUAUAGUUCUUCCAAGGUCAUUCCAUGGCUUAAUCAUGGAACCUAGGCAGCGGGGCACGCCAAGGAGUCCAAAACAUCAAACUUUAGCCAUUUCUUGUCCCAUUCUUUUGUCCGUCAAGUCCAAACUUUGUGAUGUUAUUUGUACUUAAUUUCUAUUUUAUGUAACCUCUAUUUUUAUCAUGGUAAACUCACCAAGCAUCCUAUAUUAUCAAACACUACUUAUUAGUGCUCAAAAUAUGAUACAAAUCAAGACAAUGAACAAGUAAAGGUUAUAGAUCAAACUAAGAGUACUUUGGUCCUUUUGAUCUUUAACUUAUUGAUUUCGGUCCAAAAUAUUUAUGCACACACCUUAAUCACUAAAUUUACAUAGCAUAACACUUAGAUUCUUACAUAUACAUGAAAUAACUCAUUAAUCACAAGAGAAAUCCUCAAGACAAGACUAAUUAAGCCUGGUUAACAACAUUGAGGUACAUAAAUCCACCUUAGAUCAUAGGCAAAUCUCUCGGUGCUGAAGGACACCUUAAUAGGAAUAAAAUAUGCCAAUUUUUCCAACCGAUCUAUAAUGACCAAAUAACAAUGGAUCCACAAGGGGUGCAAUGAUAUCCACUAAUAAAGACCUUAGUAAUCAACUCGCAUUUCCACUCGGGAAUGGGUAUCCUUUGUAUUAAGCCAUCAGGUCUCUGAUGCUUGGCCCUCAUCUACUGAAAACAUAGUCCAAAAGCAAAAAAUUUUCCCAUAUCUCUCUUCAUACCUGUAAUACCCCGUAUUUCUACCUAGCUUAAAUUCGUCUCAAAAAUAUUAAAGACUUUCUUUAAGAGAUGAAUCCACUUUUAUAUAUGUGGAAUUUUCAAUAUUUUAACUUUUUGUUGUGUGAAAAAUACAAUAAGCAUUCCAUCAAUACCAAAUUCACCCAUAUCCGACACCUGGUGAAGAGUUAAAGCCUUUUUAGUGAGACAGUGUAUCACCUGAGCCAUCAAUACAUCGACGAGCAUGCCAAAAUGGCAAUCAUCAAAAUCCAGUGAGCCUCGGCGAUUAUGGAGCAUCGCGCCAUGGCUCAAAUUUGGAAUUGUCCUUUUUUCAGUAAAUCUCUGUGAUGUCUCCGCGUCGCGCCAAACUUCCAGGUUGCAAACAAAUUGGCAACGCAAUAGCUCCGCAUCGCGCCACCAUGUAGAUUUUUAAUUGUCCAGUUCCAGUGGCUUGGCACAAUAGAGGUGCAUCGCGCCAAACUUCCAGGUCGUAAACAAAGUGGCAACGUGAUAUCUCCACAUCGCGCCACCAUGCAGAUUCCCAAUUGUCUAGUUCCAGUGGCUUGGCACAAUAGUGGUACAUCGCACCAAGGAUGAAAAUUCAGAAUUUUCUAGUUUUUUUUAUAUUAAAUCCCAGGGUCCAUUUGGUCUUUUCCUAUGACUUUAAUUCUGCCCAAUCACGGGAUUAAACCCUAAGAGUGCAUUAUUUGCUCACUUUUGCAUUAGUCUCUCAUAUUAAAAUCAACUCUACUAAAGAACAAGAACCCUAGAUCUAAGAUUCAAGGGCCAAAUCACAAGAACUCUUCAUCAAUCCUUCCAAAUUCAUUAACUUAGGUAUGCAUAGUGUUCAUUCAUGGAUUUCUUUUUUUUAUGAAGCCUAAGAAUCAAGUUUUACACUAUGAAUUAUGAUAUUUAUGCUAUGUGUCAAUUAUGUUCAUGUGGUUGUUGUUGUUGUAUGAUUCUUAAGUUGGAAUCUUUAUGUGUUUUAAUGAAAAUAUGUUAGCAUGUGAGUUAAAAACCAUGAAUUUUAGUUGGUUAUAAUAUGUUAAUUUAAUGAUUAUCCCAAGCCCUAAGUCAUGCACCCUAAGUGUUUGACAAAAUGCCUAAGAGACUAGAAAUUAUGUAAUAUGACUCAAUUGUGACUUAAGUGAAGGAUUCAUGUUUUACCAUUAUGUUUAAAUGACUCUCAUGCUAUAAAUAUGCCUUGUAAAUGUUUGUUAGAUUGCUUUUUAAUUAGCCUUAUGAAAUUAUACCAUGUUUACAUGCAAUCCUAUUUAUGUAUAAGUUUGUGAUAACCAUGUACUUUGUGAAAUCUCUAACUUAUUGUAUUAUGGAUUGUUGAUAUUAGUCGUGUAUUUAAGAAUGUCAUGCCUUAUCAGUUUUCUUCUAUUGAGUCCUGGGGGUACUUAUACCCGACAAUUUAGCAUUAUAUCGAUAUCAAAUUUGCCCAAAUCUGACACUUGAGCAAAGAGUUAAAGUCUUUUUAGUGAGACAGUGUAUCACCUGAGCCAUUAAUGUGUCACGGAGUAUGCCAAAAUGGCAAUCAUAAAAAUCUAGUGAACCUCGGCCAUUAUGGCGCGUCGCGCCAUGGCUCAAAUUUAGAAUUGUCUUUUUUCUAGUAAAUCUCUGCGAUGUCUCCGCGUAGACUCAAGAGUAAAGGGAUUACAGUUUAGAUUAAAGUUAGUAAAGGGUUCCAUAGACUUAGAAUAUCAUCUUUGAUCUAAGGGGGAGAUGGUAGAGUGAAGAACCAAAUUAAGUUUUGAGAGUUAGAUUAUGUUAUAUGUCAACAAGAUUUGUGAUGAGAUAGUGAUCCUUUCUUCCUCUAGAGUAUUCCUUGGAUUUCAAUCGUUAUCAUAUCAGAUUCAUGUCAUGUAUGAUAGAUCCAUGCCAAAGGCUAAUGUUAUACGCUUCAUGUGUACUCAAUUCCAUUAUUGAUUUCUAGUAAGUAACAUCUUCAGUCUAUGAUUCGAGUCAUUCCUUAGAAAUCUAUGAACUUCAAUCUUAUGUUGAAAUGCUCAUGAUAAGUAUGACCUCAUAUUUUAGAGUAUGAUUAGUUCGUAGAAACUCAUGAUCCUAGUGAAAUCUUGUUUAUGUCAUGUAUGCCCUCAGUUUAGAUCUCUUUAACGAAUUUAUACCUUUAAUAUUCUAUUCCUCAUGUCUCAGUUAAGUGUUAAAGUUAUGUAUAGUAUUCUUCCGUACUUUAGGUCCUUAUGUAUUAUCUCUUCUAUGACCUCUUCCUACAUUAAGAUAGUGAUGAUGAACAAUUGUUUAGAUAGGAGAGAGUAAAUGUUUGUUGUUGAGAAAAGAUCGUCGUAUGCCCGUUUUAGCUAAGGCUGAGUGUAAAGUAAAAUUGAGGCCAAGUCUUUAGUAGAAGUUGUGGUUAGUUGAAAAUUUUUGUGUAUGUUCUUAAGAAUAGUGCAAGAAUGUUGUUGUUAAUAGAGGUUUAGAGACUAAGAGGAGUAAGCCUUUAUGAGUUCUUUCCUUGAAGUUCAUAUGUGGUUAUAAUGAUAGGCUUAAAUUUUAUGUUAGGAUGUAAGUGGAGGAAUGUAAUAUGCGCUAGUGAAUCCAUAGUAAGAGUUUAGAGUUAGUCAUUGAAGUGAUAAGAAGAAUUAUCUUAGAGAGGAAAAGUUGUGAAAAUGCUUGGGGUAUUGAAUUCAUGGUUUAUACUAGUGUUAUAAUAUUAUGUGUAGUAAGCUGUGAUUCAAGUUAGGCUUGAACAUGGUGAGAGAAUUUAGUUCAAAUCAGACAUUAGUAUAUGAAGUUAUAUGAACCCAUGUGAUUAUGGUAUUAAAGGGGAGAAAGUAAGUUGAAAAGAAUAUUUGAGAAGUAUUUCUAAGCUUGAAAAACUAGCAAUUGCAUUGACUAAGGCCUAGAAAUUCUAAACUAGUUUAUGUUUGAGAAGCCUCUGUUCUAUGUUACAAAAUUAUAGCUAUACUGAGAAUUCUAUCUUUAGAUAUCUCACUCAGAUCAUGAACAAAAUUCUUUACUCCCUAAUUUUAGUAGAAUUUUGUAGAAUAAUGCCGAAGAAAUACUCCAUUUGAGUAUAGACAUUCAGUAUGAUUCAGUCCAUAUAGCCUGCAAUCCAGUUUAGCAAGCAAGCAGAUGAGCUCCUAUAGAUUUCAAACUUUUCACCUAAUCUUACUAUCCGCAGUCUCCUGCGUAUGUCCAUUCCAAGAGGUAAUGAGUUGACAUCCAUGUAAAUUGCAAAUUCAGUUCAGUUUGUGUAUCAGUUUUAGUUUCAGCUAUUUAGUCAUGACUCAGUUCAUAAGUAUUCAAUGCAUAAUCUCAAUUUUUUCAAGUAUUUUAGCUCAGACAGUGUAAGACCCUUGUACCAUCUAAGUCUUGUUGUAUCAUGAUUUGUAAUUUCAUCAGUUAUCACCUCCCAAUUCAAUAGGUAUGAUUGGAUCAUGAACACUUCAAGUGAAUCCUAAACUCUCAGCAUGAAUCAGCUCCUUAAAGCAAGUAAAGUCAAGUCAACACAAAAUUCAGUUUCAUUAUGGAAGUUUAAAUAUUUCAUCUAGGUUAUAUCCUUUAUUCGAAUACAUAUCAUUCUCAUGUUAUUACAUACCUUUAAUUCUUCAACAAGUUCCUAUCAACAUUUGAGGAAAAAUUUUCCCAAGGGAGAGAUAAUGUAAUACCCCUUAUUUUCAUGCUAGAAUUCUAACUGUCAUUCCUAUACGUCUAAGAUCUAAUACAAGAAAUUCUCAUGUGAAUACAAGUUUAUGAUAUUUUUCUUUAUUUUUGAUUUGGUUUUGAGGUUAAAAAUGUUCAUAGAAAUCAUUUAGAGCCAAGUUGAGCUAAGUCAUUUGAUUCAUCCAAAAUUCGAUAUUUGAUUCUACAAGGGUCUACUUCAAAUGCGUAUCACCUUUUAAAUAUAUGAAAUUUUUUAUCUCAAUACCCACCAAAUUGUAUAUAAUUGAAUUAUCUUUCCAACGAUACCAAUUUCGCCUAAAUCCGAUACCCGAGCUAAAAGUUAUGACUUUGCAAAGUGGAGUAUUUUUCGUCCAAACUGGUUUGACAUGCCAUUGAAAUGCUCCAGCAUCUUGGGCACAUCUUAGGCUCAUUUCAGGGGCAUAACACACUGGUUUGAGAUGCCUUUGAAAUGCUCCAUCAUCUUUGGUGCAUUUCAAGGGCAUAACACACUGGUUUGAGAUGUCUUUGAAAUGCUCCAACAUCUCAGGCUCAUUUCAGGCCACAAUUUUAGGGUCAACUUCCAAUGAUUAUAACUUGCUGUAUUUAACGAACUAGGAUAGAUGAUGUAUAUCCAAUGAAAUCUCUUUGAGUCUUCCUUCCAAAUCAACAAAUUUCAUCCAAAUACAACAUCGGAGUAAGGAGUUAGCCCAAUUUACUUCAGCCUAUUAGCCUGUCAACUGAGGGAUAGCUGUGACUUUGUUUGUUUUCUUAGGGACAUUUUAGUCUUUUCUCCCACCCUUAUACAACUAUUAACAUAGUAUUAAGCUCCCAAUUGACCAAAAUUUUGUCAUUUUCUCCAAUUCCCUCAAGAAUCAAACCCCUUAGUCUCAAACUAAAAAUCAAGAUCCCUUAAAAUUCAACUGUCUUUUGAAAUUGAUUCAAGAUUCAGAAUUCCCUUUGUGAGAGCUACAAGAAGCACCCAGCAAUUGUACGAAUAGAGUUCCAAAAGCAAGAGUUCAUGAAAUUCAUAAUUUGAGGUAUGUGGGGUUUGAACAAGGACAAAUCUUUCGUCCUUGUGCCCAAACUUGAUUUUAUUACAAGAGUUAGUUGAUUUUAUAUGUUUUCCUAUGAAAUUAAAGUUGGGUUUAUACCCUAUGUUGCUAUUCAUGAGAUUAUGAGAUUUUCAUUAUUUUAGAAGUUGAAUUAUAUGAGUAUGUUUAUAUUUUGGUAUAUAUAGCUGAAAUUUCCAAAUUUUAAGAUGAUUAUGAAUGUUUUUUUUCAAGCAUGAAUUUUGAGAUGUUGAAAUCAUGAGAUUCAUAUUAAGAGUUAUUUUCCAAUUUCUUGAUUGAGAUGAUUGAAAGCUUUUUAACAUGAUUGUUGAGCAUGAAGUUUAAACAUGAUUUUGAUGUAUUAAAGCUUUAUAUUUUGAGUCCAAAGUACAAAUAAUGAGUUUAUAAGAAGAUUAUGAUCUCAAGUUUUGUUGACAAGUUUUGAUAAGUGCUUUCAAAAGAAAAGAUUGAUUUUGAUCCUAAUCUAAGAUAGGAAUCCACACUAUUUAUGAUUAAAGAAAAAAGAAGCAUAAUUUGGUGUUCAUUAUAGACCCUUGAGUUAUUUUAAGGUGGAUUUUCUAAAAUUUUUUAGCCUAAGAAUGGGAGUAGUAUUUAGCACCGAGUUGGGUAUGAUUCCAAGGUCUCAUACCCCAGAACUACGUGCCACUGUAGGAUUGAGAUUUGUGGCCUAGGGCUGAGAUAGUGAUCACUAAAGUUAAGGUUUUAUUCUGAUGGCAAGAGUAGAGCAGCUCUCCCCAACGUAGGCAAGACGUUAGACUCCAUGUGGCUCACAUGGUUUAUGUCGGUUAGAAGAAACUCCCAAAGCAAUCUCCUACUCUAAUUAAGAUAAAAGUAUAUAUGUUGAAAGUUUGAUUUUGAGAUUUCCAAAGUCCCCCAAGUCCAAGUUCUCUAAGUGCCAAAAGUCUUAUCCUCCUUAAGAUAAAAAUACAUGUUUUGAAAGUUAUUAUUUAAAGUUCCCUUUAGCCUACAAGUUUUGAGAAUAAGCAGAGAAUAAAAAUUUUAGAAUAAAGUGUAAUGACUCACAGGAUUUAGAUUACAUGUUUCUUUAUUCAUGAUUUAUGAGAUUCAGAUUUUAGUUUUAUUCCAGCUACGUGAGUCAUCUAUAUUUGCAUGCAUGUUUUCUUUAAAGUUUGAUGAUAUUGAUUGUUUAAUUUUCUACACCCCCAUAUACUCAGUACAUCCUCAAAGUACUGAUCCACAAAUAUGUUUGUGUGCUAUAUUGUCUUAUAAUGCAGGUAUAAGUUGUAGCGCAUACACUAUAUUCAGUCAGGUUUGCAACUUUCAGUCAGCAAGUGAUGGGUCAUUUUGUUUUGAGGACUCGAGUCAGUUAUACCGUUUGAGAAGUAUUGCAUUUUUUCAUUCAGUCAUAUUGAGUUAGGAUAGUUGAGAGUCCUGACCCGGCUAUCUAUAGUCAGUACUAGUAGAGGCUUUAUCCACAGUCAGUAGUGUCGAUGUAUUUUACUUUUGUUUUAUUCAUAAAAGCAGAGUUGUAAUCUUGUAAACUCAGAUGUUGUAUUGAUCAAGUACAGAGAAGCUUUAUUAUUUCCAUUGAUUUUACUCAGAUUUACGUAUUUAAUUUAGUUACUUGUAAGUAUGCCAGUAGAAGGGUUAGCUUGGGGUCACUUGUGACCCUGAGCACCAUGUGACAUCUCGGGACCCAUUUUUGGGGUGUUACACUUGGGGACUAAGGUGAACCUUAUCACCGCUUUCCACACUCAAAUGGAUGGACAAGCGGAACAGACUAUUCAAACUUUAGAAGAUAUUCUAAAGGCUUGUGUUAUGUGCAUCCUAAUCACUUAUUUGGGGACGAAUGAUCCUAAGGAGGGUAAUGUAACAUCCCAGGUGUUAUAGAGUCCAAAAACUAGCUUAAACGGGCCUACAUAACCUCUAUCUUAAGCGUAAAAUACUACAGGAAGAGUUUAGGUGCAUUGGAGGAAGAUGUGGAACCAAAGAAAGGUUAUGCAUCGCGAAGGGGGUGGUUUGAUUUUGCUUCAUACUACGAUGGAAUCCAUGAAGGCUCACUGCUGUAACUUUACACUGGGUUUUGCAUCGCAAAGCUCAGGCUUCGCGUUAAGUUUUCUUUAGGCUUCACACUGUGAACCUCCUUUCUUUUUUCGAUGGGACUUUGUUUUAAAAGUGUAUUAAGGUUAUUUUUGUCCUUUUAUGUCCUAUAACCCAUCCAAUUUCUACAUAACCUAUUUCUAAACAUUAAAACUCCCAUAUUCUCUCAAAAAAGUCAUUUUUCAUUCCAAAACUAAGGUUGAAAGGUAGUAAUGUUCAGGUUCAAGCUUGGGGCUUCUUUCCUUGAUAUUUUCAAAAGGCUUCUCUUCAAUCAAGGCAUGUAUCUCUUCCUUAAAUUAUUUUUUAUAUAAAGCAUGUGUUUAAAUUUUUAUCAAUGUUAAAUUUUUGGAUUUUGAAUAUGGGUUGAGGGGUUGGAAUGAUUAUCAUACGAAUUAGUUUUCCCAUAUUUUUAAAUUGGUUAUCUUUGAUUGAUCUUGUGGUUUUGAACUUAGUAUAUACAUGGGCGUAGGAAUUGGAAUGGGGAACAUGGGUUUCCCCAAAUGGUUUAAUGAUUUGGAAUUGGAUUUAAACUCAACUCAACUUGUGACUGGUUUGAAACAUAGAUAUAUAUAUAUAUAUAUAUAUAUAUAUGGAAAUUACUUUACUUUUGAAACCUUGCAUUGCAUAAAAGGUUUAAGGAACAUAAAUUGAUUUUGAAAGGCCUUGGUAGCCAUGGAUGGUGUUAAAUUGGAAACUUUGGAGUCAUGUGGCUAAUUGGUUUGGUUUUGCAUAAUGACAAUAGCUAGAAAGCAUAAUUAUUUGGUAUGACGAUACCAACGGUAAAUUCCUAAUUGAAAGACUCCUUGGCAAAUGUAUGGCAAUGUGUGUAAAUAACUUCAAUUGGGCUUAAAGGGGUUGUGUUGCUCGCCGUAGAAGGUGGAGGUCCCGGGGGGACUGAUAUUGGAAACCAUGUUAUUGGUGUGGGGGUAUAUAUGACCAUAUGUUCGAGUCGCACGAUAUAUAUAUAUAUAUAUAUAUAUUGUGGAUGGUUAGUUGCCUUGGUGAAUUUACCUUUCCCUCUGUUUUUCUCCAGUUCUUGCGACUAACACACACUGGGGCCCUUUCGGUAGGGGAGCUGAACCCAUUUAGCCCAUGGUUUUUUUAGGACUAUUAGAGCUACACAGUCCAAGUUAAUGGUUUUAAAUCUCUUGAUUAAGCCUUAUUCCCUACCGCAACAUAUUAUGUACAAGUAUAUGAAUGUGUGCAUAUGGUUUUUGGACUGAUUUGUACUUUGCAUUAUCUUAUCACUUUCCUAAGUUAUAUAAUAGAGCUCACCCCGCUAACCAUUGUAGGAUGGUACAUUGUUUUAUAGUGUAAGGUACGAAGACACUUCUUUCUCCCUUAUGCAAUGUUAGGUGGAUUAGCACGAUUAUCGAGUUGCUUCAAAGUGGUGAGCUUCCAUACUCUGGAAGGCCCGUCAUUUCAUAGUUUGUUUUUCCUUAUGUUUUAUACUAUAUCUAUGGAUUCUUUUGGGUCAUGUUCAGGGGCAUGUCCCGACCAAUUUGGUAAUCUGGUUUUAAAGGUUAUUGUGGACAAGUGUGGAUUGGUUUUUUAUUGAUUUACUCUUAGUUUCCAUUAGUGUUAUUUGUUCCUUUGUUUGUUAUUGUUUAAUUGGCUUCCACAUUACUCUUUAUGUUUAUUUUUGUGCUCAUGAGGUUAGGCGAUGGGGGUGGUCUCCGGUCCAUAGUGGGCUUAAGAUACCUGUCACGGCUAGGCGCUAGUUUGGGUCGUGACAUACAUACUCUUAUUCAAAUUUUUUUCUACAUCAUCUUUUUCCAAAACUUAAUUCUCUAUAGAAGGUUUACCUUCGUUUGUUUCUAAAAGAGCUUGUUCAUCAAGCUCCUCCAAACCUAUCUAUAUUUUAGCCUUUUUGGUUGGUUACUCAAAAGUUGAACCACUUUCAUUUCUUUUGGGAGGCAUCUUUUAUCUAUAUACAAGAGAAAAUAAAAAGGAUUAUAAUUUAUGUGUGCAUCAUUUUAAAAAAAAAAAGAAAUACAAAAUUUAAUAAAUACAACACAUUGAAAAAAUAUUUCCAAUAGAUGGCCCAUUUGUUGUAAUAUAUGAUCCACAUAUUGCAACAGAUAGGUCAUGAUAGAAGAAAUCAAAAUAGUAUAGCUACUAGUUUAAUAUCUUCCAACAGAUGACCCUUCUGUUUCAAUAGGUGGGUCUGUUGGAAGAAAUUAAACCAAGUCUUCCAACAGAUUACACACCUGAUGGGUAAUAAACCACCAACAUCACCAAAACCAAUAUUACGAACAACACCAACAAUAUCAACAACAUCAACAAAACAAAACAAAUAAACUAAAACACAUAUAAAUAAACAAACAAAACAACACCAACAACACCAAUGCCAACAGUACCAACAACACCCCACCAACAACACUGUUAACAUUCACCAACAAAUACCAAGUGAAGUGAAGUGAUUCAAAACAACAACACAAAUAAUAAGACAAAAUUGUUAAUCUCCAAAAAAGGUCAAAGUUCAAGUUUGUGCAAUUUUACAAUAACAACAACAAGAAAUCAUAUUUCACUCAGAAAAGAAACUAACGUUCAAUCACCAUACUAAGAUAACAACUAUGUCAAAAACUAGAGUUUUAUCAAAACUCAAAAUUGUUGACCCAUUCUUAAACAUAAUACAACUAAAGUUCUUUGUCUCAUUAUUAACUGAAAAGUCCUAAUUUUUUGAAAAAUAGCUAAUAUCAAACUCUUACCUACAAAGAGAGAGAAAUAAUGAAUACAAGGAAGAAGAAAGUAGAAAUAACAAUUGAUGUGGUCGGAAAUAGGAACAAAUUGAUCUGUUGUGAAGGGUUUGAGCAAUCUAGUGGAACAAGGUUGAGUAGUUGAGAAGAAAAGAUCAAAAGAUUGUGAGAUUUUCAAAAAAAUAAUGGAAAUGAUUGAAAUAAUUGACCAAUUGUUGCAAUAGAUAGGUCAUCUAUUGAUUAACUGGCAUGAAUUAUUCCAAUAGAUGUCAUAUCUAUUGCAAAAAAUGGAUCAUCUAUUGGAAUAAAUCAAAAUAGCUCACCCAACAGAUGACCCACCUGUUGCAACAGAUGGGUCAUUUAUUAGAAGAAAUCAAAUUGGUCUUUCCAUUGGUUUGAUAUUUUCCAACAGAUGGACCAUCUGUUACAACAUAUGGACCAUUUGUUAUAACAGAUGCCUAUAUCUGUUUGAUAAUUUCCAACAGAUGAGAUGUUAAUUGUAACGGAUGGUCCAUCUAUUUUUAGUCCUCUGUUGUAAUAGAUGUCUAUAUCUAUUUGAUAAUUUUUAACAGAUGUAUCUUCUGUUGCAACAGAUAAUGCAUCUAUUUUAAUAUUUGAAUGUAGUAAUCCAUUUUAAGUAAUAAGUUCAAAUAUAAGGAUAAAAUAGAAUUUAUGAGAAAAUAAUUGGUCAUCAAUUAAAAUAAAAUUCAUAAAAAAUUGAUUCAAGCCUCCACAAAUUAUGUUAAAUAAUUCAAUAAAUGCGUGAAAUAUAAAAUUAAAUGGGUACAGAUGAUAAAUAUUUACAAUUUAAGUUUUAAAUCCAAUAUUUAUAGAAUCAAGCGAUAGAGAUCUACUCAAUAUUGACCAGUUGUACUUCAUCCUGUAGUAUGAAAUUCAAAUUUGGUUGCGAUGGAACUUCACUGUUGGUUACGUACCCUUUCUGAGCCUUCACACUUCCAUAAUUCCACAAAAGUGUAGAAUACCUUUUAUGGAGUAAUUCAGCAUCAACUCCAUCAUUUGGUACUUGUAAUCCAUCGCUCAAAUAUUUGGCAUAAGCAGCAACAAAACACUACAAUUCCUAUAUUCAUAAAAAUCAGAUAACAAAUAUCUAAUUAAUGUAAGAGUUGCAAAAUUUAUGAAAUAAAUCAUUAUAAGUACUUACAGGUUACUACUGGAUCAUUGAGAAAUUCCUUCAACAUAUUCUUUAUUAAAUGGAUUACCUUGUAGAAAAUAGUUAUCACCCAUUUAAUGCUGGUAUGCUUCAAUCGUCAACCAAUCAGUACAAAUUUUUGGUCUAAAAAGCCACUUGUAUGAAGGUAAGUAGGAAACAUUAUGGCCAGCUUUUGUAUCUCGAAUGAUGGCUCACAAUAUCUCUUUGCCAACAUUGAGUCAUAAACUCGGAUGUGCCUCUUUUUAGAACAACAACAACAACCAUCCAAUGGAACUCACCAUCAUAAUUGAAUUAGAUGUACACUUCAUCGACCAAAUACCAAGGUAAGAAAGCUAAAAUGUCAAAAUCUUUGAUGAUGUUUGAUGUUUUGGCAUUUAAUGGAAUGUCGUGUACCUUUAACAAGCGAUAAUUGUAUGUUUUUAAGUAACUACUAAAGCAUUUGAUGUUGGGUUUUAGUUGUUCUCAGGAAAAUCCCUUAGAGGAAGGAAUUAUUUAGAAAAGUAGGAAAGAAUGCAUGUGAUGGAUUAAUUGACGGGUUGUCAACCUUAUGACGAACCAUUGUGGUGCUCAUCAGGAUAAAGCAAAAGUGAAGUUGUCAAGGACUCAAGUAAUGGACCAAGUGAUGGGUCAUCAAGCUUGCGACCUACAAUAACUGUGUCCAUCAGUAUUAAACAGAAUAGAUUGGUACCAAAGAUCCAGUGACGGACCAUAUGGCAGACCAUCAGGCCUGCGACGAACCAUCACUUUAGUCAUUAUCCUUAAAACGGAAUAAAGAUAAAUCAAAGUCCCAUCAACGGACCGAGUGAUAGGCUAUCAAGCUCAUGAUGGACCAUCAUCUUGGUCGUCAACCAUGAUGUGGCAGCUUGUGUUUUAAAUUUUAAGUUCCCACUUUCUGAGAACCUAUAAAUACCCAGUUUAGGGUUAUAUUAGGCAUCUUUCAGCUCUUGAAACAUUUUGUAAAUGAUAUUUCUUUGAGAAACAAGAUUAUUGCUUUGGGUUUUCAUUUUAUUCACCAUCAUCUAAGAUUUGGAACAAUUUCUUAUAUCUUUGUAAGUAAUUCUAAAUUGUGUAUGAAGAUUACAAUGGAUUUCUUUUCUUUCAUUAUGUGUGGCUAAAACUCCCAUAACUAGGGUUAUGAGAGCCUUGGUGUGAUUAAUUUCUAGGUUUGUGAGAAUAAUCAAAUUCCAUAAAUACGAUCAAUUGCAUAACCUUCUCUUCAAAUUAAUGACUCUACCUAGUUGCAAACUCAAAGUAUGUGCCUAUAAACACCACUUGUUGAGUAAAAGAGUUGGUGUUGGGAAAAGAGAAAAGUUACAAGAAAAUUAAGGGUUUUAACCUUUGAUUUAUAGGUUGAUGCCUUAACAGGAUAAACCUCCUUAAGGAUUUAAUUGAAUAAUCAUUAUCGCUCUUUAAGUUUGAAAGAAUUAAAGUGUAGCCAUCUUUUAGGAUUGAGAAAUAAUUAGAUGGACUUUAUUGCUCAAUUAAUCUUGCAUUUGGACUUUUCAAUUAGGGAUUUGAAAUAACUCACAACUCUUAUUGCAUCAACACCUUGGUGAUCAUAAUCCUAGUUUAACUAAUCUCAUUGAUUUUAUUUUGCAAAACACUCUCUAGCAUAAACACUAAGUGAUAUUCUCAAUAAUAUUUGUUAACAACAUAACCCCCCAUUUAUUUCUAGAAACCUUUGAUCAACAGUCUAUUAAUAGUCAUACGACUUAUUUAACACCAUAUUUCCUGUGGGAUUCGAUCCAAAUCUAGUUGGGUUAUAUAUUUGACAACGACCGCUUACACUCUUUAAAUAGAUUUGUAAUAUGGCUAUAUCAAUGUUGCUUAAAUAUUCCUCAUUUUGAGAAACUUCCAGAUGUUUUUGAUGAUACCUUUCAUAGGUCUUAUUGAUGUAUACUUUGAACAAAAAGUUGGUUUUUGUGUAUUUAUAUUAUUAUUGUGUUUGCAACUUUGUCUUCUUUCAAAGGUAGUAAAAUAUGACAUCGAUGUAUUGCACAUAUUAUCAAACAUUACAAUAAAGUAAAAAUAAAAUUAUUUAACAGAUACAAUUAAACAAAAAUGGAUAUCAAAUACAGUAUUAAUAGUAAGUGGAAUUUAAACCUCAUCAUUUCAUCAAGUUUUAGGUUGUCACAUCAAAUAGAACUAAUUCUGUAUUUUGAGAUGUGCAACAAUAAAGUUGAACAUAUCAAAUCCAAGACCCUGUUGUUUCGAUUUGUAAUGGUUGUUCUUUUAUUUUUUGCAGAUUUAUAUGAGUUAAUAUCAUGUUUGUAUAAGAAGAAGUUUAUAAAUCAGAAUUUAUAAAAAUGAUUUAUGUUGUUACUUGUUGGCAUAAUACUUUAAUAGACCAUCAAUAAUCCAUUUUGAAUAAGUGUUGAUCAACUGCAUUGGAGUAUCGUUCGAGAUGUUGAAUCCUUCAAACAGAUAAUUCUGAAGUUCAUCUAAACUUUUAUUUGAACUGACAGACUUCACUUUUUCUGCCUCUUUGGAAGCAGUUGAUGGAUUAUCAACUAUGACUGUAUGUUAUUUAGUAGUAUCAUGCACUGUGACAUCCACCUGAAAAGCUAGAAUUGUUAAUGCUUAUCACAAAGAUACAAACAAAAUGAAAUAGAAAAAGAUAAGAUACAUAAAGUUAUGCAGAAGAUGGGUAAUCUAUUGCACAAAUUUAGCCCAUUUGUUGCAAUAGAUACAUAAAGUUAUGUAGUGGAUGGGUAUCUGUUACAUAACUUUAAUGCAUCUACUGCAAAAAAUACAUAAAGUGAUAUGACAAAUGGGUAAUUUGUUACAAUAAAUAUCCCAUCUGUUGUAAUAGAUAAGUAAUUUGUUGCAACAGAUGGGAUAUUUGUUGCACUUAUCACUGGAGUUGUUAACAUAUUACAAAGUACUACAAGUUAUGCAAUAGAUUGUUAUAACAGAUUACCCAUCUGUUGCAAUAGAUAUGUAAUCUGUUGCAACAGAUGGGAUAUUUAUUGCAAAAAAUAUGUAGUCUGUUGGAACAGAUGAUAAAUAUUCACCUUUUUUAGCUCAUGUUUCUCUCAUAUGGCCCUUUUAUAUUACUCAAUAGUGCAAGAAAGAAAGUUUGCAAUUUUUCUUUUUUUGAUAUUUGAUAAUAGCUUAAAAAUUGCUUUCUUUCUCCUCUUAACCUCUAAUGGAGUGAAUGGAUCUAAAAAAAAAUUUAUGGGAUGACACCUCUCUUAGAUGUCAAUUCCUUUACAGUAGUAGUUAAUGCAUUAAUAGCAUUAAUCACUCCAUCAUGUUUUACCUUGCACUGUUGACAUUUGCAUGCACAAAAUAAGCUAGGAGGGGAAAGAUGUCUAAAUGAUUUACUACCCUUUUCAUAUGAGAAAUCUAUAGUAUGCAAAUUUAAAGGGGUAUAUCGACCAUCAAAAUCAGUAAAACUAGUAUAAUCAUAAUCAUGAUCAUUUCUUCUAUCAAAAACUGCAAGAGAAGCAUCAACCAACAUAACAACACCACCAACCCCAACAACAGCACCAUCACCAUUACCACCACCAACAGCAACUCCAUCACCAACAUCUUUAUCACCACCUGUAGCACCAUCAACAACAACAUCACCAAGAAUAAUUCCAUCCUCCCAAAGUGCUUUUCUUUUGAUGGUUGUUACUCCAACUAAUAAUUUUGUAUUCUAUCAAUUACCUUAAGGUCCGAUAAAGUUUGCACAAAUCGUAUAGUAAUAAAAAUGGCAUCUUCAACUCUCGAUUAGUCGAAAUAAGUUAUGAAUGCACAAUCUAAAAUAAAUUAGUAUAUAUAUUAGAAUUAUGAUUAAAUUAUUUAAAUAAAUCAUUAAUUAAAAUUAAACUUAUUGAUUCCUCGAGGGGAUUGAAAAGAUCAACAAAUUUUUCUUUUUUGUUAUUUUUGACCGACAACCAUCUAAGGAUUCUUGGACAUGAAACUUCUUCUUGGUGGUUCACUUGUUGCCUAAGAUAAGAAAUGGCUUCAAGUGUGCAAGCCUAUAAAAUUAUGCCAAUAAAUCAAAAGCAUUAUUCAAUAAAAAAUAAAUGAAACAUAAAGAAUGAAAUAUUUACCACGAAAUUCAAUGAAAAGCCAUAUAAGUUAACUGUCUUUGGCAUUAACAGAGUCAACAAAUAUUUGACAGUCAUUUGAAGCUUUCAUGACCCCGAGGAUAGUUGUUAAAUGCCUCAAGAUCCUCGGAGAGAUUCAUUAAAUCAAAUGGUAUAUUGUUGUUCACAUCUCUCACCUAAAUAGUAUUAUGUAUAAACCAAACCAAACACAAUGAUUGCUUGUGCUUCUUUGAAAGUCUUUUACCUUUCAAGUUUUCUAUCAAAUUUAUGUUUUAAAAGCUAGACCAACCAGAGACAACAAGUUAUCACCAUCAAUCGACUAGCCUUUUGGGGUACGGGUGCCUUUUUUGUGAUACAAUAAGUAUAGGUUGAGAAGAAGGAUAACAUUUUAGUUCAGUAACUAUGAAAAACUCCUUUCAACCAAAACAAACUGGCAUACAACAGUAAUUUAUUCACACCUCAUCUAUCUUAUCUUUAUUUCAUACAUAAACCUACAUUUGAAAAGAUCAUACACCAUGAUCAUUUGAAAACAAGCAUUAUUGUCCUCCGGCAAAUCAAGCUAUUGCCCAAAGCAGUUUUUCCUUAAAUAAGCAUUCAAUUUUUGUUCUCGAAGUAUUUUUUGAAGGUAUCAAAAAAAUUUCCAUGGCUGACUUUGCCACAUAAUUACCAGUUAAAUCCAUGGCACCAUCAUACUACAUUCUCAUACAAAAAUUAUCAAUACUGAAGGUUUUGACAAAUUCUUCAGUGAAAGGGAUAUUAGGAUCAAUAUUAGCAUUUGGAUCAUGUUGACUUUUAGAACUAAAUUCAACAUCUCUUUUGAAGCUUUUCCUCUUUCUAAUGUUUAUUUCUUCUAUUUCUGAUUAAGAUAUCACAUGUACAACAAGCUUAUAUAGUGGUGAAUAUAGCCUAGCUACUUCACUUAUUCCUUUACUUAGACUUGAUUCACUUUAUUUUCUUUUGGGAGACAUAUUAUCUAAAAACAAAAGGAAAAUAAAAGAUUAUAAUUGAUUUAUGAAUCAUUAAAAAGGGAUAAGAGUAAAUCUAACAAGUACAAUACAGUAAUAGUUUUAACAUAUCACUCAAUUGUUGCGAUAGAUUAGUGAUUUGUUGCAAUUGAUUAGUGAAACAUUGCAAAAGAUCACUCAUCUGUUACAACGGAUGAGUGAUCUGUUGCAAACAAUAAAAACAAUUUCAAUACUGUUCCAUUUCUCCAAAAGAUUAUCAACAUAUUGCAACAAAUAAGUAAUCAGUUGCAACAGGUCACUCAUAUGUUGCAAUAAAUGAGUGAUCUGUUAGAACAAAUAAAAUAGUUUCACUAUUGUUUAGAUUUCUUCCAAAAGAUUACCUAUCUGUUGGAAGAAAUCAAAAGUCUUGACAGUCAUCUGUUGGAAUAACUAUAAGUAUUUCAUCCAACAGAUGAGUCAUCAUUGUUUUUUUCAACAGUGAUUCAUAUGUUGCAACAGAUGGUUCAUCUGUUGAAAAAAAUAACCUAGUAGUAAGAGUAAUCAAUAGUAACAACAGCAAUAUCAAUACAACAACACCAAUAACAAUAAUAUUUACUAGACCAACAACAACAACAUAAAUAAAUCAACACCACUAAUACCAACACACAUACCAAGAACAUCAACAUUUACCAUCAACACCAAUAAAUCAACAGUUGUUAGAUUUGGUCACAAUAGAUGUCUCUGAAAAAAAUUAAAAUUCAAGUUUCACUAUUUCACAAUAAUGUUUGAGAACAAGAAGUGCAGUAACAACAAAAAUUAUAUUUCCCUUUGAAAAAAUAUCAUAUUUACACUAAUUAUAUUAAGAGAAGAAAUACUAUAAAUUAGAAUUUUCUUUAGUUCCCAUUUCAUUUUUAAGCAACAAAUAUCAAAAUUAUUAACCCCUACUAGAAGAGAAGUUAACUGAAGUUCUUUUUUUUCAUCAUAACUAAAAAGCCCUAAUUUUUUAACUGUGAAAGUCGAAAAAGAACGAUGAAGUACUUAAAGUUGUUGUCGCCAAAAGUCGUCAGAGAAUGUUGUCACGUUAAUUGACGGUUGUAAGUCAAAAAGAAAUGAUGAAGAACUUGAAAUUAUUAUCGCCGGAGGUUAAAAGCCACUGAAGAUUGAAGAGAACGAUGGUUUUGGUUUUGCAGAACUGUUAGGAGAAGCUUGAGAGAGAGAGUCGAGACAUUGGAUAAAGAGAGCAGAGUUUUGUUAUGGGUUGAUUUGUAUUUUUAAAAUAUGAAGAAGUUUAAAAAAUAUUAAUUGAGUUUUCAAUUAACUUAAUUAAGUUUUAUCUUAAGCUUUGACCUUUUCAUUUGGCCAAAGUCACUAAUGAUCAAUUCCAAACUUAAAAAGACACUUUUUCUUCAAUUUUCUCGAAUAACUAAGUCAAAGUUUCCACAUAAUUGCAUAACCUAUUGCUCCCAAAAUGUGCAUUAUUUAUCAAAUAGGAUCUCACGGAUAACUAUUCAAUGUGAUAUUGGAAUAAUUUGCUAAUAUAGGUUGCCCACCAUAAAACUCUUGUGCAUUACUAGUAUUUCAUUUAUACAUCACUUUUACGUUUUGUAUUUUAUGUGCCAGCUAUAAUUUUAUUUCUCUAUCAUGGUGAGUCCAUUUUGAGAUCGUGGGCUAGGUCAUGUGUUACAAUGGGGUAAAUUACAGAACUGGCCUUCAUAGGGGGGUGGCUUUACUUUUUGUCCCCCAUAAGAAAAAUGCAAAAUUAAUCGUCCUUUUUUAUUUAUAGAACAAAUACCUAUUUGCCCUUAUAUAUCUCAAAUAUUCUGAAAUAACUCCCCAUAUUUAUUAAUGUUUAACUUCUAUUUUUUCUGUUUUUUAUUUCACUUUAAUUCUAUUUUUUUUUUUUGGUUUUUUCUCAAUUUGUACUUUGUUUUCCUUUUCUCCUCUCAACUUCUAUUUUUUUUCUUUUUUAUAUUUCUUUGAUCUUUAUUUUUUUCUUCUCUUUUUUUAAUUUUUCUCAACCUUUAUUUUUUUUAUCUUUUUUUCUUCAUUUUCUUCUUUUUUCGCAAACUUUAUUUUUUUUCUUUUCACCUCUCCACCUCUAUUUUUUUCUUCUUGUUUUUAUUUUAGUUGAUUGUUCUAAAUGUUUUUCCUAAUAUUUUUUUUCUUUUUUCUAAACUUUUAUUAUUUCUCUUUUCUUUUCUUCGAUUCCUUCCAAACAGCAGGUUACACCCCACGGGCAAGAGAUAACACGACCACAUUGUGUCGAGAUUUACGAGAUGUUCUACAACUCUUGACUUAGAGGCAAGACUUAGCCCAAGGAUUUUCAAAUAAUAAGUUACUUACAGUGGACAAAAUUUGACACUGUCGCAUUGUACUUUGACAUGAGAUGCUUUAUAACUCUUGCCUUAGAGGAAAGGCUUAGUGCAAGGAUUUUCAAAUAACGAGUAAUGCCUAAUGGAAAAGAGCCGAUACUAUCAUAUUGUGUCUUGAUUUAUAUGAUGCUCUAUAGCUCUUGUCUCAAAGACAAGACAUAACUCAAAGACUUUCAAAUAACAAGUUACGCCUCAUAGGCAAGAGUUGACACUACCACAUUGUGUCUUGAUUUAUGAGAUACUCUAUAACUCUUAUCUUAGAGGCAAGACUUAGCCCAAGGACUUUCAAACAAGUUACAUCCCAAGGGCAAGAUUUGAUACCACCACAUUGUGUUUAGAUUUAUGAGAUGUCUUAUAACUCUUGCCUUAGAGGCAAGAUUUAGCCUAAGGACUUUCAAACAAAAAGUUAUGCCCCAUAGGAAAGAGUUGAUGAUGCUACUACAUUGUGUCUUGAUUUAAGAUGUUCUAUAACUCUUGCCUUAGAGGAAAGACCCAAGGACUUUCAAACAACAAUUUACGUCCCAUGGACAAGAGUUGACACUGCCACAUUAUGUUUUGAUUUAUGAGAUGUCUUAUAAUUCUUGCCUUAGAGGCAAGACUUAGCCCAAGGACUUUCAAACAACAAGUGAUACCAUAUAAGCAAGAGUUGAAACUACCGCAUUGUGUCUUGAUUUAUGAGAUGUCCUAUAGCACUUGCCUUAGAGGCAAGACUUGUCCCAAAGAAUUUUUGAACAACAAGUUAUACUCUUAAGUUUACUUUGAUGUCAAAAAAAGAAGAUCCUCUUUGUGGAUUAUCCAAUUUUUUGUUCAUUAGCAAGAAAAUAAUAGAUGUUGAGAAAAACAUAAAAAGAGGAAAUAGAAAGAGAAAAGAAAAAAUAGAGAAAAACAUAAAGGUUAAGAAAAGAGUACAAAAAACAAAGAGAAGAAUAAAAAAAUUAAAAAAAAAUGAGAAAAAUAAAAAAUGAGAAGAAAAAAUUAAAAAUAAAAUAAAAAUGAAGUUUGAAAAAAAAUUUUAAAAAAAGAAGAAAAAAUGACAAAAAAAAAAGAUAGAGGUUGAGACAAAUGAAUUAAAAAAAAAUAAAGAAAUGAAAAAUAAAUAAUGAUUGAGAAAAAAGAGAAGAAAAAAAAUAAAAGUUGAGAAAAAUGAAUCAAAACAAGAAAAAAAGGAAAAGAAAAAUUAAAAAUCAAGGAAAAAAAGAAAAAAAUAAAAACUUAAGAGACAAAUGAGCAUGAAAAUGUUAAAACAUUUGAGGUGUAGAAGGACAAAAAUGUACUUAUAUUAUACAUAAAAAAAAAAAAAAAAACUGGUAUUUAAAUCCUUUUCUAAUAGGGGACAAAAAAUGGGUAACUUCCUUGUUACAAUGUUACAAAGACUCUGGAGACGGAUUUGUAUUAUUUUUGGUUGUUAGAACUUGAAAGGAUUUACGAGUGUCAUAUUUAUUUAAAGACUGAUUAAUGAGCAUAUUGUUGAGUUGAUGUUUUUUUUCCCUUUGAUUAGUUAAUAUUUUUAACAGAAAAGGGUCAAUCUAUCCUUAAACUAUUCGAAUGGAGCAAAAAUAUUCUCUAUUUAUUUUUUUUCUCAAAAAUAUUUUUUCAUUUGUUUUUUGACUAAAAGAUACCUCCUCUGUUUGUUUUUUGGCUUUAAACUAUCCCUCACUUUAACAGAGUGCCACCAAGUACACCAUGUAAAAAAUUACCACAUUUCAAUCCAUGUCAGCAUUUUAUUUACAAAAAAGGAUCAAAACUAUCCAUGAACUAUCCGAAAUGGAACAAAACUACCCCUCUAUCUAUUUAUGGCUCAAAAAUAUCCUUCUGUUUGUUUUUUGGCUCAUAAAUACUCCUACUUUAAUGAAGUGUCACCAAGCACACAAUGUGAAAAAAAUAUUACUACAUGGCCAAAUCACAUCAGCAUCUCAUUUAAUACCCAACUGACACACUUAACCAUCCAAUUUAAUACCCUAAAUACCUGUACCCGAUCUGUCUUUAAAAAAUUCAACACAUCUUCACUUAAACUCUCUCAAAAAAAUCAAUGCAGACUAGGGAUUUUGAGGAAAAAGAAAGCACCCAUAUUCUUUAACGUGAAUAAGACGGAUCGAGUUUCAACCGAUGUAUUAAGGGUUUUUCUUUCUCUCAAAAUUCCUAGUCUUUAUCGAUCGGUUCAAGUGAAAUGAAGGGUGAAUCUAUCUUUACCCUUACUUAUGAAGACGAGUUGAUUGUUUUGAAGAUGGAUCGAGUAUGGUAUUAAAUGGGUUAUUAAUUUGGAUUGUUAAGUGGUUUGGUUGAUUAUUAAAUGUGAUGUUAACGUGAACUGGUCAUGUGACAACUUUUUUUCGUAUGGUGUGCUUGGUGGCGCUCCAUUAAAGUGAGGAGUAUCUGUGAGCCAAAAAAAUAAAUUGAGGGAUAUUUUUGAGCCAAAAAUAAAUAAAGGAUAUUUUGAGCCACAAAUAAAUAAAGGGUAUUUUUUAGCCAAAAAAUAAAUGGAGGGUAUUUUUGCUCCAUUUGGAUAAUUCAGGAAUAGUUUUGGCUUUUUUUCGUAAAUAAGAUGCUGACGUGGAUUGACCAUAUGACAAUCUUUUUCACGUGGUGUGUUUGGUGGCACCCCAUUAAGAUGAGGUUUUUUUAGCCAAAAAAUAAAUGAAAGAAUAUUUUUGAGCCAAAAAAUAAUCUGACGGUAUUUUUGCUCUAUUUCAGAUAGUUCAGACGUAGUUUUGACUGUUUUCUGUAUUUUUAACUUAAUGAAUUAUAUGAUAUUGGGCAUGACAUGGGUAGUUACUAUAUUAAAUACAUUUGUUUGUUGCAAGUUGUAUCGAGUGUCUUUUUUUUCAUCCGGUGCUUGAAAUCCAUAUUAGAGCCUGACUAAUUCGAAUUCACUUAAGGUAGGGCCUAUUCAGAGAUACCAUUUCCUACCAAGGAUUUUUUCAUACCCAAGACUCGAACCCGAGUCUCUGGUUAUGCGAGGAGUAACCUCGUCCAGUACACCACAUCCUUUGAUGGUAAGUUGUAUCGAGUGUCGUAUGACCUCUCGUUCAUUUUGGGGCAUGAAAUUUUCUUAAAGAACUAAUUAGGGGUCAAUCUUUCUAAAAUUUAGGUUUGCUAGAACUUCAGAAUCUAGAACUUUCAUAUGUAUAUUCAGUUAGUGCAAGUCCUCUGUAGUUUCUUCAUUUCAAAAUAGUUGACACUUGUUGACUUGAUACUCCCCUUAAGAAAAUAUUUAUUAGGAAUUUAUUCUACCAAAUUAGCCUUAUUAAGUAUGCUUUGAAAAUAUAAAUUUGAGUAUAUCCACUUUAUUUAGUCAUUUAAUGAUAAGGGUAUUAUUAAAAGAACAUGAUAAAAUCAUUUUGAUUUCAUUAAAGAGAUAACUAAAUUGAAACAUAUAUUUUUAGAAAGAGGAUCAACUAAAAUGAAAUGGAGGAGUACUUACAUUUAGCGGUGUUCAUGGAUCGAUUAUUGGUCAAAACCAUAACCAAACCAACUUAGUCGAUUUUUAAAUUCCUAAAAUCAAACCAAACCAAACAAAAAAAUAACCAUCGGUUUGGUUCUUGUCGGUUUAGUUUGGUUUGGUUUGAUUUUUUUGGUUUAUAACUUUAGCUAAUGAUAAAAGUUGAAAAUUUUUAAAAAACAAAUUGAAUAUAACAUAUGAGAUGUCAACCAAAUGUUGUAUCUCAACCUUAAAACUAAGAUGUCAACUCUGUCUUAUACUUCGACAAAGCCAUGAACAACGCCAUUUGAACGCUUCUACAAAAAUAUUUAAAAAUUACAUUUAACAGAUGAUAUGAUAAACUCCCCAAAAGGUGAACACAUAAACUUAUUGCUCAAUAAGGUUCUAAAAGAAAGUUAAAAUUAGUGAAUGUCUAUAAUCUAAUGAAUAUCAGCUGUAAAUUUCAAUAUACAACAAGAUAUUAUUUUCAAAAUUAGUAUCAUUUGUCAUUCAAAGUGGAAAAUUCAUUUAGAAUCUGUCACACCCCUUUUUUACGCGUACUCCAAAAAAUGGAUAUAUUUUAAAGUUUGAAAGGAUUUUAUUGUUUAAGUGACAAGAAAUGAAAAUUUGUUUCGGAAAAGGAUUAUUUACAUUUUUUAUUCAGAGUCGCCACUUGGCAUAAUCCGGUGUGCCAAGUCACCUUUGGAAAAUCCUUUUUGAAACCAUUUGACUCUUAAACCGAUUUGCGAACAGAGAUUCCGGCUAAGGAAUUCUAUUGACCGAGGGAAAGGUGUUAGGCACCCCUCGAUCCCGUGGUUCGACCAUGGUCGCUUGGUGGAGUGUAUCGACUAUUUUGACAUUAUGAAAUGUAUAAACCACACAAAAGAACACAAAAUAAUCAAACAAUAAAUAAAACGAAAUACUCCAAAAACGUAAAAGUCCAGUCCAAUUAUACAGUCCGAAAAUAGAAAAAAUAUGAAAAUAUAAAUCCUAGUCUAAAACUAAAUCUAAGCUCCAAUGCCCUACCCAACUCUGCGGGCCUUCAUCACGAUCAUUUUUUGCCAACAUGAUACGUCAGGGCAUUCCCCGGUGAAUAAAUAUAAGUGAUCUCAGGGCAUUCCCCGGCUAAAUAAAUACAUCUAAAUUAAAUACGAUAAACUAGAAAGAAAAAUUCACACGCACAUUCCAAUAUCCAACAAAACACUUAUUCCUAAAUUUCGCCUACCCGAACCUACGAUUGCCUACCCGCUUGACUUACCAUGAUACUAUCACGAAAUUGAUAAUUAGACGUGAAAGUCACAAUAACGACGAAUCAAAACAACAACAAAUCAAAAUUAAUCCUAAUUCACUUUAACGAUUUUUAAACUCGCGCUCCGAAUUCCCUUUAAACCACAUGAUUACUGCAUGCUUCGAUUUUCCAAUCCCAUCUCAUAAUCCAAAACCAACAUCAAACACAACACAAACAACGAAGAUUCAAACCAAACACACAACAAAUAAAUCAUCCACACCAACAACAUCAAUAAAAAGUCAAAAUAAAUUAAAGAUUUGGUUAGAAUAAAUGGACCUUGACGAAACUAAUCCUUGUCGAUAAUAAAGAAAUUCGAAGACCAAAAUACUCGAUUGGAGAACCUCACAACAAACAACUCCAAACUCGAUAUUGAGUUCAACCGGACAGAUCGAAAAACCAUGACAAAAAACUCACAAUGAAUAACCCACAAAUCUGAAUAAACUUCAAAAAAACAACCCAAGAUCCCAGAUCCAAAACCUCAAAUCAACGAUUUCCAACUAUCCUUGCACGACGAAAUAAGAAAUACCAGAUGAACCGAGACUGAAAUUAUGAAAAAUUGAAAAGACCCAAUAUGCGAAAUCUCGUCGUAGUCGAAGGGACGAGCUACAGCCAGAGCAGACUGACGCGCUGCGGCCGAAGCUGGCCGAUUCUCGGCCAGCAAACGGUGUUCUCACCGGCGGAUGAGCCGCGACAGAUCUGGCCGGAUCUGACGGUGACUGUUUCGCCGACGGAGCGGCGAGGGGAGACAAAAAAAACGGCGACGUUGUUGCCGCCGUCGCCAGUGAAGUCGAGUCGGCGGUUGGAUGACGCUGAGAACGGCGUUGUCGUUGGCGGUCGCCGACCGGCGGCGAAGCGGUGGUGGAAGUUCUAAUUUUUAAAGAGAGGAAGAAAGAGAGUGGACAGAGAGAAAAAAAAGCUGAUGAUAUUUUUUUUGGAUGUGUUACUGUUCAUCCUCUUUAUUGUGUAUGUGGAUAGGUAUAUAUUGUGUUCUUUCUUCUUGGACAAAAAAAAGAGAGGGGGUGGGGUAACGUGGGGUAGGGGGUAGUGUGAGGUGUUAUUUUUUUAUUGGGUAGGUGGUUAGGAUAAGAUAGGGUUAGUUAUUUUAUUAUUUGUUUAUUAUUUUUUUUGUAUUUUGUGGGGUAUAAUGAAAUGGAUGAGGGCACACGGUAGGAUAAAAUAAGAGUGGGUAAAAAAAUGACAUUGUGGAGGGUGCAUGAUAUGCUAAGGUAGAAAAUGAAUAAAAUCGAACUUCUAAGGGGGGCAAAAUUAUGUGUCUACAUCAUGCCCCCUUUGAAUGUAAACACGCAGUGUUUUCAGACAAAGAAGUAGACAACGAGAUCAAAUUUUGACCCGACCAUUAUUCAAAUAAAGAAAUAGAAGAAAGAAGGACUAUCGGGUUUUGAAUUAGGACAGCCUGCCCACCCAAGUCAUGAAGGGAUCGAGUGACAAGUAUUUCCAGGGAUUGGACGGAGAUGGACUAUACCGAGUUGGAGAAUCGAGUGAGGUUCCAUCGAGAUUUCGGUCCGCAGCUCUGUUAUUAUAUCAAAAAUGCAAAUUGCAAGUUAAAACAUAAAUGAAAUUACAAAAAUCCUAUCUAUACUUCUGUUGGUUCUUGACUCGACUUUCAUCACCCUAUUCUUCAGGCGGGCUCCUGAUUUGCAAUUUCUUUCAAACUGUUGCUUGGCUUUCAAUUGCUUCGUUUUGUUAUUUGACUUUUCAUUUCUCCACCCUAUUUUCCAAGCGGGCUCCUGACUUGCUAUUUCCAUCACUUUGUUGCUUGAAUUUUAUUUUCUUCACCCUGUUCUCCCAACGGGCUUCGAACUUGCUAUUUCAUCACCCUGUUCUUCAGGCGGGCUCCUGACUGGCUAUUUCAUCACCCUGUUCUUCAGGCGGGCUCCUGACUGGCUAUUUCAUCACCCUGUUCUUCAGGCGGGCUACUGAAACCCAAAAUUAAAACUAGAACGAACAAUAUCCCAAACAAAAAUUAUAAUAAAGUAGUAUUUUAUUUUUGAAAGCGUUGUCCCAUUUUCCAGGAGGGUCCUGAAUAUAAAGUAAAAUCCCAUUUUUCAAGAGGGUCCUGAACUGAAAGUAAAUUCCCAUUUUUCAGGAGGGUCCUGAGCAUAAAGUAAAAAUCACUGAACAGAAAGUAAAAUCCCAUUUUUCAGGAGGGUCCUGAACAGAAAGUAAAAUCCUUGAACAGAAAGUAAAGUCCCAUUUUUCAGGAGGGCCCUAAACUGAAAGUAAAUUCCCAUUUUUCAGGAGGUUCCUGAACAGAAAAUAAAAUCCCAUUUUUCAGGAAGGUCCUAAACAUAAUGUAAAAUCCCAUUUUCCAGGAGGGUCCUGAACUGAAAGUAAAAUCUCAUUUUUCAGGAGGGUCCUGAACAGAAAGUAAAAUCUCAUUUUUUAGGAAGGUCCUGAACAUAAAGUAAAAUUCGAUUUUUCAGGAGGGUCCUGAACAUAAAGUAAAAUCCCCGGAUGUGCAUUUCCAAUGGUAGCUGAAUCAAGUGAAACGAAUUUGCCCCUGUUUCAAUCAAAGAAAAAUUUGUCAGUUAAAAACUUAGUGGUGGCUUGCAGAUCUUGGCUUCUCAGGUAUCUGCCCAGCACUCGUUCCUUUUAUCUUUGUUCCAAAUUGCUAACACUUGUUGUGUCUUGCCGCAUCAUUGACCCGGAUCCAAAUUGAGGGAAGUUAUUUCUAACUCAAACAAUGGGUUUCCAUUUUACCAUGCCCCUGAGGUGUACUCUUUUCCUGAAUAUGAAUGUUUUCUAUGAAUCCAAUAGCGUGUCGGUUGAUAGACUUCCUUUGCUUCAUGUUAAAUUAUGAUCAUAUUUCUUCCUGUUCUGUUCCUUGGCUUUUCCUCAUAUAAUUGGAAAGAUUGGUAAUAAAUUUUGAAAUUCUUUCACGCUUGUUUUGACAUAGACUUGACUUAAAACGUAAAGAAAUGGUGGUGACUUUUAUUUUGAUAAAUGACAUAAAAAAGACAAAAAGCAUGAAUAUGUAAAUGAAAGAAAAGGGAAAUGUCCCAUAUUCAAAAAAAAAAAACUUNNNNNNNNNNNNNNNNNNNNNNNNNNNNNNNNNNNNNNNNNNNNNNNNNNNNNNNNNNNNNNNNNNNNNNNNNNNNNNNNNNNNNNNNNNNNNNNNNNNNNNNNNNNNNNNNNNNNNNNNNNNNNNNNNNNNNNNNNNNNNNNNNNNNNNNNNNNNNNNNNNNNNNNNNNNNNNNNNNNNNNNNNNNNNNNNNNNNNNNNNNNNNNNNNNNNNNNNNNNNNNNNNNNNNNNNNNNNNNNNNNNNNNNNNNNNNNNNNNNNNNNNNNNNNNNNNNNNNNNNNNNNNNNNNNNNNNNNNNNNNNNNNNNNNNNNNNNNNNNNNNNNNNNNNNNNNNNNNNNNNNNNNNNNNNNNNNNNNNNNNNNNNNNNNNNNNNNNNNNNNNNNNNNNNNNNNNNNNNNNNNNNNNNNNNNNNNNNNNNNNNNNNNNNNNNNNNNNNNNNNNNNNNNNNNNNNNNNNNNNNNNNNNNNNNNNNNNNNNNNNNNNNNNNNNNNNNNNNNNNNNNNNNNNNNNNNNNNNNNNNNNNNNNNNNNNNNNNNNNNNNNNNNNNNNNNNNNNNNNNNNNNNNNNNNNNNNNNNNNNNNNNNNNNNNNNNNNNNNNNNNNNNNNNNNNNNNNNNNNNNNNNNNNNNNNNNNNNNNNNNNNNNNNNNNNNNNNNNNNNNNNNNNNNNNNNNNNNNNNNNNNNNNNNNNNNNNNNNNNNNNNNNNNNNNNNNNNNNNNNNNNNNNNNNNNNNNNNNNNNNNNNNNNNNNNNNNNNNNNNNNNNNNNNNNNNNNNNNNNNNNNNNNNNNNNNNNNNNNNNNNNNNNNNNNNNNNNNNNNNNNNNNNNNNNNNNNNNNNNNNNNNNNNNNNNNNNNNNNNNNNNNNNNNNNNNNNNNNNNNNNNNNNNNNNNNNNNNNNNNNNNNNNNNNNNNNNNNNNNNNNNNNNNNNNNNNNNNNNNNNNNNNNNNNNNNNNNNNNNNNNNNNNNNNNNNNNNNNNNNNNNNNNNNNUCUUUCUUUUGUUCUUAUUUUCUUGAUAUUUAUCUUUGACUCUAUUUUGAUUCCAAAAGAGGGAUAUGAAAGAAAAAAAAAGAAGCUCAAACGGGUAAACAAAAGAUGACACCAUAUUUGGAUAGAAGAAUAAAAUACCUUCAUCGUAUCAAUCUUCAAGAAUGCAAGUGCUAAACAUGCAAUAAACUCAACAAAGGAUCCAAUAUCAUACAUAGUAUCUUUUGACCGCAUCAGCAUUGAUAGCCAUUUCUGCCAUUUUGCCUUCAAUAUCUGUCAAAUAUAAGGCUCUAUUGGGCAAUACUUUCUUCACAACGAAAGGACCUUGCCAAUUGGGAGAGAACUUGCCUUUCGCUUCAACCUGGUGAGGAAGGAUACGUCUCAAUACCAACUGACCAACUUCAAAAUUCCUAGGAUGGACCUUUUUGUUAUACGCUCGAUCCAUCCUCCUCUGAUACAAUUGGCCAUGACACACAGACGUUAGCCUCUUUUCCUCAACCAAACUCAAAUAUUCCAAUCGGGUUUUUACCUAUUCAUCAUCAUCAAUCUCUGCUUCUACAAUGACCCGAAGAGAAGGAAUUUCAACUUCUGCAGGGAUGACUGCUUCUAUCCCAUACACCAAUAAAUAUGAAGUUGCCCCUGUUGAAGUACGAACCGUGGUGCGAUAACCUAGCAAUGCAAAUGGCAACUUUUCAUGCCACUGUCUAGACCCCUGUACCAUUUUUCGCAGUAUCUUCUUUAUAUUCUUAUUGGCGGCUUCUACAGCACCAUUGGCCUUUGGGCAAUACGGAGUAGAAUUUCGAUGUGCGAUCUUAAAUUGUUAACACACUUCUUACGUCAAAUGACUAUUAAGAUUGGCAGCAUUGUCUGUAAUGAUCAUCUUAGGAAUUCUGAAUCUACAAAUGAUAUUGGCAUGAACAAAAUCUACCACAGCCUUCUUUGUCACUGACUUGAAAGUUACUGCUUCUACCCACUUUGUGAAGUAGUCAAUGGCUACCAAAAUGAAUCUAUGCCCAUUUGAUGCCUUCGGNNNNNNNNNNNNNNNNNNNNNNNNNNNNNNNNNNNNNNNNNNNNNNNNNNNNNNNNNNNNNNNNNNNNNNNNNNNNNNNNNNNNNNNNNNNNNNNNNNNNNNNNNNNNNNNNNNNNNNNNNNNNNNNNNNNNNNNNNNNNNNNNNNNNNNNNNNNNNNNNNNNNNNNNNNNNNNNNNNNNNNNNNNNNNNNNNNNNNNNNNNNNNNNNNNNNNNNNNNNNNNNNNNNNNNNNNNNNNNNNNNNNNNNNNNNNNNNNNNNNNNNNNNNNNNNNNNNNNNNNNNNNNNNNNNNNNNNNNNNNNNNNNNNNNNNNNNNNNNNNNNNNNNNNNNNNNNNNNNNNNNNNNNNNNNNNNNNNNNNNNNNNNNNNNNNNNNNNNNNNNNNNNNNNNNNNNNNNNNNNNNNNNNNNNNNNNNNNNNNNNNNNNNNNNNNNNNNNNNNNNNNNNNNNNNNNNNNNNCCUCUUUUGAUCGUUGGUGGCAUAUGCUGGGUAUUCUCCUGACUGAAUGUACCGCUUGAUAUCCAAGAACCAAGGUUCUCCAUCAAAGCUCUUCUUAACCGCACUACAGUAAGCAUGCUGAUCACGACUCUGUAUAUACACUGGAUCGAUGUAGGUUUUGUCAGAAUGUUGGAGCAUUGAAGACAAAGUGGCUAAAGCAUCAGCAAUUUCAUCACGAAUCCUUGGAAUAUGCCUAAAUUCCUUGGAAUAUGCCUAAAUUUUACUAACACAAACCGUUGACAUAGCUCCUGAAAGCAUUGUAGAUACAGGAUGAGCUUCAAGUCUCGCGUCUCCCAAUCGCCUUGAAUUUGAUGGACGAGCAAAUCCGAAUCUCCCAACACUAAUAAUUCCUGGACUCCCAUAUCAACAGCUAACCUCAAACCAAGAAUGCAGGCUUCAUACUCUGCUAUAUUGUGAGUACAGUAGAAUCGAAGUUAUGCUGUUACCGAGAAAUGUUAUCCCGAUUCAGAGAUAAGAACCGCACCUAUUCCGACUCCUUUCAUAUUAACAGCUCCAUCGAAGAAUAACCUCCAACCUAGAUCAGCAUCUAUAACAACCUCAUCGACACACGACACUUCUUCGUCAGGAAAAUAUGUCUUUAAUGGCUCAUACUCUUCAUCUAUGGGAUUCUCAGCAAGAUGAUCUGCCAAGGCUUGGGCUUUCAUUGCGGUCCGAGUCACAUAUACAAUGUCGAACUCGGUAAGCAUUAUUUGCCACUUUGCCAAUCGACCCGUCGGCAUAGGCUUCUGAAAGAUAUACUUUAAAGGAUCCAUGCGGGAGAUGAGAUAAGUAGUGUAGGAUGAGAGAUAAUGCUUCAACUUCUGCGCUGCCCAAGUUAGGGCACAACAUGUCCUUUCAAGAAGAGUAUACCUGGCCUCAUAUGCGGUUAACUUCUUGCUAAGAUAAUAAAUAGCCUGCUCCUUUUUGCCUGUGACAUCAUGUUGACCCAGGACACAACCGAAAGAAUUGUCCAUGACUGAUAAAUAUAAGAUCAAAGGCCUACCAGGCUNNNNNNNNNNNNNNNNNNNNNNNNNNNNNNNNNNNNNNNNNNNNNNNNNNNNNNNNNNNNNNNNNNNNNNNNNNNNNNNNNNNNNNNNNNNNNNNNNNNNNNNNNNNNNNNNNNNNNNNNNNNNNNNNNNNNNNNNNNNNNNNNNNNNNNNNNNNNNNNNNNNNNNNNNNNNNNNNNNNNNNNNNNNNNNNNNNNNNNNNNNNNNNNNNNNNNNNNNNNNNNNNNNNNNNNNNNNNNNNNNNNNNNNNNNNNNNNNNNNNNNNNNNNNNNNNNNNNNNNNNNNNNNNNNNNNNNNNNNNNNNNNNNNNNNNNNNNNNNNNNNNNNNNNNNNNNNNNNNNNNNNNNNNNNNNNNNNNNNNNNNNNNNNNNNNUUGAGCAAUAAACCUGCUAAUGUAGUUCAAUCUACCAAGCAAACUCAUCACCUCUAUUCUAUUCUUGGGCGGGGGCAAAUCCUGAAUGGCUUUGAUUUUCGAGGGAUCCAAUUCAAUUCCCCGACGGCUGACUACAAACCCCAACAGCUUUCUAGAUGGAACUCCAAAUUCACAUUUUGCCAGGUUGAGUUUGAGAUUAUACCUGUGAAGCCUUUCAAAGAACUUUCUUAAAUCUUUUACAUGGUCAGCCUGACUUUUUGACUUAAUAAUCACAUCAUCCACGUAGACCUCAUUCUCCUUAUGCAUCAUGUCAUGAAACAUAGUGGUCAUGGCUCUCAUAUAUGUUGCUCCAGCAUUCGUUAAACCGAACGGCAUCACUCGAUAACAAUAAGUUCCCCAUGGUGUGAUAAAAGAUGUCUUCUCUGCAUUUUCAUCAUCCAUAAUGAUCUGGUGAUAUCCAACAUAGCAAUCCACAAAAGAGGCAACCUCGUGUUUAGCACAGUUUUCUAGCAAAAUGUGGCUAUUGGGCAGUGGAAAAUCAUCUUUCGGACUUGCUUUGUUCAAAUCANNNNNNNNNNNNNNNNNNNNNNNNNNNNNNNNNNNNNNNNNNNNNNNNNNNNNNNNNNNNNNNNNNNNNNNNNNNNNNNNNNNNNNNNNNNNNNNNNNNNNNNNNNNNNNNNNNNNNNNNNNNNNNNNNNNNNNNNNNNNNNNNNNNNNNNNNNNNNNNNNNNNNNNNNNNNNNNNNNNNNNNNNNNNNNNNNNNNNNNNNNNNNNNNNNNNNNNNNNNNNNNNNNNNNNNNNNNNNNNNNNNNNNNNNNNNNNNNNNNNNNNNNNNNNNNNNNNNNNNNNNNNNNNNNNNNNNNNNNNNNNNNNNNNNNNNNNNNNNNNNNNNNNNNNNNNNNNNNNNNNNNNNNNNNNNNNNNNNNNNNNNNNNNNNNNNNNNNNNNNNNNNNNNNNNNNNNNNNNNNNNNNNNNNNNNNNNNNNNNNNNNNNNNNNNNNNNNNNNNNNNNNNNNNNNNNNNNNNNNNNNNNNNNNNNNNNNNNNNNNNNNNNNNNNNNNNNNNNNNNNNNNNNNNNNNNNNNNNNNNNNNNNNNNNNNNNNNNNNNNNNNNNNNNNNNNNNNNNNNNNNNNNNNNNNNNNNNNNNNNNNNNNNNNNNNNNNNNNNNNNNNNNNNNNNNNNNNNNNNNNNNNNNNNNNNNNNNNNNNNNNNNNNNNNNNNNNNNNNNNNNNNNNNNNNNNNNNNNNNNNNNNNNNNNNNNNNNNNNNNNNNNNNNNNNNNNNNNNNNNNNNNNNNNNNNNNNNNNNNNNNNNNNNNNNNNNNNNNNNNNNNNNNNNNNNNNNNNNNNNNNNNNNNNNNNNNNNNNNNNNNNNNNNNNNNNNNNNNNNNNNNNNNNNNNNNNNNNNNNNNNNNNNNNNNNNNNNNNNNNNNNNNNNNNNNNNNNNNNNNNNNNNNNNNNNNNNNNNNNNNNNNNNNNNNNNNNNNNNNNNNNNNNNNNNNNNNNNNNNNNNNNNNNNNNNNNNNNNNNNNNNNNNNNNNNNNNNNNNNNNNNNNNNNNNNNNNNNNNNNNNNNNNNNNNNNNNNNNNNNNNNNNNNNNNNNNNNNNNNNNNNNNNNNNNNNNNNNNNNNNNNNNNNNNNNNNNNNNNNNNNNNNNNNNNNNNNNNNNNNNNNNNNNNNNNNNNNNNNNNNNNNNNNNNNNNNNNNNNNNNNNNNNNNNNNNNNNNNNNNNNNNNNNNNNNNNNNNNNNNNNNNNNNNNNNNNNNNNNNNNNNNNNNNNNNNNNNNNNNNNNNNNNNNNNNNNNNNNNNNNNNNNNNNNNNNNNNNNNNNNNNNNNNNNNNNNNNNNNNNNNNNNNNNNNNNNNNNNNNNNNNNNNNNNNNNNNNNNNNNNNNNNNNNNNNNNNNNNNNNNNNNNNNNNNNNNNNNNNNNNNNNNNNNNNNNNNNNNNNNNNNNNNNNNNNNNNNNNNNNNNNNNNNNNNNNNNNNNNNNNNNNNNNNNNNNNNNNNNNNNNNNNNNNNNNNNNNNNNNNNNNNNNNNNNNNNNNNNNNNNNNNNNNNNNNNNNNNNNNNNNNNNNNNNNNNNNNNAACCAUUUUCUCAAGUUGGUUGAUUGUAAUCUCCCUUGGAACAUAUGCUUCAUUUAAUACCUUCAGUAAAACAUCACGAUGCUCCUUGGAGUGCAACAGCAAAGAUAAAAGGGAAAUUUGAGCAGGGGUUUUCUUCAACUGGUCUAAUAUUGAAUACUCUGGCAACUUCAUCUUUUUCAAAAAUUCUUCGACUUUCUCUUCAGUUAUAGGCUUUUUGAUAGACGACGGUCCACUCACCAUUGGCUUGGACUUUCUUAAGAUUUCAGGCACGAAGCAUCUUCCUGACCUAGUCAAACCCCCUACCGCAUCUGCAUCUUCCACAACUUCUUUCCAAUGAUAGGUCAUCACAGUCCGCCCAUAGUUAUAGGGAAUCCUUUUCGUAUCAACUAUCGGAGGUUGGGUCACCGGUUUGAGGACAAUAGGUGCUUCCAGUGCUCCUUUCACCAUCAAGAUGGGUUGACUCAGAGCUCCCACCACUGUUAACUUAGGUUUAUCCUGACUUAAAUCAACAUACCUUCUGGCACCCUGUACUGUGAUCAGGGGUUUCUUUGUGCUUUCUUGGGCUUUAUCUUCCCUCAUUCCUUCUUGGUUCAAUGAUAUUGCUUUCAAAGACUCCACUACAUUCACCGAUUUCUCCUCAAUGGUCUGUAUCUUGACAUUAGGCUUAUAACCCCUUGAAGACUCUCUCCCAUCAUAUAUCAAUUCUAACAUAUUGGCUUUAGCAUGGGUUGGCAGUGGAUUCUGGUUAAUGUUUGGACAUUUCAAGGCCUGGACCAACAUCUGAUUCAUGUCAAUUAAAUCUUAUCAUGGCCUGGCAUAUCAAAACAGUACGCACACCUUAAAGAAUAAUUGAGAUUCCUUAGCGGUGGAUUUGAAAGCCUUCCUUGAAUCGGGCUUAAAACCUUCAACUUUCUCAACCUGUCAAAAAAACUAGCAUAUGACUCCCCAAGAGGUGUGAAUUGGUUUUUGACCGCCUUCUCCUUCUUAUACUCAGGCCUAGGCUGAAAAUUGGGUCUGGAGGGGUUUUGGUAAUUUGGUGGAGCGAAUGGGAGAUUUUGUGGAGCUUUCGCACACCAUUGUAGGUAAGAAGGGGUUUGGGCAUAUGGCUGCAUGCUAUAUACUGGGUACGGUGGUGGUGGAAUGGAAUAUAAAGGGUUUUGGGGAGGGUAGUAAUAGCGGGGAGAAAUAUAUGGAGCUUGGGUGUAGACUUGGGCUUGGGAUUGGGGAUAGGGGCGAGGUGGUCUUUUGGGAUAGGAAUGGGUUCCAGCUACGACAGUCGCCACGUCNNNNNNNNNNNNNNNNNNNNNNNNNNNNNNNNNNNNNNNNNNNNNNNNNNNNNNNNNNNNNNNNNNNNNNNNNNNNNNNNNNNNNNNNNNNNNNNNNNNNNNNNNNNNNNNNNNNNNNNNNNNNNNNNNNNNNNNNNNNNNNNNNNNNNNNNNNNNNNNNNNNNNNNNNNNNNNNNNNNNNNNNNNNNNNNCUGAAUGAAAACUUCUACCAACUUACUUUCUUUCAUUGAAGGCUUUACCCUAGCGGCCUGUUCACGCCACCUUAUCGCAUAUUCCCUGAAACCUUCAGUGCUCUUUUUCUUCAUGUUGAGCAAGGACUUUUCGUCCUGAAUCAGGUCGAUGUUAUAUUGAAAAUGCUGAACAAAUUUAGAAGCCAAAUCAUCCCAACUGUUCCAUUUAUCGAUAUCUUGAUCGAUAAACCAUUCUGAGGCCAGAUCUGAAAGACUCUCGCCAAAGAAGGCCAUGAGCAAUUCUUCCUUUCCUCCUGCAGCCCUCAACUGGUUGUAAUAACAUCUUAAGUGUGCCACGAGAUCGCUGUGUCCUGCAUACUUCUCGAACUUAGGCAUCUUAAAACCAGGGGGAAGAUUGAUGUCUGGGAACAUGCACAGAUCUUUAUAAGAAACACUCUUGUAAUCUCCGAUUCCUUGCAGAUUCCUCAUAGCCUGUUCUAAACUUUUCAAUUUCUGAGCUAUGAUAUCCUGUUCCUCCGUUGCGAAAGGUUUCUCCGUAUCAAAUGGAAAUACAGGCAGCUGAGUGUACCCAUGCAGUUCAUUCAUUUGCAAAGUAGGCUCCGAGGCAUAAUACUGACUAUCUGAAACCUUCAGUACUGGCUUACUGGAAGACCUAGGCAGCCUCAUUAUGGGACGCGCAGCGUAUAUGGGAGUUUCAUGUGGUGGCGGAGCCAUGAAUACCGGUGUGAUCGGUGGCGCUAGCUGAGCAGCGGGUCUUGAUUGAGGAGCUGCCAAGGGCACACUAGAACUGCCAAGAUAAUAAUGUCGCGGAGUGAACCCUGGCGCAUGCUCAAGUGACUCAAUAGGAGCAGAAAAUUAUGCCUGAGAGAGCGGUGGGCAACUAGAGACAUUCGCAAAACCUUCAGGGAGUGAAGGAAGAGGCAUUUCGCUGGCCCAUGCCCAAUGCAAAUCUAUCAAUUGUUGCCUGAGCCUUACUACCUCAUCAUUUUGUUUAGAAUUUUCUUCCCUGUGAUCCUGAUCCGGGUCAAUGAGUGAAUUUUCAAUCUCCCUGCUAGCCAUGGCGAGCUUUGCUUUGGAUCUGGUGAAGUAUGGGUGACUAGCCAGAGUGCUGCAAACCUACCACUGUUAUCUGAAAGAACAUGAUCAUCAAAGACGACAUCCAUUAGAAUUAGGGCGCACAACAAGCAUAGGAAUCACAUUGGUAAAAUUGCCCUAAAUUCAUGCUCAUUUCUACCAACUUUUGAGGGUAGCGAGGUCAUUUUAACAUCAUCCUGAUUUUUGUCUACACUAUUUUCUAUCUACACUUAUUAUUAUUCUUUCCCUCUCUUUUCUCUUUUUUUCUUCUCUCUCUCUUUUUUUUUGUAUCAAUCUUUACUCUUUUAUCUCGUUAUCUACCUUUAUUUUAUCAUUCUUUAUGGCUUUUGUUUUUCUUUAAAAGAGGAAAAAUGAGAAACAACGAAACAAAAUGCUUAGAUCGAACCCAACAGUAGGUUGCCUACGUAUCAUGUUGUACAUGAAUCAGAUCUUGCGUAGUUCGGGCCUUGCCAAAAUGGCCAAUUAAACUUUUUUUUCUUGAAACUUUAAGAAGAAAAGAAAAAUAACAAUUUGUCAUAACCUUGUGAAGAAAGAAAACAACAAAACGUAUAAAAAGUUUGGGACCACUGUAAAACUAAAAAAAAAAAAAUGAAUACGAAACAACAUUAUAGACCCCUAAGACGACACAGGUGAAAUUACUAAUAAAGACUCUAAUACCAAAAACAACUUGACUUCGACUUAAAACAAACACCACCCUAUAAUGACAGACACAUAAAAGACUCCAACCGAAUAAGGAUAAGAAGUGCUCUUUCAGACUGGUGCUCUGCGUGAUGACCCUGGCUGAUAUGGACCUGGCUCUGAAGUUCUCUUUCUCCCAUUCAAGCUUUGUAGCAUAUCCUGUAAAGAUACCCUGAUAGCGGGGAAGAAGCUUCGGGCCCGUAUUCCUGCUUCAUGAGGAGUGCACUUGGAAAGAUUAUUCUGACACCUUUCUACCGUCUUGAACAAAUCUUGUAACUGAACUCUCAGUGUUUCCACUUUGGACCCUACACUUUCAUCCUGAUGAUCGUCUGCUAUGCAUUCUUCCUGUAUUCUCCCUCUAAACUGUGCUGGCAAGGGUUGACUGAUACCCCGAGGGACAGAUUGAAGCUAGAUCUCAUAUCCCUGAGUGUGGCCCGGAUUAUCCAAACUUUCUUUGAGUGUGUCCACACCUAGCUUUGUUGCAUGCUUCCAAAACUGCUCAUACCUGCUCUCACCUAAGGCUUGGUCCUUGAAUUACUCAACAUCCUUCAGAAGAUCCACUACUGGUGGCACGUCCUNNNNNNNNNNNNNNNNNNNNNNNNNNNNNNNNNNNNNNNNNNNNNNNNNNNNNNNNNNNNNNNNNNNNNNNNNNNNNNNNNNNNNNNNNNNNNNNNNNNNNNNNNNNNNNNNNNNNNNNNNNNNNNNNNNNNNNNNNNNNNNNNNNNNNNNNNNNNNNNNNNNNNNNNNNNNNNNNNNNNNNNNNNNNNNNNNNNNNNNNNNNNNNNNNNNNNNNNNNNNNNNNNNNNNNNNNNNNNNNNNNNNNNNNNNNNNNNNNNNNNNNNNNNNNNNNNNNNNNNNNNNNNNNNNNNNNNNNNNNNNNNNNNNNNNNNNNNNNNNNNNNNNNNNNNNNNNNNNNNNNNNNNNNNNNNNNNNNNNNNNNNNNNNNNNNNNNNNNNNNNNNNNNNNNNNNNNNNNNNNNNNNNNNNNNNNNNNNNNNNNNNNNNNNNNNNNNNNNNNNNNNNNNNNNNNNNNNNNNNNNNNNNNNNNNNNNNNNNNNNNNNNNNNNNNNNNNNNNNNNNNNNNNNNNNNNNNNNNNNNNNNNNNNNNNNNNNNNNNNNNNNNNNNNNNNNNNNNNNNNNNNNNNNNNNNNNNNNNNNNNNNNNNNNNNNNNNNNNNNNNNNNNNNNNNNNNNNNNNNNNNNNNNNNNNNNNNNNNNNNNNNNNNNNNNNNNNNNNNNNNNNNNNNNNNNNNNNNNNNNNNNNNNNNNNNNNNNNNNNNNNNNNNNNNNNNNNNNNNNNNNNNNNNNNNNNNNNNNNNNNNNNNNNNNNNNNNNNNNNNNNNNNNNNNNNNNNNNNCAAAAGGUCAACAAACCCUCUAUUAAAUCUGGACGAGGGGUAACAUGCAGAAGUUCUGUGAGGUCACCUAAUAUUUUAACCAGUUUCUGCUGAUCAACAUAGUUAAACAUUUCCCACCAUUUGAUUAACUUUUUGGGUACCUUGACAACCAUCAGAACUCUAGACUUGGUAGAAAAACCCAUCCUGUAAUAACACAUAAGACGUUAUCUCAAAAACUCGAUAGGAGUAGAAGAUUCCCAACCCUUGGAAUUUUUGAAGCAAACAUAUGUCGAUGGGACAGACCACAUUCAUGACUCCAAUUCGCCGAAUAGAAGUACUGAGCGAAAUCAGUCUACUUGGCAAACAACUCUAGAUUACGGGGUGAGAGGCCUAGGCUAAUACUAAGAUAAAGGCCGACACAAAAAUUUACCGAACCCAUCGAGGGUUGUCUACGUAUCUCCACCCGAGGGAAGUGAAUCAGGUAUGUGUAGUUCAUUCAGAUUGGACAAUUAACGAUUAACAAAUAAAUUGACCCUAACUUACUACCAAAAACGAAAAAAAAACUUUUUUUUUCUUUUUUUGGCUAGACGCUUUAACCAAGACUGACACCACCAAUUAUACAGAAAAAUCUUUUUGACAUUUUUGUUUUUGACAAAUAAGUAGAAAAGACAAACAAAUUUUAUUUUUUUUUGAACUUACGGUGCUUUACAAAACGUAAAAAAAAAUCUUUUUUUGAAUUUUUGAAUUGUGCAAAACAAAAGUCAUAACGAAUUCUAAAAUAAACUACAACACUCUUCUUUUUCCGUUCUUUUCGACUCACUUUUCUAUUUUAUUUUUUUUGUUUUUGCCUACACACCUUACUCCUAACAAAUUAAUUUUUUAUUUUUUUAAAAAAAUCAGUCCGUCAAAAGACCAGUUACCCUUAAUAAUGCAACAGUUAGCACGUAGGGAUGCUUUUAAAGGAAGUCUCCUACAAAGGGCCAUGUAGAGCCCACUAGGUCUCCGCAUGAUGCACAUAAGCAUGACCUAAGGGAUGACCUACGUUGUGGUUUACUAACAAGGCUGUUCGGGGGAGCCUACAAAGGGCCAUGUAGAGCUCACUAGGUCUCCGCAUGAUGCACAUAAGCAUGACCUAAGGGAUGACCUACGUUGUGGUUUACUAACAAGGCUGUUCGGGGGAGCAUAUGGUCAAUAGUGGCUGCUUUGCUUUCCACCUACUCCAUAACACCGACGGUUCCCCCUAAAAUAAGGGUGACUCAACUAGAGGUUGUGUACAACAUAUGUACUACGGACUUGUUGCAGAAAAAAGGCUGGGGGUGGACUCAUGAUGACAGAUAUAAAGCAGUAACACAUAGGAUAAAUAAUAUUAAAAAAAGCACGAAAAAGCACAAAAAGUGAAAAUAACACAAACAAUAACCACAAACAAUGUUUAUACACUCGUAAUGCCAAACAAAGCCGAUACGACUCCAAAAAUAGCUCGAAUUUUGAAAACUUGUCAUACUUCCCCAGCAGAGUCGCCAGAACCUGUCACACCCCUUUUUUACGCGUACUCCAAAAAAUGGAUAUAUUUUAAAGUUCGAAAGGGUUUUAUUUUUAAGUGACAAGAAAUGAAAAUUUGUUUCAGAAAAGGAUUAUUUGCAUUUUUUAUUUAAAGUCGCCACUUGGCAUAAUCCGGUGUGCGAAGUUACCUUUGAAAAUUCCUUUUCAUAAUCAUAUGACUCUUAAACCGAUUUGAGAACAGAGAUUCCGGUUAAGGAAUUCUGUUGACCGAGGGGAAGGUGUUAGGCACCCCUUGAUCCCGUGGUUCGACCACGGUCGCUUGGUGGAGUGUAUCGAUUAUUUUGGCAUUAUGAAAUGUAUAAACCACACAAAAGAACACAAAAUAAUCAAACAAUAAACAAAACAAAAUAGUCCAAAAACGUAAAAGUCUAGUUCAAUUAUACAGUCCAAAAAAUAGAAAAAAUACAAAAAUAUAAAUCCUAGUCUAAAACUAAAUCUAAGCUCCAAUGCCCUACCCAACGCCGCGGACCUUAUCAUUUUUUGCCAACAUGAUACGUCGGGGCAUUCCCCGGUGAAUAAAUAAAAGUGAUCUCGGGGCAUUCGCCGGCUAAAUAAAUACAUCUAAAUUAAAUACGAUAAACUAGAAAGAAACAUUCACACGCACAUUCCAAUAUCCAACAAAACACUUAUUCCUAAAUUUCGCCUACCCGAACCUACGAUUGCCUACCUGCUUGACUUACCAUGAUACUAUCACAAAAUUGAUAAUUAGACAUGAAAGUAACAAUAACGACAAAUCAAAACAACAACAAAUCAAAAUUAAUCCUAAUUCACUUUAACGAUUUUUCAACUCGCGCUCUGAAUUCCCUUUAAACCACAUGAUUAGUGCAUGCUUCGAUUUUCCAAUCACAUCUCAUAAUUCGAAACCAACAUCAAACACAACACAAACAACGAAGAUUCAAACCAAACACACAACAAAUAAAUCAUCCACACCAACAACAUCAAUAAAAAGUCAAAAUAAAUUAAAUAUUCGGUUAGAAGAAAUGGACCUUGACGAAACUAAUCCUUGUCGAUAACAAAGAAAUCCGAAGACCAAAAUACUCGAUCGGAGAACCUCACAACGAACAACUCCAAACUCGAUAUUGAUUUCAACAGGACAGAUCGGAAAACCAUGACAAAAACCUCACGAUGAAUAACCCACAAAUCCGAAUAAACUUCAAAAAAACAACCCAAGAUCCCAGAUCCAAAACCCCAAAUCAACGAUUUCCAACUAUCCUUGCACGACGAAAUAAGAAAUACCAAAUGAACCAAGACUGAAAUUAUGUAAAAUCGAAAAGAACCAAUACGCGAAAUCUCGUCGAAGUCUAAGGGACGAGCUGCGGCCGGAGCUAACCAACGCGCCGCGGCCGGAGCUGGCCGAUUCUCGGCCGGCAAACGGUGUUGUCAUCGGCGGACGAGCCGCGGCUGAUCUGGUCGGAUCUGAUAGUGACUGUUUCGCCGAUGGAGCGGCGAGGGGAGAGAAAAAGAAACACGCUGUUGCCGCUGUCGUCGGUGAAGUCGGGUCGGGUCGGCUGCUGGAUGACGCUGAGAACGGCGUUGUCGUUGGCGGUCGCCGGCCGGCGGCGAACGGUGGUGGAAGUUCAAAUUUUUAAAGAGAGGAAGAGAGAGAGUGGAGAGAGAGAAAAAAAAGCUGAUGUUAUUUUUUUUUGGAUCUGUUACUGCUCAUCUUUUUGUUGUGUAUGUGG